RNAcentral lists this long non-coding RNA (91301 nucleotides) under Musa acuminata (dwarf banana). Its description in RNAcentral is "long non-coding RNA (MACU_LNC009394)". The record is from RNAcentral. Lineage: Eukaryota; Viridiplantae; Streptophyta; Magnoliopsida; Zingiberales; Musaceae.
GGAUUCUUUACCUUACUAGCGAACCUCUCUAGCUCACCUAUUAGUUUCAUUCUGAUCUUAAGUACUUACUGCUGAGUUUCAUUCUGUAACCCUAGGGGUCGUUGCUUGGCCUUUCACUCCCUUGCUUCACUCUUUCUCCUAGACUGAACGAGCACUUAAACUAGUCCUUUGACAACCUUUGAUCGAAAUGUAGCUAUAGCCUUACACUUAAAGGUUUUCAUUCUGACUUUCUACCUUGAACUGGAAUCUCAUCUACCACUACUAGACUUAACCAGGGCAGCUAGGUCCAAGCAAUCACUCCACUAACGAAGCUAGCAGCCAAGGCCUAAAACGAAACUGGGCCAAUCCACUAAGACCCGAGAAAGAAGGAUACCGACAUGAAAGUGGUUGCCACCCGCGUGAUGGCUCUCUUUGGCUACAAUGAUGCUGACACACUGGUUAAUAGUGCCUGUAAUACGACCGACAAUGACCUCCUCAGUGAUAGAAGACCUAGAAGGAGUGGCAUCCGAUCGAGACAAAGUGAGUAGAAUGUACUUACGGUAAUUAUAAUGCUCCUUAGGAAAAACAGAAGGAAUGCUUGUGUUCAUGGUACCGAAAGAAAAGAGCCAACUCCAAUCUGACUUCCUCCGCUCUGGUUGGUAACACCUCUGCUAGCUUCCUCGGAUUGAUUUCUUUUCUUGUCUUCCUUUUCUUCCACCCUAAAAGAUGGAUCGUAGUGAUGCGGUAACUACCCAAACUAGUAAGUAAGUAAAGUAAGUCUGCCUACCCGAGCCUCAAAGAUGGUACUCUCUUUUCUUUUGACUACCCCACCCGGAGACAAAGUCACUGAGCUGCCUGCCCGAGUAUUGGAAUGAAGAGUGAAAUCUAGUUUCUUUAAUAAUAAUAGAUACUCUUCUAGCGCCAAGUAACAUAGUAAGUGUAGCGGCGGGGUCAAAGAUGUGUUUUCCCGGUAUUUUUCAUAGCAUUGUCAUUUUCCCUCCUGGGCCGAUCAAGAAGAUAGAGAAUUUGACGUUUUCCCGAGAAAAAAGGUAGCGAAGUCUAGAACUCCUGCCGCGUAACAUUAGCAGUUACUUGGCCCUUCCUGAGGCACCUGAUUGAUAUUAGAAUUUUACCAAAACCCGUGUUUUUGGGUAGCCAAGUCCUUUUCCUUCCUGACGAGAUCUAUUUUGAUGCAAAGUUGACGUUUUCCCGUGUUUUUUGAUAGCAGAUGCUUUUUCCCUCCUGAGUGACCUUAUGGAACUUCCCAUUUUCCGUUUUCCCGGGAAACAGCGCUGGCGCGUAACAUUAGUAGUUACUUGCCUGAUAGCAAAUAGAGACUUUCUUUACUUAUAGCUUAGCUUCCUUCUGACUUAACUGCAUCCUCGGAGAAAGAGAAUUCAUGAUAGUUCUAAUUAAUAUAGUAUAGUAUAGUGAUGUGUUAAUUAAGGGCACGUUCGCCAAUUGUUCUAGUGAAGUAUAGAACUUCUCAGGUAAUCUUCAUAAGGCCCAGACUCAGUGGAAAGAGAAUCUGAUGCAAAAGCCAUAUCGGGAGUAGGCAAAGAAUCCGGAGUUUUUGUGGAGUUCGAAAGGGCCAAGCGUAUACUAGUAAAGGAGUCCGGAGUGAAAGAAAGGAGUUAUUCAGUACGAAGCCACUACUCAUAAGAAUGAAACUCUUAUUACCAAUCUUACGCAAUUAGGCAAUAAGCUAUAAGGCUGUUAGUAUAAGGAAACUCAGUAAGGCAAUAAAGAAUAUAAUGAAUACCUUAGCAACAUAACUCAUAAGCCACAUUAGCUACAGUAAGUUGUAUUACCUUUGCAACAGUAGCAACUAGGCAAAUCGACCAGAGUAGUCAAGAUAAAGACAUAGCAUCCCUUCCCUUCCCGUCAACUACUAAAGUUAGCGCAGGGCAAGCAACGACUAGACAAGACGGCAAGUGGACAAGCUAUGUAUAGACAAGUAACUACGGAGCCAGCAGGGUGAUCCUAACUAGACUUCCACUUAUGCUCCGGGCCAAGCUACUAUUCUAAUACCCUAUAUUGCUAUAAUAUUCAUUCAAUGCGCUAGCAAUUAUUAUAAGGGCCCGCUUCUUUCUUAUCCGAUUGAGUUAUAUUAAAUACUUGAAUGCACUAGCUGAACCCGGUUAAUCCAACUGUUUAUUCUGUCGCAAGGGGUAAUUAACCAGUGCCUCUAUCUCUUGUGCCUCGUAGGAAAGUAAUCGGGUAAAGAGAAAGGCCCUUAAGUGAAUUGGGCUUGUGUUCCGCUAUGAGGGUAGUGUUACCAGAUGGAUUCGAUUUCUCUUUGAACCCUGCUGGCUCUGCUGGGCUUCUGGAACUAUUCCUAUAAAGUCACUUACAAACACUUCCCAGUUUAGAGGUCAAUUCUUCACUGAACUGAGGAGCCCUGCUUUCCGGGGAAUUCUACACUCCCCGCUUCUACGUCAACAACACCCUACUUUCUCACUGUCACUGGGGAUUAUCCACUGUAAACUGGAACUUUCCGUAAUAUAAGUAAGGCAACUCUCCCCCUCUCGUUAUUAAACUAGAACUGGAGUCAGAGCACUACGCAACAACAAGAGUAAGCCUGAGCUGAGCCUCUGAUAUUAUGUAUUUCUUGUAUCAUUCUGAAAUUCCCUCUUUCCUACUUUAGAGGGAAAUUCCUACUAUGAUAAGGGGCGGUAAGUCAACUAGUUCAAUUAGUAUGCUUGCCUACUUGCUAUGUGUUUCUGGACUACUACUUGUCCACUACUACUACAAAUACGGAUGAAACAAAGAAUUCUACUAUCAACUCUAAACUACACUUUCAACAUUACCUCGAACUGGAUCGGUAUUCCACUGGGGAUAUGCAACUGGGAAAGCGCUCCUUCCUAUUAACUUCAUGAGGCUAAUCUAACUCAGGCUACGAGACUUCUUGUUCAUCUCUGCUAACAGAAUGAGGCUCCUCGGCUACUAAUACUUCCUCUUUGAACUAAGGUCUGGCUCCUAGUAUACGCUUGGUCGCUCUUCAAUGAAAACCAAAACUCCUAUUCUCACUUUCCUACUUGCCGACCUCCGCUCUGUCAACUGAUCAUUCUUUUCUUUCUAUUUCCACUCCUUUAUUACUCUACUACUACUACUACUCUCUAACUAAUGAUCCCAAGGCUUACUCCCUCUGAACAGCCUCAAGCGACUACUACUGGACUGGCACCCGACCCGGCCUAUCUUUCUGAUCCUGCCUCGGAUCCUUCUCUUGCAACCGAGAGCACAUGGCAAGUAUCUCGCCCCUACCGCUGCUUUAGUGUCAUUCUUAUUGACAUUACCCUCUUGGAUCCUAUCCCCGGAUUCUGAUAUUGACUACCGAGCUGCUUUCUCAUCUACCUCUCCUAUGUCUACAGCCAAGACACGACUACUGGACAACUACUUGAGAUGCAACUUUACUUUACCACUACUAUCGGUGGGCUUCAUACUGACUAGUUGACUUAGGGCUUACUACUUGGUGCUUUAAGGCUUCUAACUUACGGGUUGCUUUCAUUCCUAUGAGUUAAGUAUACAAAGUUGCUAUAUUCUUUCUUGCCUGACUGAGGGCAAUCGGUGCACUGGCUUCAUUCUUUGACUACGCCGUUCCAUUCUGAUUCUUAAGUAAACUCUCAAACUCUAUUCUUUAGAAAGAAACUAAUAGCUUGCCCCCGAACCGACUUCUAAUCUCAUGUUUGAGCACCUGACCCGACAGCAGCUGACCUUGCAGACCUCGACUCUGGCUCAUCCCAAGCCCAGCUUUCCUACUAGCUCACCUCUCUAGCUCAUCUACUUCUCCUAUGGCUACAAUAACUAGCCUCUUGCUCAUAUACCAUCAUUCUUCUCCUCUGUCCAACUAAUACAGAUGCAAAUGGGGAUGCAACUCGAGCAGGACUACUACUUUAGAACCAUAACAGUACUACAAGUCUGAAACUCUUCCUCGAACGGGACUACUACUACUGGACUGACCUCUAUCUCUCGCCAACAACGACUUCUGGAACUAUACUUUCUAUUGUACCCGGAACUAUACUUUCUAUUGGACCUGGGCUUGUAUACCCAAACUAUGUCUGAUCUUUCUUCCGCAACUCUCUUCUUUAGUUCAAUGCCGAGCCUGUAGACUUCACUCUCUCUUCUUGACUCUGUCCAUCUCUCUGUAUAGCUUCUGCACUCUUUACUUAAAGUGACCAAUUCCAGUAUUCCACACUUCUCUUUAAGAACUGCAAACACCUUACUUUAGCACAGUAGUUUUAUACCAGAAUUAGGACUUGCUCUUGGAUACUGAACUUGCUCCGGACUCUCCACUUGAAGAAUCACUGGCUACUGACUUUAGCACCAACAGGUACCUCGAAUCGACCUCAGGCUAUUAAUACGGGGAAGGACAGGAAGACUGCCGCUACACAUUAGUAGUUACUUGGCAUUGGAAAAGAGAUCUUGUUUUCUGGUUGAUUUGUGAUUGGAUUGUUUUGAUCAUUUCUUUUCUUACAAUACCCUAGCCCUACCCUAAAAGAUGGUACUCUCUUUUUACCACCCCUCGCUGCAAAGCCAACUCGUACACUUCCUACUGCCAUGCCAUGCCCGGUCAACUCUAUCACUUCUUACAGCCUGGUCAACAGCCAAGACAUUCACUGAUUCCACUCGGUACUCGGUAUUCCACUGGAAGAACUUCUUCUGUUGGUCCUGUACCCGGCACCCUCCACUAUACUUGCUGUAAACUUCACCUCGUCUCUUUGAACUCUGGCUCACCACUUUCAACAGGCUCCUGCCGCGCUUUAGCUCACUGACGCGUCACGUUAGUAGUGACUUGUCUAUCCGUUGCUUGGCCCUUACCGCUUCUAAGCCAACAAAUACGGAUGCAACAGGACAACUACUAGUUUCAUCCCCAACAAGCAAUGGGAGAGAGUCGAGAAAAGAAGCAAGCUACCAAAGGGUUUCCCCGGAUAAUGACCCAGAUCUAGCUCCGACUCUUGUUGAAAAAACUAUACCUUAGCAGUUCGAAUGAAGUCUACAACAUAAUAAGUAGUUGAGGGGGAGUUAAUGACGAGUUCACCCACCAAGCUUAGUUGUUAGUAGCGACCAAGCAACAGGCCAAGCAACUCACUACCCUUGAAAGGCUGGAACCCCAACUAGUCAUUACUCAACAAAUAAAGUCAUUUCACUGUUCUACCAUAGAAUGACACAGGGCUACCCCACCAAGUCAGUCAACAACACUACCCGAGCCUAGUUCUCUUUCCUCUGAUCUUGCCUCGGAUCUUGCUCUUAACCAACCCGCACCUCUUUCUCAUCCACCUAUGGCUCAUUCAACUAACCUAACUCUGUCAACUAAGCAAAGACAGAUUCCACUUGAACUGGAUUGCAAACCUUAGCUUAGGGCUCUCCUCCUCGCCAACACCAGACUUGAGAUCUUACGUUUGAUACCCGAAUGAUUCCCACUUCUGUUCAAUGGUUUACAGGCUAUGCUCUAACUGCUUCCCUCGUCUACCGAUACACCCUUUCUUGACUGUAUUCUCCUGUCCUUCCCGCUUCUAAGCAAGUACUUUACCGAGCCUCAAAGCCAGUAAGAUAGUCUGCCCCGACCCAUCCGUAGUCAACAAAGAAAGUGGUUGCUCCUCUCUGCUAACGGAAUUAGGCUCUCAUCUCCAUCUCAUCUAACUGUAAACUCAUUCCAUUCCACUCUGAAGGUCAAAGUCAGGGGUUUCCUAGGUUUCUUCUCAGUAAUGGAGACUCCUUUGACAGGGGAUAAUUGCCAGUUACAGUUCAUUUCAACUCAGCAACUUGCCAACGAAUGCAUUUGAACCAAACAUCUUAGGCGCUGUAACAAAGAAACUCUCCUUUAAGAAUCGAAACAAUUACCUCUUUCGUCACCAACUCACACCCUUAACAAGACAGAGAUGCUUGCACCACCUCUGCUUCUCGCCAAGUAGUAGUCCUGUGUAAGGUAAGGGCAUCAUUCAGCCAACAAACAUAGAUUCCACAUAGAUGAAACUAGUGGUGUCGACCUCAACAGCCAAGACGAAAAGCAACUAGUUAACUUCUUAUGGUUCCUUCCCCUCUCUCCUUCGAACCAACCCUAGAAACUUUCCUAGACGCUGAUUCACCACUAGAAGAAAUGUAUGUAUCAUUUGACUCAUCAGUGCAUCUCCUUGAUUAGCAGUAGUAAUUGGAAAACCCACUAUCAUAGAGAUAUAUAGAGAUAUUGGAAGACCCACUCUUAUAUAUAUUGAUAGAUAUAGUAAUACUCAUAGAGAUUGAUCAUAGAUAUUGAUAGAGAUAUAGUAAUACUCAUAGAGAUUGAUAGAGAUAGUAAUAUGAAGCUACCCUACCGUAACAGUGCAGUGACGCAUAGCAUCUUUGCCGGACUCUCUCUAUGACUUAGAUACAAGACUGGAAGAACUGCUUGCAGCCGGCUUCUCACUUGUAGCUGACCUCCUACUAGAGAUGAAAAAGUCAGUAAAGUCUCUUUGUUGAGUUAGAUGAGCCUCAUUCUUUGAUAAUUGAAUUGAACUGUAACACAAACAUACCUCGCGGGGAACUCUAAUUAUGUGUUAUAUAAGUCAGAAUUUCCAUGGAAUCUUGAGAGCACCAAGUAUAGAUCCAAGUAAAUGCACUCCUUCCCGCUUCUACUCUAGCAUCCGAUUGUGGAUACUUUCCCUGCACUGCUUCCACAACAUCUUCUCUAGGUGCCAAGUCAACAACAAGAUACCGAACUGCAUCCUAUGUUUCAUCUGCUCCUGACUCUGGUCUCAACUCUAAAGUAAUAUUUUCCGAAUGGGGGCCACUGGGGUAGUGACUUUUCUCUCUAAUACCCUCUUUCUUGCCUAGCUCUGAAAUUGAUUACUAUAGGUGAUACUACUGGUCCGGAUCUUCAAGCAAGGGAGACACAGACAGGACUACUCUCUUUCUCCACUUUCUCCUUAAUAAGAUCAAUAAUAAUAAUAGUAUGGAAAUAGUAGUGAUCAGAGCCCAACUAAUCUCUCUUUGUUUUUCAUUGAACUAUAGUGAUUCCUACGGUGUUAAGUAAACUCUCCAACUCUCUUAUUUAGAAAGAAACUACUAGAAGUCACUACUACUGAUGAAGCAGGACUAGACUACUACCCUACUAGUGAAACAGAACGACUCUACUACUGGACUACUCCACUCUACUUGUUGGGGCUGUCAAUCAGGAUUCUAGCGGGAAUGCACAAUUUUCACACAGUGAGUCUUAGUUAGCAACAAAAAGAGGGAGGGAUUGAUUAGGUUCCGGACAAAACAUCCGAAGAUACAUUUGCUUCUGGACAAAACAUCCGGAGAUACUUUUGGAUUCCGGACAAAACAUCCGGAGAUACCUUUUGAUUCCGGACAAAGCACCCGGAAGAAACACUUGGCGCCGGACAGAGAACAUCGGACACAGAUAGGCAUAAUUAAUCAUCACUCUCCGUAGCCCAGCCUUCAUGAUACGAACUAGCUUUCAUAACAGCCCUAUUUCUUUUCCACUGAGUAGCACGAGAGGUGCCGCCAUUGACUUUCAAGGAAACGCUGCCUUGGAAAGUGUGGGUGUUCAAAGCAACGAAGUCCCCCGUAUUUGGAUUCGAAGGCGCAUUCGAGAGAGUACAGUCAUCAUAUGUAUAGGUCAGACCCAAGCUGCAGGACAUGUCAAAGCCCUUUAUACACAUUUGAAGCGGUCAAGAAGCAUAAUAAGCUAAUGAGCUAGCAGCUCCUAACUCAUCUUCCUCGCUUUGCAAUGGGUCUUGGAUGUGGUGCCAUGGAUAAUUCCUUGACUCAGUGUCGGAACCAAAAAUGCCAACGUUGAAAGCACGACUUUCGCUAUUUAGCGUCUUGAACUGCUUCCACAUUACGGGUUUACCCCUAUGCUUUGACACAGGCUCAGACUGAGGGCGUAAAGGAAUGAACACGAAUUCCAGCAAAGAGAAGACCUCAUCCUUGUGCAGCAAGUCCGUUGGGGCCUUUCUUACACUUUCCCUAAGACUUGCAGUGUUCAUGACACCCUUAAAAUGAAGUAAUUCCUCAUAUGACUUCGCAACACCGCGUAAAUGAGAAGCCACCACUAUGUCCAAGCGAUGACCACUACGAGUUAGGAUGAAGCCGGUGUCCCCUUCUUGCAACAGAGACUCACAAACGCGGGGGUCCGUGAUAAUCCGGCCUUGCCUUCUGCACUGAUAUCCUCGGAAGGGGUUUUAAGACUAGGGAACAGUGUGAUAGACCCUAUUUCUUCGUUAUACUUCAGUAGAAUCAGAGAACCGUUUUCCCAAGAUACUUCUUUCUGCAAAAGACGGCGCAAAAAACAGCCGUACAAGGUUGCAAUAACCCUUUCCUCUUUAAGAUCCUAAAUAUGAUUCUUCAACUUAAGCCUCAGAAGCCUUUCAUGGAAGGAGACUCGUAUCUACUCUUUGGAUUACUACUUGUCAACUGAGGAGAAGACUCGGGCUCGCUACCGCGCAACUAACUACGUAGCUUGGUGGAUGCUACUCGGGAUGGCGCCUAGACUAUUACUACUGAGGUCAAUUCUGAGUCUACUACCUAGAUGCCUGGUCUUCAACUCUGCUAUUACCAAUAAGGGAAUCCAACCCAACCCGGUCUGAAACUCUCACUCUCACAGGAACUCUACUUGAUGACUGGACCACUACCCAGACUUGUCUAUCCGCCUAUCUGUCAGUUCGCCUGAUAUACCAGUUCCAUUCUUCUACUUACCAGGGGAAUUCUCACUUUCCUACUAGCUUACCUAGCAACAGGCCUAGUAAAAGACUUCCUAACUACUAACUGACUUCGGGCAAUAAAUAAAGAAUACAGCUGACAACUAUGAACUUAAUGAGGCUAAUCUCACUCUUGCUCAUCUACCGGAGUAAACAAAGACUUCUUGAAACAAGCCCAGCAGCUGGAUACUAAACCUCUUGCUCCUCCCCUAUAGAAAUACCUCUGCCAAGCGUAUACUCGGUGCUUUAGCUACUGACUAGUUUCUUUCUGAGUCUACGGAGUUGCAUUCUUUGACUACGGCUGCCUAGACACCGCAUCAGUCUCGCUACCCUUACUUUAUACCCUUACUUUAGCCAACACCCGGGGCGUGGAACAAGAAUGAUUCUUUUUAUGCGGAUCCAGUAGUUGAUUAGAAAUUCCAAUUCAUAUUAGAAGAAAACACUGACUCACCUAGACUCGACUCUCACUCAAAGAUACUCCCUAAUCGUUGACACCUUUUGGGCAAAGAGAAACUCCGUUCCUUACCUAUCUCCUUUCCUUAGUCACCACUUUCUUUCUAUAAUACCUAGGCGUGGGACAAGUAUAAUAUAGUCAAGUACUUUCCUAUGCGGGUAACAAGAAUUCUUUCCGUUGCUUCUCUAUCUUCGGCAACGACAAAGAAAGGACUUGGUUCUAAUUGGAAUUCCCCGCUUCAAUCUAUUUCAUCUUAUUAAUCUGACCAACUUAGAAUAGAAUAUUUCCUGCGCUAACACCUUGACUUCCCGCUUAAGAUCUUGCUCUAGACUUUCCACUUGAGAAGACCUUAACUCCUAACUCUCUUGGGGCGCUAACUGGAGCAUCAUAAGGAAUUGAUUUAAGCGCUGAAGCCACAAAUACUCAAAAUGAGGAAUCUCUAAGUGGGGUAAUCCUUAAUGACAUGAUUUACUUCAAGUCGAGGCCGGGGAAGUAGAUAGUACUGACUUACGGUGAAAGGGGGAAUCCAACAAGCAUAGAUUUGUUAUAAGGAAUUAGUUGGUUGCCAUUACCGAGUGAGCUUGUAUAUAAAGGAAAGUCACGUAUAACCAAGCAGUAACUACUAAACAAACAAGAAUGGGAAGGAACAAGCAGACGCCAAGUAACUACAAAUAAAGGCGCAACGGAGACUACUAAGAGCCAGAUUGGGAGUCUACACACCUCAGGAAAACUCCUGACUCUUAUGGUCCACGUAGCGGUAAAGGACAGGUUUAAACGUUGCUAGGGUAAAGAAAAAGAAACCGACUUAGACCACUACUCGGGGCUGGAAACCGGAUUGAGAUGAGAGUCGACAACACAGUAAACCUACCAUACUCUAGGCAAAGGCAAAGGUUAAGCCAAGUUCAAUAAAGGAAUAGUGGGGACCCUUUCGAAAGCCCCUGCGCGUUAUUCAUUUAUUAUAUAUGAGUUCAAAGCGAAAAGCAGGUAUAGCUGGGCCAGCAGUCAUAGGUGUAAGGUUCAAACCCACUUCUACGAUUGUACCUACAUUCCAUUCAACAAGUCCUGGACAAAUUGUCCCGCUGACAGCACUGAUAAUACAUACGAUUCAACUCAUUAACCUUAACUGUCAACUCAAACACAUUCAUUUAUUAUCUUUCCCCCCACCUGUUAUGUAGGAAUAAAUGGAAUCAUAGGAAGGAAGAUCAAAUGGAAUCAUAGGAAGGAAGAUCACAGGACUGACUGAGCUUGAGUAAACUAGUACUUAAAGCUAUAAUGAACCUGCUUUUGACCUUCCGCCAGUGCUCACUUUUGUAGGCUAAUGUCUUGUCUUGUCCCGUGUGGUUCAGAGCUCACUAAAGGAGAGGCAGGCCACUUGCUAUCAAUAAUCAAUACAUAAAGAAGUCAAGUAAGGGUUGAGUUAAGUAGUUGGAUUGCCAGUUGCUAGUUAAGAUCUUAUAAGCACUAGGUUGAUUCUUUCCAUAAGUGAAACAUACUUUAGCUACACUCUUUUCGGUAGAGAGUGGCCGUGUUAGUAUCAAAAUCACAGGUGUAAUAUGGUUUAAAGGGAAGUAGUAAAGCUUUGAAGUCCGUAGUAGCAGACCGUAGUCACAGACCAAUAGGCAGGAAUAUCAGAUUUGAAGCGAGUAAAGGCAGCUUUGUUCUCGGCAGUUAAAGAGGACCCUAGAUCGAGUCCUGUUAGUAUUAGUACUAGGUUCAAGCCAAACAAGUAAGGAUCCCCGGACCAGAAGCUAAAGCAUGUAAGUAAGGUUCAUAGACAAUAAAGCAAGGUUCGAGUUGCCCUAUUUCAGUCUGAUUAGCAGUGGUGCAAUUCCGAGUUACCAGGUUCCUUAUUCUAGUUAGUGGGGGUGACUUGGGAACACUUGUUCCAUUAUAUAUUCCUGCACCACGACUUGGAGUUAGCCCCGGUUCCACUCUGUUAGGGGCCCGUUCGAUUCCUGUAUGCCGGAGAAGUUCCCCAUUCUUUGAAUUACCUCUGUCAUUCCUCUCUUGGGGGCGUGCCCAGCCGCGGAGUUCCUAGUUCAAGCCCUAUUAAGUAGUGUUUCCAUUCUCUCCGGUAGUGAUUUCACUCUUUCCAGUGGUCAUUGGAUCUCCGGUUUCGAGUUAACAUAUUGGAAGUAGUAGGCUUUCAGCACCUAGGGAAAAGAUAAGGAUGAUUAGCAUUGAUUCAAUUACCGUUAGCAGCAGUAUGGGUCUUGUCAACAGUGAUUCAAUUCCAAGUUCUAAGUUAUCAUAUUAGAAGCACUAGUGAAAGUCUGAGUUAGUGCCCAAAGGAUUAUUAUUAUAGGUUGAAAGCAAAUAGAGCAAGUAGGUUGAAAGCAAAUAGAGCAAGCCUUGAGCUGUGGGUAAGGUUCGAGGACAAUAGGGAAGUAAAUAGAAGGAAGAGUCAAGGGCAUAAGAGUGAGGGCCAAGCAAGUAGUAGAAGUAAUGGUUCAAUUACUCUGUUAUAGGGAUUAGGCUUAGAAGCACUAGUUUCUUUCUUGAGAAAUAAUAAUAAUUUAGAUAAGUUACUACAAGCGGGUAUCUCGGGCGAAAGGAUGCUACCAGUGUUGGAGGCUUUGAAGCGGGGGAAUAGAAGUAGUAUCAGAAAGUUUUCUCAUCAAUCAUAGCGGGAAGCUAUUCUUCACAGGAGAUGCAGGUCACUUCCCGAGUGUUGCUGGAACAAUAGCAUUAGGGAGUUUACCCCGUUAGAUGAGGAUACACCAGUGGAAUCUAUCUCUUUAAAAUAGAUCAUAUAUAUCAUAGGAAUUGCCCCAAACUCUAUCUUCCAAAGCACUUAGUCGUAGCCAAACACUUGAACUAGCACUAUAGGCAGUUUCAACAACCAAUCUCUCUUCUCUUCUUGCCAACCCGAACUAACUCUAUCCUGCCUGCCGACCUAAACUCGUCUGUCUGUCUUUCUUUCUUAUGAGACCCCUCAGGACUACUACUUGUUGAGUCAACUACUCCCUGACUAACUCUUUCACUAGGGUAGGGCUCAACUAAUACAUAGCUCUCUGUGGGCAGUCUCUUACUAAUACAUACUUCAUGAACUCCCUUACAAACUCUUUCACUCGAAACUCCUCUUAUUUAAUUACCUGAUGCUAUACUAGAGUCACUAGAAACAUUCCAUUCUUCAAUUCAAACUAAACCAAUAACUCCUAUAGUGCAUAUUCAUUUCGCAGAUCAAUUGAACUGUAACACAACUAUAAGCCUUAGCGCAACUAACUCUCUUAAAGACUAAGAUCGGUAGGCUAUCCUAACUCUCCUUUCUGAACCGACUUCACUGUCUACGCCAAUGUCACUUACCUCCGCGAGUCUAGUUUUUGGGAGUUACAUGGGCUACUCAGAACAUAGGUGUUACGACGCAAAAAGAAGUAAAGGGAUCUUGAAUCCAUUAUAUAUGUAGAAUCUUCUAGCUAUAUUAUAUUCAAUAUGAAAGAAAGCAGUAAGCUGUCUGGUUACGAUCUUAUAUUAGCUGUCGUUCCUAUCAAUACUAUAAGCAACGGAAUAAACAAACACUAUUAUUGACACAAGCAACAGAACAACUAAAUGCGUUAGUGCGCAGAUAAGGGGUGUUAACGUCAGUUAGUAUAGUGUAGGAGUUUUUUGACUCAAUGUUCUAAAAUGUGUCUAUUUCUAUUCUUUUAUUAGUAGUUUAGAGUGUUUUUCAUCUCUUCCUCCAAUAUUAGUUUAGUUAAGCUAUCUUCUGCUCACCAAGCAAACAAUAAUGUUUAUGACAUGUAUCAAAAGUGUAACACCGCUUACUUGCAUUCGGCUUAUAUCGGCUCGAACAUAGGGAGACUCAUAUUCCAUACUUAUAGGUUCUGGAACCCCACUUGCACUUGUGGAUUUGCUUGUUCCCCGAGAGUAAGCGUUAGCACAAGUUCAAGUAAGCCUUAGUGUAACGGCUUAGCACCCUAAUAAAUAAGCGUUAGUGAGUUACAACAGUAAGGUUAAUCAAUGACUUUAGUUGUGCACUCAUAUUCAAAUAGUCAGGGCAGUCUGGUUUAUAUCUUACAUAAGUUGUGCACUAUCAUUCAACGCGCGUUAGGCUUAUAGUGUUGGAUGCUUACGCGAGUGACUACCUAUAUUCCUUCUUAAAGGAGGCCAGCCGUUAGUUUACUAUUCCACGAUAUCUUAAAGGAAGCCAGCCGUUAGUUUACUAUUCCAUCAAUGAUAUAUGAUGAUAGUUCAAUUAUAUUCCGACUUCACACUGGCCUAAACAGAACUGCUUAACUCUGAUUGUCCGUGCUUUCCCGGUCGCAGGAACAGAACUGCAACUAUACCUUCCCUCUAGAACACCUAUGAUGGUAGUAAUAUACUCCUCUUAUGCUCUUAACUGUAUGUAUACGCCUAUAUAGCGAAUAAGACUCGCGCCCACCUUUCCUUUCUAAAGCCUUUGCUUGUUACAUUUCAUCUAGUGCACAUCAACAAAGAAAAUAGACAUAAAGUCAACUAACAGAAUAAAGUCAACUCACUCUUUACUCUAAACAAGAAUCAUUCAUAUCAGAGGAAGAAUCACUCAUAUCAUAGACGCAUCCGCUAAAGUCAGCCCUUCGCGCAACAACCAAAAUAAGUUAGCGCCCCGAAAGCUCACGUAAGUACUAGUUUGUUCCGUUGCUUGGCCCUUAUUUGAUAUUAGAAUUGGGUUUCUCAUAUGUUUAUUUGAACCUAUUUUAGGGUAGUUCAUUAGCUAAACUAGGGCAAAAACCAGCUAGCUCAGCUCGAGUUAUUCUCUUUUUUAGCAAACAACAGCAAGUUCUAUUCUCCUUUUUAGAUGUUUGUGCGUUACCCCCAAAGACGGAGCAUACCUUUCAGCUCACAAAGAAUUCAGGGUGCUACGACAAGACCGAGUGGUGGAUGGUCGCUUACAGAAUGAGUUACCCGACUUGAAGAAUAAGGACACGCCCCAGGGACAAUGAACAACAAUGCAUGAACGAUCGUGUCCGAAGACUUAUUGCUUGUGCAUGGUCGCUUACAGACUUAUUGCAUGAUCGCUUACAGAAUGAGCGGGUGCAUCAGAGAAUUAUAGUAUUGCAUUCAAGUUAUUUUAUAAGAGAUUCUAUAGUAUUCUAUUAGGAAAAUGUGGUAUCAAAAGGACAAUUGCUUUUCUCAUUUUGUAUAAAAAAACCAGCUUUUCCAAUUGUAUUUUAGGCUGUUUGUGUGGCAGCGAUGUACCUUCAAUGAAUGCCCCGAGGUACCUUCCACGCCGGGGGAUCUUCUUUCUAUGCACGACCGACCGACCACCAGAAGACUUACUGAAUGAAUGGACCUACUAUGCUUUAUUGAUUGAAGACCGAGUGAACUACCCUGUAUUUAUUGUUGGCCCCUAGCCCUGUUGCCAGACCCCUUCGAUGCACGACCGAACGAACAAUGAACGAGGUACGUAGUUGACAGGAGAGGCUUAGUUGCCAGCUGCAGGGCUAGUUGAAAGAAGUAUUUGAACUCAGGCUCCUCCACCGUAGUAAACAAAUGAAGUGAAGUUCGCUACCUGUGCUACUACUACCGGGCAAAAGUGUGCUACCGGGCGAAAGUCUGCUACCAGUCUGAUUGGCAAGCGCAACUCUUAUUUGAAAGAAUGGAGCACUAGGGAGUACUAUCCGGGUUUUUGCCUUACUACUAGCUUGGCCCAUGACUUAUGAUAACUCUAGCCGGAACCCAGGCUUUCACUACGGAUCUCGAAACCUGCUAUCAUUUCUUGCUUUACGGCAUCUAAGAAUAGAGCUGUGCGCCAGGGAACAAUACCAGAACCCAAAACAGGGAAUUGACCAGUACCCUAAGGGACUGAACUCUCAAAAGGGAAUUGCACCCGAACCACUGAUAACAAGAACUCUCCCACCAACACUCCCUAGUUAUUUAUUUCGAAUUGCAAAACUAGACCUUUAGCUACUGGCCUCGAACCUUGCUCUACUGGGGCCUAUGCUAUUACCUUUCCCACUGGUUCAGUCUUACUUGACUUUGUUUUCAUUCCCUUGGAUACGCACCCUAGGUCUGCUACUACUUCAUCUCAAUCUUAGCAUUCUAUCUUGUAUUCCAUCUUGUUCAUUUCAUUAUGGAAUUAAGUAUUCCUUCAUUGUAUAUAAGAUUCAUAAGUAGGCUACCCAUGUCCGCCACUAAACAAAAUAAGGCUUAAAUCGCAGUUAACAGGGCUAUAUCUCACAACUAACUAGGAAGUCCGCUACUACUUCCAAGACUUCCUUUCCUUUCUUUUAUUUCUUGUACUGAUGCCAACAGCACUAGUUUUCUCAUAACCGGGGAUCAAACAAAUAAGUAAGAGAACGAAACCAAUAUACACCAGUAAUAGAAUCACAAAUCACUUCAAAACUAAUAAGAGAAUAGAGCUGCUGGCAAACUGGCCUACUCGACUUUCUUUUGAGUCUGUAGCUGCUGACUUCUAACCUUACUACUUGGAGUACCUUGCCUAUAUAUCUCCUCUACCUAACAGGUUUCGAACUUUUACUUCGCCUCUUUAGCAGCUUACUUCUUUUUCUUGCCGUUCUUGCCAUUAUUGCCUGCCGUUUCUUAUUUGUUCCUAAGAUGUUUCGUUUCUUAUUUGUUCCUAAGACGACCGGUUUCUUAUUUGUUCCUAAGACGACCGGUUUCUUAUUUGUUCCUAAGAUGUUUCUUUAUUUGUUCCUAAAAGAUAAUGUUUUUCUUAUUUGCUCCUUAAGACGGUUUCUGACUUUUAGUCGCCGUUACUUUAUUCUUAUGAAUGUGAGUGCAAAAGAAUGGAUUUAGGCUUCCAAGCUGUAAGUUGUUUGCUUGUUCCUAAGCUUGUUCCUUCCCCUCUUUGUAGUUACGGACUUAUUCUUCAGUUGACAAGUAGUAGUCCAGGUUGACAGCCCGUUUACAGCACCAACAAGUAGAAAUGCCCCAUAAAGUAUAUGUUUUCACUCUAUCUUAUAUUAACUCUAUGGCUCCUUAAAUGAGGAAGCCCCUUACUGGAUAAAGCCCCUUCCUUAUAGUACUAGAGCCAGAAAUCAUAAGUAGCAAACGAAGCUAAUCUUUCUCUGGCAACUAGCUAAUCUUUCUCUGGCUAAUGAUUCUCUGCAGUACUACCGGUAUUCCACUGGCAUAACAUCUUCAGAUUGAAACAAUCAAAGGAAAGCGGGAAUAUCAAUAUCCGUUUUCUCAGAAGCGCCCCCGGAAGUAGCGAAUUGUAGCAAGUUGACAGUAGCAAGGGGGAUAGAUCUAGCUGGUACGAGGGCAGGGUAUCGAAAGGGAGUUCUUUUCUGGUCUGCCCUGUUUUGUGGAAUCCUAUUUAGAAGCAGUUCGAAAGUAAGGUUAAGGCAUGGGAAGGAAAUCAAUCAAGAAAGAAGGUCAAUCCAGAAAGCAAGAAAGAAGGUUGGAAAAGGGGGUUCUUGUUUUGAAAGAAAGGAGACCGGGUUCAAUUAAUUGUAUCCAUAGGUAUUGUAGCUAGCAGGGUGAAAUGCAUUGUUGCGAGUUAGCUGAGUCUGCCUUCUUGCCAUUAACCUUAUUAGUAGUAGUUCUGGUUUGAUUCUUUUGUUUUAUACCUUCCCUUCCCGAUCCUGUCUCUGAUCCUUAUCUAGUUGAUGCUUAUGAUACAAAGCUAACCUCUGAUCGAGUAGACCUAACUAACCCUUUGUUUGCCUCUGCUUUCUUUUACUCCGCCACAACAUUUGUUUGAUUCCCUUAGUAACAGUGGUUUUCAUUGACCUCUCCCUCGCAUCAAAGGCAAUAAUCGAACAGUUCUGCUUCCUCGCCUCGAAUCAAAGCCAAUAAGACUUGUAUGCCAGGUAUGCCAGGUUCAGAGGCUUAAUCAAGUUAGAUUACAUGCGGUAGGCACGAUAGGAGACAUGUAGUGAGUGACUGGAUGUAGCUUUUUCGCCUCUGAUACGGAUCUCAGGUAAGCCAACAACUCAGUUGCUACUGGACUUAGGGAAGAAAGGAAGGAACCAUAAAGAAGGGAACCGUCCAGAUUAGGAUUUCCUAUCAACUAGAGCAGCCUGAAAGUACCAACAUAGGUAAUUUGCCAAGAGUUCAAUCAAUAGUUAUACAUCAAUAGUUCAAUCAAUAGUUCGGUGCCCUUACCGAGUGCUGUCUUCUGCUUACGUAAGAGUGAGUUUCAAGUCCAGUGCCCCAUUAAGAACCUGCCGAGCGUCAGUCAUUGCCAGUGGUUUCAUCUGUCUUUGUUGCAAGAGGGAUAGGAGAGGUUACUAACUAGUUGAAGUAAGUAUAAGUCAGUUUCGAAUACCGCGGCAAAGCCAUGACUUUCUUUCUUACUGCCCGGCACACAAGCACUUCUGGAAGUUACUUUAGAGGCGAGGGCAGCGUCAGCUGCGAUGCCGAGUAGUUAUUGUAAACCUUGCCUAACAAAGCACUUAGUAUAAGCUUGGCCUCUAUUCUGUAAUUGAACCUUUGUAGUAGUGGCUUUGCUCGAGAACAAGUAUAAGAAAACAGUGAAGUGAGUUGAGUAGUUAAACGGAAGAAGAUCUGAUGCCGGGCCGGGUGUUGAAGAAUAAAGAUCAGGUACGAGUAUAAAGAUCAGGAUCAGAUGCCCAAUCGACUUCUGUUUGAGCAGUAACUCGCUAACGGAGCUUCCAAUUAGAAAGUACUGAGUGCUGGUAAGGGGGAUUCUAUAUCCAGAGUUGCAUCAAGAACAUUCCUUAUUCUAUCUAUCUUGGCUCUGAGGCGGGUGAGGCAGCUUUAUCAACAGAAUAAGGGUUUACAGUCCCAACAAGAACAAGAACAGGAGCAGAACUACUUGCUACAGGCUCCGCUCUAAGAGCCGACUUUAGAUUGGAUUUAUACCUUCCUUUUUGCUCUGUUCCCCGGGCAUGCUCCUAAAGAUGGGUUUCGGUGUCAGAUUAGCGUGAUAAGCCAAUAAAUCCUUCUAGCUUCUUUUCUACUUUCACUAUUAACUCAAUUAGAAUUGCACUCGGUAGGAGGAAGUGAGCUAAACGUUAGCGAGUCCGGGAUUCACUGGUUCAAUUCUGAGUUACCGGACUCGUGCUUAGAAGGUUCGUGCAUCGAAUGUACCUCGGGGAUUCAUAGAUCAAAUAUACAAAUAGUAGUCCUUUUUGACUUUACUAGGAUAACAUCUAUUCUUUUAGGUACGAGUCGGAUUCUUUAUUAAUAGCGAUAGCCUUGUGAUCACACCAGCAGGAUUCUACUCCUGGAUGCACAAAGAUCCUAUUCUCAAUAUAAGCUAACUAAAUAAUGAAUCAAAUGCAAUAACAAGAGAAUCAAAGACAAGCUUAGAUGAAGUAGUGGCAGAAUAGGAGACAGGGAAGUAAUACUAAAGGGUUCAGGCAGUAAGCCUUAGAGACAGGAAAGGAAGGCGCUAACAAAGGCAUGUAAGGCAGGAGUUUAGUACUGAGAUAUAAGGUAUAAAGCCUGGGUUCCUCGCUCAAGUAGUAGUGGGAAGGUCCUUAAGCUAUGUGUUUGAGGUUCAAUUCUUACUGAUAGUAUAGUGAAGGUCAUUAGCGAUUCGAUUCCUGUUAGCGGUAGUGCUAGUGUAUAUUUCCUACUUUUCAUAAAGGAGAGGCAGCCUUGGCUCCAGGUAGAGUCGUACUUAUGUUCAAGGUAGUAAGCAUGAUAGCUAGUAGGGAAAGGAUCGGUGUCAGUAGGGGGGAUAAGUUCCAGUAUUGCCGGCACCAGUGUGAGUUUUCAAGUCAAAAGAGUUAGGCUUGGGUUGGGGAGAGGUUAGUAGGAAUGAGAUCGAGUAAUGGCAGUUCCAUCUAUUUUGGUUGUAGUCAGUACACAUCGAGUUCAAUCCAUUGUAAGUAGUGUUCAAAUCUGGUAGUCGUUAGUUUCGUUCCCGCUCCUAGUAGCCUAAGGUUGCGGGUAAGGAGACAUAGGCCGAUGUGUAAAGUUGUAAGAAUCGGAAACUGUAGAGGCAGGCUUGCUAUCGGUGUUUUCACUCUCAUCAGUGGUGUCACCGUUGGGGUCUUGCCGGCAGUGGUUCCAUUUGUUAUCAUAAGUAACAGGACGCUCUAUUCUUUCCGCUAUUGGCAUCAGGCUGAAGUAGCAAGCAAGCAUAGUCAGAAUCACAGUAAGUAGUUAAAGAACGGUAGCCUGGAUAGUAAGCUCGAUAGUAAGUAAAGCAAGGUGAUUAUAGGAGUAGUUAAGUUGGCAAGUAAGUCAAGUCAGACCUGGAGUUAAGGCAGGUAUGGACAUACAUAAGUAUGUUGUGGGGCUAUUUAGUCUUGUCGGGUAGGUAGUAAGCCCCCUAUUAGCGCUAGGUUAAGUCUGUUCGCCAGUACAGUAGUUCCAUUCCAUGUUAUAUAAGUCAAAGGACUAGAAGCACUUGUCGAAUUCCCUAUUAUAAUCAAGUAUGAAAGCGCUAGGUUAAGUCCCAUAAGUACUAGCUCAAUUCCGAUACGAUAACAAGGUUCGAACAGAUAAGUACGAGAAUACAUCUACAGCUUCUAAGCAUUAAGCUACUGACUCGGAGUUACACUCUACUAUCAACAAGAUCGGAAUGUCACUCAACUAUCAAUAAUAAUAGUACUGGUACCUAACCUAGGAGGCUUAACCCACAAACCAACUCUGUCUUUCCUUGUUAUUAUGCUUACCACUUGGGUUCUGAAACUCCAUGCUUGAAUUCCGUAUUUACUGCUCGAUUCUUCCUUCCCGGGAGAAGUACUCAUUCUUCUGUUCCUGAUGUAAGAGUUACUUUCUUAUCAGUAAGGGGAUCAGACUUCAAAGAAGGAGUAGCCGAACGAGGGUGAUUCACUAGUAACAUAUAAUAAAGAAGGAUAACGAAAGUAACAACACAUGAUAUAAUUAAGUAACCUCCCUGCGAUACUCACUUAUUUAUUGCUGACAGAUUAACUACGCUUACUCACUUAUUGAAUUUAAGUAAGUAGCAAGCAGAGGAUACUCUUUAAGACGACAAGACCAGACGAUCGGGACCAUAAGCUAUUUAAUCUGGUGUUUCGGAAUCAAAUAAGUAUUUCGACUUCUUCUUCCAAUGCAUCAAAGGAAAGGGCUGGGCUCGCGCAGGAGCUCAACUGACACGACACGCUUAAGCGCUCGCUAACGCAUCAACUUAAGAAUAUAUUAAGGCACCCAUUGAUGCACCUUCACCCGGCCUUAUAGUAAUUCGCUAACGUUAGAGUUUUGCUCCUGAAAAUAGGACUUGUUCCAUGUAUAUUAUUGGAUUCUAUAUUAUAUUAGUAUAUGGAGCAAUAGGUUUCUAAAUAGAGCAAUAGGUUUCAAGUUGGCUUACGUUCAGUUCAUCUCUGAUAGACCAGUUAUCGUUGGCAGUAGUUCAUAAUCAGAAUCCGUUUUGCUAGAAGCGUCGGCUCCAUCAGGACAGGAAAGGUGUGUGUGAUUAUAGCUUGAGUCAGACCACAGGUAAUAAAAGAUGUAUUGGUGCUUUACUUAUCUCGUACUUUACUUAUUUCUGACUGAACUUAUUUCGUAUCUAGGUGCUUUACUUGCUUGCAACUUCGUAUCCUAAAGCAUUAACAACAACAGUAAAGAGCAGCAGUAGGGCGAGUUAGACGUGCGAGUGGCACUAUUACUAUACUGUGAACUCAAUUCCAUUCUUAAGUGCAUGUCGUAUAUAAUAUAAUGUAUUUUGAUUCGCCCCUUGUAGGUAAGCAGUGAGUUUAGUUUACAAAUAUGAUUCUAUAAAGGAAAGGGUGAACUCAAUUCCACAAGGGUAGAUAAAUGACUGUACUAAGUGAAGCGAAAGAAGGAAGUGUUGUAAAUUGUUUUGUUACUUAUUUCUAUCAUGUGUCCUACUUGACCUUUAUACUGUGAUAUGUCUACUUCACCCCUGUCUACUUUAUGAACUUAACCGCUGAUUCUAUCUAUAAUUACACUCGAAAGCAACCCUGAGAGAAGGUCGAGAAAUCUUAAUUAAGGGUAGACCUUGAAAGCCUGAUUAAGGGUCGCUGUUCUCUAGCUUAGCUUCUGAUUCGCUAACAAGUCCCUCGUGGCAAAGAGCCUUUGAGGUGAGACCACUUUUGAGACUUUCCAUCCUAUUACCAAUAACAAGAAGUAUAAUAUAGUUGAGUAUAAAAUCCAAGAGUUCGGUACCAUUAAUGAAAGGUAUAGCUCGGUGCCACCAUAGUUGAUAGACCAUAGUUGAUAGUUGGAGUUAUUAUUAUUAUUAUAGUAGUAGUCGUGUCAUACCAAAAGCAAGUAAUAUAAGACCACUAGCCGGGAAGGUAAUACUGAUUGAUAGGCAUGUCAAGUCAGAGUUGUUCCCGGGGUAUUUAUUUGUAUGUCGCUAUUCUUUUUUUUAGUACGAGAGACACGAGCUCAAUUCUAGUAGUCAUAGUGGCCUUUCUUAUUUCUUAGUGCAUUUCUUUUUGAUACUAGUUCCGUUAUUUGUAUUGGCAACUCCAUUCCCUUUCUGGUGUAAUACGUAUUAGCAGUAUAUAGUCUGUAUUUCCACUUUGAUUCCUUAAAAGCACCUAGAGACCCUUAAAAGCACCUAGAGACUAAGUAGUUAGCGUUGGUACUUCAUUCGCGGACUACCCAAGGGAAUUCUGAUUAUGGAAACUCAACCUAUGGCUACUCAUUCGCUUUUAGUAGGUGCGCCACACAGACUUCAUUUACUUAUUCCUGGGCUCGAGCGUAAGGUCGGGAUUCUUAGACCCAAUCUUCUUAUGGCCUUUUGUACUCCUUAUUUACUAUCUCAUUAUUUCAUUUGAAACACACACAGUCUCUUCCUUUUGGGGUUCCUUUAGUUUCCUUAUUGCAUCUUCACUCUUCUACUUCUUAGGACAAAUCUGGAUUUCCUAAUUCAAUGUCUUAAAGCUAUGCCAGGCAUCCUUACAGUUGAGGUUGGUUCUAAUACGUAUUUCUAGUAUCCUGACUUCUGUGUUUAAGUCAACCACUUUAGUUUAGGUAUUCUACUUAUGAGAUGAGUGCAAUUCUGACUGCUAGUAAGUUCAAGUCCCGUCCUGGUCUUAUCGGUUUUAUAGCAGUACUGGUAGGCUGACUUUAUAGGUGACUUCUUCAAUUCCUAGUGUAUAGCUUCAUUAUAAGUUGUCCAUUUCUUUCUUCUACUUACCUAUCUUAUACUGGAGCUUAGGUCUUCUACUUGUUCGUUGGAUUCCCUAUAUUGACUGGGGAUGCCCUACAUCAUACCAAUACGACUAUUAGGCUUCCACUAUCCUAGAUCAGACCCUACCCAUAGAUUCUUCUUUGUUCGGAAGCAAGCCGGUCCGAUUCUUAUUCCUCUUCCAUUGUUUGACUAUUUGACUUACUUGUUUGAUUCCGACUUGCCCAAAAGUGCUAGGUUGUCGAGAGGGAGGUGGUGACUUCUCCUAUUACUUAAUGCACUAGACCACACCGAUUCUAUAGGCUAUUGACUCCAACUUUACAUACAGUUUGAGUUAGCUUGGAAAACAGCGUGGGCAGAUCAGUUUGAGAGUUCGGAUUGGAAUACUCAUGAUAGAAACAUAGGAUCCGGACAGGAGUUAAAGAAUCACAGAUAGGCGUUUGAGAUCAGUGGUUAAGAAAGAAUGUAGCUGCUACGCGUAUGAGUGAAAGACAGGAUAGGCAUACUUAGAGUUAGGAGGGUGAGGCUGAUAGCUUGGCGGGGGCAGGUCCGUUUUCGAGCUAGUGGGGGAUAAGGACAAGCGCAUAGGCAUUUCCGUCAGUAGGGUCUGUUUGAAGCUGGAUUCAAUGCAGUAGCUCUGGUCUUAAAAGCAGUAGUUCUAUUCUAUUAGUGGCGAUAGCCUUUCUUUUAUGAUAGCCAGUAAGGACCCCCGAGAGUAUUCUCCAUAGUAGCUUCAUUCUAUUAUUGCUACUGAUUAAUCCGGAUCUGUAGUAUUAGUCUGCUUCUCGCCUUAUAUCCUUAUUUGUAGUGAUAUCAGAGUGAAAGAAGCAAGUAAAGGGCUUUAAGGCAGUGGCGAUAGGCUCGUUCUUGUGUUGACAUCCUAUAAUAAUGGAGGCUCCUAGGUUGUAGUCAAAGAAUGAAAGUGAUUAGUAGUAUUGAAGUAAGUUAUUGAAGUCAGCAGCGGUAGGUUGAAAAGAGAGAUAGAUCAAGUUUCAAGUAAGGAAGAGCUGGCUAAGAUACAGUUUGGAAGCAAGGUAGGUCAGAGGCACAUGGAUAGGAGUAAAAGCCUGGGUUCUUUCUGCAUUAAAGUAUAAUCGGUAGCACAAUAGUGGAUUUCCUAAUAGUAAGUUCAAGUAUCAUUGUUAUGAGUUGGAUUUCAGUGAUCCAGUGUCAAUUCUCAUUGGUAGUGAUUGUAUUCCUGUUAGUAGUAAGUUGAGAUCAAAGUAAAGAUAGUAAGCCUGGUUUCUAUUCUUUUCAGUAGUGAUUUGAAUCUCUUAGUAGGUGGAUACAUUUCGGGUCUUGUUACCAGCAGUUAUAGGUUUCAAGCUAGGAUCAGUGUCCAGUGAUACAGAGUGCAAGCACGGAGCGGAGGGCUAGCUUCUUUGUUUCAUUUUUGGUUAAUCAUAGUUGGAUUCCUUAUUUUGAGUUUAGUUGGCGGGUUGGAUAAAUCAGAAUCACAGUCUUAGGGUCGGGAGCAGGUGAAGCAGAGUUCAGUUAGUAUCCGGACUUUUGCAUUUCAUUCUGUAUUUCUGACUCUUAGCCUUAGAGCUAUUAGUUUGAGUUUCCCUAGCCGUGGGUAUCCUUCCAAAUAGAAUAUGAGGAGUCGACAGUGAAGUCUCUACUACUAUACUAUAGGUUGGUUCAAGUAUAACUAAUUACAGGACGAGAGACAGGAGCGUAGGGGCUCAUAGUGAGUAAAGCAAGUCUGAUGUGUUAGUUAGUCAUUCCUAUAAGCACUUGUUUGAGUCUCUUACUGACUUGUUUGGGUUCCCUUCGAUCUCACUGACGCCGAAGACAUCACGUAGUAAUAACAAGCACAAAACGAAUUGUAUGAUAGGCGGUAGGGGACUUGGUCGCAGUGGUUUCAUUCCAAUAUAGUAUGGGACUGAUCUAACCUAAUGGGGUAGUUCUAGUGCUUGAGAGCAAGGAUAGUUAGAGUUUCAGCAGGAAAGGGCAGCUUUAAACGGCUCGACAGAAGGAGAGGAAGGGCAGUCUCAUAGGUUCAAUAAAGAAAGAAAGUACACAAUGUAAGGCUAAGACAUAGGAAAGUCAGAAUAGGGUUUCGGAGUUUCUUUCCCACUUAUAGUAGUUAGAGAUUCUAUUAAGUAGUGUGGUUUCGGUCUGAUAGUAUAAGAUUCGAACUUAGAAGUCAGAUGUGAACCCGCGCAGGGAUGAUGGGCUAACAGUAAGGGCAGUGAGACUUAUAGUUGGGAUAUAGAAUACAAGUGGAGUCGUGAGAGUUGAAGCAAGGGUUAGAUCCGAGGUAGCUAUAUAGCCUUAAAAGCACUGGUUGAAGUCCUGUGUAGUGGGCGCUGUUACCUACUUUGAGUUAAGGUAUUGGUUUCCCCGGUUCGAUUCUAUCAAGCAGUGUUUUCAGUCUAUUAUGGGUGGGCUGGUCUCUCCAUAAGUUUAGUCAGAAUGGCAGUUCUUAAAGGCAUACUAUGCUACAACAUAGGAAUUUAGGUCAGUAACUACAGAACCAAAGGAAGGAUAGUCAGAAUCAUAUUAAGUGGAGCAAAGACCCGGAUCGGAUCAGUGGUUAACGACUGAAUGAAAACCCGAGAGAGUUCAGAGACUUUAAGCGAAGAAGGGAAGAGCCGAUAUAAGAAAUGGAGGUAUGGGUCUGUGAGGAGUAGAGACAGCAAAGCAAGGGUCGAUUACAUUGAGUGGCCCGUAGCGGCAGUAGAUAAGUAAUAAGAUAAGUAAGGACAUUGGCGGAGAGUGCCCCGUUAGUGAAGUUGUAAUUCCAAGUUUCCAGUUAAGGUAUUGCUAGCAGCGACUCAAUUCUUUGACUUACUUGCUCGAUUCUAACUUGGCCUAUAUGCCUUUUCUUCUAGAUGUGCUAGCGUACUUAGUUCAACUCUUUCAGUUGGUCUUAAUGGUCUCAAGCACAUGGGUAGUGCUAAAGAAUGAAAUUCGAAAUAAGGAACUCUACUAAUACUAUCAGACCUUCGCUCUAAACUCAGGCUUGCUCCACUGUUUCCUAGUCUGUCUCUACUUACGGAUCCUAGGAAUCCCCAACUACCUAUACUUAGCUUUAAGUAUGACUUUCCUGACUAUUAGGCUGACUCUCCUGUCUCUAUUUCUUAUUAAUAGCGGUUUUGCUCUUGUACUUGACUUAUUGGUCUGUUGUACAGGGGUCACUAUACUUUAUCUGAUAGCUGCCUAACAGGCUUACUAACCUAUCUUUCAUUCUUUUCCUACUGAUACAGAUCUUUACUGCCAAACGAACAUAACUUCUUUUUCUUUUGUAGCUUGAUUGUUAGGCUCACUUUACUUCCCCUAUUAGUAUGCAAUGCGCCCCUCCCUUACCUUACUUCAGUCUACGGUUUGCUUUAUCUCAUUCUCCAACUUACUGACUAUUGGGCUUAACUAUACUACCCAAUGGAAUGGAACUGGUGCUUAUGAGAAUGAAACCAAACCAACAAAAGAAAGAGUUUCACUAUAGAGUCAGGAUACCAUCGGAUAGGAAUAGAAAGAAGGCUACCAUACAAAUACUAAUAUACAAAUAUCGGAAUGAAAACACUGCCAGCAAGAAGUCAACUGCUGUUCCCUAGCUCUCAAGUAGGAAAGUAAUAAUCCAAAAGCCAUUCUUUAUCUCCUCGAUUUGGGGCUUACUCUCUUUGUUUAUAAACCUCACUUUCCUGGCUAUUGGCCUGUUACUUGCUCUUUUCAUUCUCAAAUGUCAGUAUUCAAUUACAAUAUGUUAAUUUAUAUGAUAUUUGGGAGUAGUUCAAGGCCUUGGUGGUAUGAUCUAAGGCAUCUACUAAUAAGAAUGGACCUGCUACUCGGAAAUCGACCGGGGCAUAUGAAGCCCGCCCUGCUUAUUACUUAUCCUAGUAGAGGCACCUCAACCCUUUUUGAUCUUACAAAUAAGGAAUCCCGCUAAUUGCUAUUAGCCUGGCAUCCCUUCUGUAUUACCGGACCCAGCUUCACUCUGACCUUCUUUGCCUUUAGUCCCACUGUACUCUCCUUUAGCCUUAGUUUCCCGGCUAAUUGCUUUGAUUUCUAUCUUUGAUUAUUAUAUCAUAUUAUGAAAUGCACUAUUCUGUUAACUUACGUAAGAUUGAUUCGUAUGCUGCUCGGUUCAGUGCUAUUCUCCCUUCACCAAUAAGGAGAGAUUUGUGUAAAUGUUACUAAAGCAUAUAGCCUCUCGAACAGAGGAAUAAGAAUAAGAAUCUUAGGGUGAACUAAAGAAUAAUAGACAGGAUCCGCAUACUCCAAUUCAUUUACUUAGUACCUUCCUUGCGGGCAACUCUCACUUUUUCGGGUGCCAAUCAAUAGGGGUGUUUCGACGUAUCCGGAUUGGAUAUUCUAAUGCCUAUCCACCAAGUAACUACGAAUCAAAGUAGGGCAGGGCAGUCUCAUAGUUAGUGAAGUAAGGCUCCGGAUCAGUAGUAAGGUAAUUCAAGUAUGGAUUAGCAGACUUAUCGACAGGGCAGUCAGAGUGAUACCGAAGUGCAGACUAACAAUAAGACAUAGGAUCCGUACACCGAGUUCAAUCUAUUAGGAUAGUCGUCAAUUCUUAGUUGCUUUUUGAAUUCUCAUAAGUCGUAGUUGGUUCUCUCUUUUUUGCUUUACUUACGUUAGUGGCUUGAUCAACUAGUAUGGUUUUUCAGUCUCCUAAACAGGGCAGUCAAAGUCUGAUAGCCCCGAGUUAUGUUCUAGUAAUUAGCACAUCCCCUAGUUAUCUUAUAGUAAUGAGCACGUCUAUAAUCAAGAGCUAAAGCAGUCAUUCAUCCUUCGGAGCAGUUCGUUGCUCGGUCGAUUUGCCAUAUAAGUUCUUCUUAUUACCAAGUGCUUUCUAUACAAUACUGUCCAAAUAAUAACAUCCACGCCCAUACGAGUAGAUCUCGCCCAGUAGGAAGGAGUUAGAGAGUUCCGAGUUCGUUGAUUCAAAGCGGCAUACCCGACUAAGGAAAGUCAACCUUUUAGCAGUAUGCGUAUUGAUCAAUUCAGAGAAGAAAGAUGGCAAAAGAAGUGUGCAGGCGAAGGCUAAAGGAAGCUACCCUAUAUAUCAAACCUUUAUAUGCAUAUGCCAGUGAACUGGAAGAGAUAGUAGAGAAAGCCCUUCCAAACCAAUAGAUCGAAAGUACAGAUCUGGAUUUCCUCCCGCCUCUGUUUUACUUGAGCACAACGGAACUGGCCGUUGAAUAGCUUGCUCCUCUUGCACAGGAUCCUUCAAAGAGCAAGAUUGAGCCCAAAGGUAAAAAGAAAGCUUCUACAGAAGUUAAGGCUUUCACUUUGACCGAGCGCAUUAGAUUAGUAUUAGCAAUAGGGUUUCUUCAGCCUUUACCGAGCACAUCGUAGAAUGAAGUAAACAAACAGAGCAUCGCAGGCAGUUUGAUAUCCGAGGCGCUUAGCAGUUCUAUAAAGAAAGGUGCGUUGAGCCUCCAUAUCAGGCUUAGCACUAUACCUUUGAUUCUUAUGUUCCUCUUUCACACCUCAACCACCACCUAAGAGCCUGUGUUCCAUUAUUAGUAUUGCAAUCUUCACUAUUGGACUGCCCUUACUGUCUCUUAAACUGAAGUGAGUAGUUCCUUGGCAAGUCAGAAUGCUAAAUGGUAUCUCCGAGACUGAACUACUUACACAAUAAGGAAAAAGAAUUCUCUUUAGGAUAGAACACCAGCCUUAUUGCCUCAUCCCUUGCUCCAACUCUCACUAGCCCCACUUUGAUCUUUAGCUACUGGCUUUGGUUUUGACUUGUUAUUUGAUUAUUCAAUAAGUUAUUAUUCAAUGAACUAUUCAGUUACACCUAUAUUAUUACGAGAAAACAUAUUCUAAUAUCUGGGCUGGGUGAAAAGAAUAAUGAAACUAAGUAAACAGAAGAACCCAAAUAACAAACAGACAGGAAUGCUAGUAUAUAUUUUCAGGUGGGAACUACCUACCGCACAACUUGUUGUUUGGUGGAUCCGAAUCAGCAGUCACAGAAUUGAAGUUAGUAGCACGGGAACGAAAGCAAGGGACACAUAGGUUGAUAGCAAGGGGAUAGAGAUCCGGACCUGAGACAGUAAAGGAAGGCCAAAAGCAAGUAAAGACUGGUUUGGUUCCCCAAUAGUAGAAGGCUUAGUUUGUGGGAGUUCAGUCAAGAAGUAGUCGCCCGGGUUCGUCUCCUUUAUUCCCUUUGAUGCAGCCCGGGUUGGUUGGUUCUGAAAGAUGGGACUUCAGAAUAAUUACAACUAACCCAAUAUUCUAGUUGUUCUUUACGGCGAUAAGUAUUAGUUUACAUAGGAUAGGUAUCCCUCAUUCAGUUCAUAGUUGCCAUCAAGAGUUCAAUCAAUAGGCUUUCACUUUAGUUGUAUUCUUUGUCGAGAGUGAAGAGGUUCGUAUCGGAGUAGAAGAAUGGAAUGGAAAAGUCGUUCUUGUGAGCCUACCUUUAAGGAUUGCUGUUUCAUCCUUGUUGGAAUAUGAUCUAAACUCCCCACGUAGCUCUGUAAGCCUCUACGUAGUCUAUCUACAUGCUACCUUAAGGUCAAGUAGUCCCUAUCAGUCAGUUAUCUCUAAGAAGGAUGAAUAUUCCUUAUUGUCAAAUUGUACACUUAGAAGUGCUCGCUCUCAUAUCGGAUUAUCACUCUCUCUGGUAAGGGCCUUUUCUCUGACUUUGUCUUAUCUAUCCUCUCUGAGUCGUUUUCAAUCUUGUUUCAGCGGGUGAUAAGUCUGGGCUAAAUCAACCUAUCUCCUCAAGCAUGGAACUCAAGUCAUCGCGUAUGGAAAGGCAGGGUUAGCUUCUUCAAAAGGGUCUUGUCUUGGUGUCCCAGUUCAUUCGGAUUCUCUGAGUGGAGCAUAAAUGAGCCUAGCUUUACUGACCUCGCACCGAACUCUAAUAGCGUCUUGAGAUUAGCCCAAUGCCCACAAUAAAUGCGCUCUGGCAAACCACCUUCUGGUAAUGACUCGAUCUCUUUGUCUGUCGGAGCCCUUUCUUUCUCCCUAACGAAAAACACUUGAUUAGGCCUCUCCUCUGGUCUUCUUUCAUCUUAUAUUAUCUCUUUCUAACGUUGGUCAACAUUUGAUGAACUCGAUAGUGAGAUAUUACCAGAACUUUAUAGAAACACACUAUAUCGAGCUCCAUACAGAAGAUAGUAGACUGCUAUCGGCGGCUAUACUUCGAGCCCCCAUGGUAAUGAGUCACAGGAAGAUGGUAAUGAGUCACAGGAAGCUAGUUCUAUCACUUCUGCCCAAGUUCACUUCAGGCCUAUAUCAGAUAGAAAACACUUUUCAUUGUUUGACAAACCUAAUGGUUUAGAUGAAUGCAACGAGUAUAAGGGCGGCUUUCUGCUCUCCCCCGAAUUGCAAACCAGAACGCUUCGAAGGGCAGUGGUCCAAGGCCUCUCAUAUCCAUCAAUCAAAUAAUGUAGCUCCUUUACUUAUUGCCUGGCGGGUAACUACUAAUCUGGAUUUGAUAUAGUACGCCAGCUCAUAUACUAUCUGGCGAGAACUGGUGCGCUGGGCGAUCUCACUCUCUUCGCUUCGGGAUACUUUCUUUCAAUGGAGCCCGACUACUUCCUAAUCUUGUUAACCUCCGAAUUGAUUGAACAAUCUCCAAUACAUGUAGGUCCAGGGAAGUCUAAUCAAAGGGGGUCUCUUUAGCCGUCAACCGCUCCGUGGGUGUCUAAGCAAAGAUCUUCUCACUUUAUUGCUAUUCCAUUUCCAAUGGACCAUUCUAUUGUGGAUCCACCAUGAUCUUGGACUUCCCUAAGAAAGGCAACUGCAACUUAAGGUCGACAUCUCCAUAUCUCGUUCACUUGUGAGCUCGGUUCGGAAUAGUAUACUUCCCGGGCUGUCAAUGAAAAUAACCCAUUUCAAGAACUUAAGGUGCGCUCCGCCCUGAGAUAGCGCCAACCUCAAGUCAAGCGCUGGCUUUAGCUCCAAUCCUUGAAUGUAGAAAGCAAUGCUUCCAUCUGAUCCACGUUUCCGGGGAUAGCUCUACUGAUUCAAGAGAAGAAAGACAUAAUAUAGGCAGCUUUUGAUUAUCAUGAAUAUUCAGCGGAAGUGGAAUGUUAUAUAUUUCAGCAAUGGCAAUUCUCAUUGGAUCACUUAUUCCUUAUCUUAUUUUUGGAUUACCUUAUUGGAUCACUUAUUCCUUAUUCUUAGAUUACCUUAUUGGAUUACUUAUUCCUUAUUAUUGGAUUACUUCUUCCUUAGUUGUGGGAUCUCUCACGCUCUUCAUUUGACUUGGCCAUCUAGUCGAUACCAGCAAAAAGAUCUCUAAGAUCCUAGUCUUAUGCGCUCGAAAAGGAAAGGAGGCCUAUUUUCAUGUCCAAAGGUGUGUGUGAAGAAAGAAACCUUCUCCACCCACUACGGAAAACAUCGAUUUCCUGUAAAGAUCUUAUCAAUGGAACCUGUACUUCUAGCAUCUUUAUUCACGGGGCUAAGUUCGAGUUACCAACCCUAUUACUAAAGAGUUAGACCUACUUCCUUGUUGGACACCAGACGCGUGAGCCCUGCUCUUUGAAAGGGAGUAACCCGAUGCUUUAUUAUUCCAUUUCUACUUACCUCGUCUCGUCUUCUCUUCUUCCCUCAAACAUCUGCAGAUCUGAGUUGAGUGCUUCUCUGUCGAAAGAACAGAUUCAUUGUUGGAAGCUAAUUCUUCUUCUCGCCGCCUUGUCUGUACACCAAUGCCAAUGGCUAAUUCUGCUUUUUCAUCCUGGAGCGAGUUAGCCGUCGCUUUUUCUUCUUUUACUUUACCGAGCCGAGCCAACCACUUUGCUCUCGUAUGCCGAGCCAACCACUUUGCUCUUGUAUAAAGAAUUCCUUCAUAGAACUGAGCUACAUACUCCCUAAGACUUAUGGAAAGCACAGACAUCCUUCCCUAAUACUUAGUGAAAGCCCAGAGAAUAACUCAUUUCAUAUUCAUUUCAAUAUGGAUUGUAAACAAAUGCUUUUCUACCAGAAACAGAUCCGAGCUCAUCUCACUAAGGAACAAACAGAAAAGAGUAAACGCGCCAUAGCAUAGACUCAAAUCCAGAGCCAUCAGACACAAACGAACAGAGCAGAAAAGCCACUAUAAAACAAAACAGCAGCCCAGAAGCCGAACUCACUGAUAGAGUAAACGAGGAAACAGCAGCAACACAAUCACUUAUUUCUACUGCAAUACCGGAUAUCGAGGGAGAGAUCAGCGCUACCACGCUUUUAGCUCCUGCCGCUCUGAACUCGCUACCGUGCCUAACGAGGCUUGGUCAUUAGCAGUGCCUUGGCGACCUUGUCUAGUAUACGCUUGGCCAUUUCUGUAUUCUUUGUUCGCUUGCGCGGCAGGGCCGCUCUUCAUGCACCUCUUUUCACUCUGUCUCCCCUUUCUUUAAGACUCGCUCUAAGACUAGGAUCCAACUUUCACUGACCUGGCUAGCGAAUAGAAUCAACAAUCUAAUAAGUGCUGACUUGACUGAUCUUGAUGUAGUCUUUUGAAAGCCUUAGCCUUGCUAGCACGCCCCAACACAGACCGAGAACUGUCUAGCCGGAGUUGUGUAAUUGAGAUGAUUCUUUGAUGUGUUUGUGUUUACGAACGAAUAGUCCACAUCCGAUGAUCCACAUAUUCUUUUUCUGUCCUUAAAGAUUGGCGUUGGGUGGUUCAUUCCCGACGUCACAUCCCUUCUAGCCGUUAUUCGUGAUUGAUAUGGUGCCUGUAAAUCUCUGUCUGUCCUAUUAAAGCAAGAAAAAAGAGUCGAAUGGGAAGUCAAGUCAGAAGGGCGCACUACCCAGUACUACCUUCUUGAGCUACACACUCCUUUAAGGAAGUUAUUGAAGGAAGGUAAAAGUACUUGCGCGGAAAAGAAGUAAAGCAGGCAGCCCAUCUCAAUGGAGUAGAAGCGGGCCUUCGCUGGACCAAUCCACUUUUCUCUCUAUCGUCUCGAGUUAGAGCUAGUCUAGUAAUCCAAAGAGAAGCGUAUUCCCCAGAAGUGGAUAUGAGUAACCUAGAAGUUGGCAAUCCAUUGAAGAUUGUCAGGGAAGUUCCGGCGAGCAAUAAUUCCUGUCUAGAAGCUGGUGCCAUACGAGUAAUAAACCAGCUGUAACCGUUUUGGGUUUCCCCUUUAUUUCCCAUAAGUCUGCCAUACGAGUAUACCAGAGGGGGGAGGUAUUGAGUUCUGAUGCUUCCUAAACCCUAAGCUAGGCGAAUCAAUAACAAAGCAAGACGACUUUCCCUCAGUACGGGCCAUAACCGAAGUCAGAAGGCUUUCAAUCCAAUAUGGUACGCGGUGCUUAUCAAAUCAAAAACCAUCCCUUCCAAGUGAGUUAGAAAGGUAAGAGUCUUUUACCUACCUAGUAUCACUUCUAACUUUCUAAUAACUAAUAAGAAAAAGAAGAUAAUAAUAAUAAGAAUUUUCUAAGAAGCGAGAGCGCACCUCGAGAAACUAGUCUCCGAUAAUAGAUUAAGCAGUACUAAAGGUAAUGGUUGUAAGCUGAUGGAUGGCCGAGUAAAGAACCCAGAUAUUAUAAGGGAGACCUUUACUUUGGUUCAAGGUAGCUAAAUUCAUGUUUCAUGAGGACCAGAAAGAAGAAGGUAAGGGAUAUUGGAAAAAGAAGUAAUGGAUUCCGCAAUACAAAGAAGUUGGAAGCUGUUUCAAAAUACGGCAGAUCUGGUGUGACAAGGGCGUGCUCUUCUAUUGAAGGAAGACCAGAAACGAAACAGCUCUCUUUGCUUACUAUGGAUCUCUUACGUGUAACAUUCCUUGCUUUGACUUUUACGAGCCAAUUGGUUGUUUACUGGUUCCGGUGCUUGGUUGUAAGAGUGGUGAGCUAAGGAUUGGUUGUAAGAGUGGUGAACUAAGGGUGAGCUAAGGAUUGGUUGUCAGAGUGGUGAGCUAGCUAGAUAGUUACCACAAAUAGCCCCUUUGAUGAAUUAGUCCUGGGUUUCGGUGACUUUCGAGUUGAGGCAAUCAGGUCUUUGCUAUUCGGCAAGGAACGGGCCAAGGGCCAAGCAACGAGGCAAGUCAUUCCGGUCCUCUACUAUUGGCUCAUAGCAAAUGGGGAAUAUCUCCGCGGAUCUUCUCUGGCUACAACUACUUAUUGAACUACUCGACUACGGGUUGGGUAUUCCACUCGCCAACUACAGGCUAGGCUCUGUCACAAUAAUUCCAUUCAUAAGAAUUCCACUAGCAACUAUCAACUCAACUACUUGCUUUAAGAAAAGAGUCUUGUAAGCAAUUCCACUCUAACUCUAACAGUAUCUUUUCACUCAGGCUCAUCCACCGGGGAGUAAACUAAUACUUCUUGAAACAAGCUGCUGGCAACUCUGACCAUAAAACCGAAUCUGGUAAAGAAAGGAAGCAUCAAUCCUAACCUGUUCCUUUGUUUGAUACCUGAAUUCUUACUUGCUGAAUGAGGCUCUCCAAUCUAUUCAUUCUGACUUUCCUACUUGAUAUCGUAGAAUUUAUAUCUUUUGUACUAUAUCUUAUGAUAGGAUCUGGCCAAGUCGACAACUAGUUGAAUUCACCAAGCAACAGUAGGAGUGAGUUCCAAAGUUCACUAUACUAGUCUCAGAAAGCGGGUAUCUCGGGCUAAAGUCUGCUAUUAAGGUAUAGGUCGACAAGGUGCUUCAAGCCUAUGUCUUUACUGAGUGUAAGAAAGGUGCUUCAAGCCUAUGUCUUUGAAUUGAACUCACUGGUUACCUCGCCUCUGGUAUUGAAGUGCAGAAUUGUAAUUCAGAAUUGUAAUUAUUAUUGAUGAGCUCGAGCACCCAUAAUGGAGGAAUGUCAUAACACACAUAAUGAAGGAAUAUCAAUACACAGCUUAUGCUCCCUAUAAGAGAUAUAAGUAACCAAACAACGCAUUGCUUUAAUCACUCAUAUCGGCACCCACCCGCAACUCUAGUCAGAAUUAGCACAACGGGCCAAGUAACAAACAACUAAGCUCAUAGCAAAUAGAGACACAGGUAUAAGAAUUAGGCUCCGGGUACAGUCUAGCGCUGGCUCAUUGCUUUUGUCCAAAACUCCCUGCCGCGCCGUAACAUAACUCCUGCCGCUAGUGUCCAUCAUCCGCUCUUUCCACUCUAACGUUACUAGAGGCCGGGGCAGAGUCCUGGGAUAGGAUCCUCAAAGUAGUGGUCCAAAGAGUAUCUACUGAAGUCGACCUAGACCUCGCAAACAGGAAUUGACUCUUUUUCUUACCCUGAUUACCUGCUUCCAUAUGAUCUCGGCUCGGGUAAUCUGAAAUUCUAUUCGGAUAAUGCGCAGAGCCCACUCAAACAUCAAUUUAUUAGCUGUAUGCUCUGUAACCUAGGACUCGGAAUUAAUUGAUUAUCGAACACCAGCUAUAGAACUAAGUAAAGAUCUAACUCCUAAUUCUGUUGAAACUACUGAAGAAGCGGACUUACUUUCGCCAACAGCUGUCAUUGAACUUGCUUGCUCUGCCCGCGUACCUUGACUUUAUUCUUACCUGAGCCCUAACUCGAUACCCGGACUUUCUACUUCACCUUGAAACCACUCACUACUAUCCGAGUCAAGAACUGAUAUCUAUGAUUCCACUCUUACUGAAAGACACUUUACUUCAGUACUUAUGGCUUCCAAGUAAGUCGAACAAAGGAAUGGAAUUGAUCACUUAAGUCCAAGUCGGGUUGGUUGACUUAACCCUGUUCCAAUCGUUCCAGAGAGGUUCAAAAAGCAGCAAUGAAUGAUGAGUUGACUGAAGCGUUAAGUAUUACCCAAUCAUUCCAUUACAGAGAGGUGGCAUUCCAACUUCAAUUCCAAUUCAAAAGGUGCACUUUAAGAACGAGAACGUCUUGUAGCUUCCUUUACGUACCCUGACUUUGAAUCGAAAACUCUACUUAUAUUGGAAUAUACUACCAGAUUUUCAUCUACUGCUCUCUCUGCUCUAUCAGCUUCCUUUCCUCGCACCGUCCCGGCAACUACAACAAACCCUUUCAGUAGUGGUCAAAAAUGUACUGUGGAAUUGGAAUAAUACUAAAUACAUACCCUUACAGUAUAAUGAAGAGCAUGCUCAUAUUCAAUUGCAUCUUGAACAACCAAUCCAUGAAGAAAGCAAAGGAAACAAUGAAGCCCCUGCGCAAACAAGAACACUUGAAAGCUCACUUGAACUUGGAGAUCGAGGCUUAUUAACCACCGAGAAAGGACAACUCAUGAAAAUAGUCCUUUGCCCUACCCCCCUUGUAUAGAAUUUAGUAAAUAUAACUUCACUUGCAUUGCGUUCAAAAAACCUGCCUUUAAUAACCCUAGUCCUUUCCAUUUGUUCUUUGCCAUCAUUACCCUAAAAUAUAGGUUAGUUGGCAAAAAUUCCAUUGUAACUGGGACGCUCUCUCUGGGCCUUGUAGAUUUGUUUAAUGUAGCGGCGUGGGGGGGCCUUUCAAUUCUCUCUAAGCCGAGGGAAGACCCUUUCCCAUCCAUGUAGAUGCUUUCGACCCCUUCUCACGUCUUUGUUGGCGAGUGAGUCAAGAAGCCCAACUUUACUUAAUAAUGCUGAAGCGCGGUCUACUUCAUACGAGUCUCUUUGCUUUCUUUGGAUUGGGUGCUAAAUCCGUUCAUUCCGUUUCUGUUCUCGUUGGCUUACGUGAAGAAUAUCUACGAUAGAAACAAGCUUAGGCAGCACAUACAUGACUAAGAGCUAACGACGGAGUUAUCAGAGUUCCAACAAGCUUAGGGUAGGAGAGUUCUUCCUGUCUUUAGCGCGUAAGGGAAAAGGGAGUUUUCAAUGAAACAAAACCAGGCGAUGCUUGUCAAGAGAUUCCAUUCUUUCUUCAGACAGUUGAGAGUCAAGAAAAGGGCGACGAGAGAGAUAGGUUUAUGUUGACAGUGGUAUUGUCGGUUCAGAAAUCAAGUAUAUAGUGAGGGGAAUUCAGAAAUCAAGUAUAUAGUGAGGGGAAGAAUAAAGAGAAAGUACUGGUUAAGCGAGGGCAGCUUUAUAGAUGCCUUGAGUUUAGUCUCUUUGUGUUCUUGUUCCUGAUCUAAGCUGUAUAGCUAACAAAGCGUACUCAUAAAGUCAAGGGCCUGGCCGACCCGGUUCAAUAAACUCCUUUAAGCGCUUCCUUUCAAGAAGGCAGGUACACGCCAAACUAAUGUUAACGCUAAGGAAUAUUGCUUGGGUGAACUCCCGCUUGAAAAGAAUAUAACUCUCCUCCAUUUGCUUGAAAAGAAUAUAACUCUCCUCGUAUCUAUUAAGUGCGGAACCAUAACAACCAUCUAUUCUAUAAGGUCAGGUGCUGAAGGAACCAUCUAUUCUAUAAGGUCAGGUGCUGAAGGAACUAUCUAUUCUAUAUAAGGUUUUGUAGUUGUAGCUUGCACUUAAUUAACCCUGGGCUGGAAAUGGAACUGAUUGUUCCCGCCUGCCUGCCUCCUUGUCCACGAGAUCCAGAGCUUUAGAUUCCAAGUCAGUAUCUAAAGGUUGCAGUAACAGGGACCUGUCCAAUCUUCAAUAAUUAAUGGAUUCUAACCUUCACCGAGCUUACCCGCUACACCUUAUAGUAUUAUAGAAACAAAGUCAUAUUACCUGCAAACAGAUCUUGCUUCUUAUGAUUCUUAUGAUUCUAUCGUAGACUUCACUUUAACUACACUUCCUGCUCUAACUGCUUCCGCUGCUGAUGAUUCUGUGUUGUUGAUGUAAACCUCCCUUUGGCUUCUAAACAAAUAGUUUCUACUGCGCUCUUGCUUUAAACGCUAUCACUUACUGCCUCCGUCUGGCUAAUGAUUCUUUUUAUUCCCGGUGCUCUAGAGUUAUGAGCAAGUCUGUAUAGUUGACUUUACUCGAACAGCUGGUUCUGUUGGUUAUGAUGCUACUCAUACUUUAGAUCCUAUUCUUACUGAAGGAAGACCAAUACUCUGCCAUCUACUAAUGUCUCUGCUCUACUUGACUUGAUAACAGCUUCUAUAUAGGAUUACUAAGGUCAAGCGCCAAGAACGGAUCUCUAAGAUGAAACAAGAACCCCAUCUGCUUGAGAUCCCAAUCUAUCUGUGGCCUAUGAUCCAUAUCUUUAAACAAGAACUGGCACUAUAUACUUUACUUCUGCAGUUGAUCAUUCAAAAGGUUAACUACUAGUUUGGUCUGGACCUGGCAAUACUUAACGCUAAAUAUGUACUAGAUUCGUCGGGAGCUCUACUUGAAGGGUUAAAACAGGACAGGAAUAUAUCUUUGUUAGCGCAAAGGAAGAAAACUGGAAUAUUUCUUGUUCCGAGUCAACUCUUCGAUUCAUUUAUUCACUGGAUGUUAUAUGAUCUAGGAAUUGAAGAGCUACAGUACAUUCUCCCCUUGCGAUAUCCUCUUCUUUUAAAGAAAGAUUCUACUAAAGAUUCAACUCAACCUCGCAAGUACUACCGGGAUGAUCUCUACGCCCUAACUAACCCUGCUUUGCUUCUUUAUAAGAUGAAACUCGUGGUGCCGAUAAGGAUUGAUGCAAUCGGUAACUCUGCUUCAUUCUUCUCUGUAAACUAAUACAUAAGUAGUUAACACCUCUGUAAGUAAGCAUUCGAUUCGGCUUCGGCUGAUGAUCCUUUUUAUGCUCCUGCUUAUGGUUAUCUACCACUUGCAUCUUUCUCUUUUCUCGGAGACUACACUUCUUACUGGAACUAUGUAUUAGUAAGUAUUCGCUAGAUCUAUCCUAGGGUUUCUUAGUUAUUAAAGGAAUGCGCGUAGAGGCGAGGUGGGCAAAGAAAUCCAAUAAGUUUCACAAGGCUAAGCUGCGGUCGACCACUACUCGGUAAAGCCUUUCACUCCUGGCAAGCUACGUAUACAAAGGUGAAAUUCUGUCCCUGCCCCAGUUAAUCUCAUCUAUAGGUCUAUAAGCUUGGUUGCUCCUGACUUUAAGAAUUAACGACCCUGUUUUUUAGUUAUGACCGGCCAGUCACUACGUAAAGAGAUAGAGAUGCUGCUCCUGCUCCGUCAAAGUAAAGAGAUAGAGAUGCUGCUCCUGCUCCACCAGAUUGAGAGGUUGUCAACUAAAGUUUAGUUAGCUGAGAAAGGAGACUGAUAGCAGAUAGGAUCGGGUAGCUUAGAGAGAAGACAGACUCCGUUUAUAUCCUCUUACAUCUUUAACCCUGCAUUAAGAGGCGAGGCAGAAGCAAUUGUAAACUCCUUAUACAACAAAGUAAGGAGCCCUGCCCCAUUCAGUGGAAAAGUGUUGUUUCGGGUGUCAGGAAAGCAGUCCGCCUCUAUCAGUUCGAAGAAAGUCUCUAGUUGUUUGUCCCCUUGGCGGGGGGCGAGUAAACGUUCUUCUAUAAUAAGAGUGGAAAACGGAAGAAUCAAACCAGGGCAAGCGACUACUAAAAAGGCAAAUAAGGUCAAUUGCUGACUUUUGAACUCCAAUACCGGAUUGAGAAGUCCUCUCCUUGCGCUAACAAACUAAGAUACAGAUCAAACUAGGGGCCAAUCAGACAAGCAGCUAAUAAAGAAAGGGGAGAUACCAUUGAAUCUAAUAGCAGAGAGGAGCCGAUACUUCUUUCAACAAGCCCUGCAGCUGGCAACUAUUAAAAGAAAUGAGGCUCAGUUGCUUGGCCCGGAGUUCUAAUUGAGCCCUGCUGUCUCUGCUUCACCUAUUCCCGCUGGCAAUUAUAGUAGAAGACCAUUAGUGGGGAUAUCCAGAGUAGAAGACCACUUCAUUGAAUGAAUACUAUCNNNNNNNNNNNNNNNNNNNNNNNNNNNNNNNNNNNNNNNNNNNNNNNNNNNNNNNNNNNNNNNNNNNNNNNNNNNNNNNNNNNNNGAGCUGGAGACUUCACUGCUGGAGCACCCGGCUUCUUCUCUUGAAACUUUCCACUUAUGAUUCUGUUGUCGAUGUAGACUUUCUUCGCCCAGCAAGAUGUUAGGAAGAAAUGCACUCAGUAGUAACAGUAGGAUAAAAGAGGUAUACCGAAUGAAGUGAAUAGGCUAGAGGCUCGGGUAGGGAGAAGAUAGUCAUAAAUAAGAGAGGUGAGCAAGGGAACCAGUUGCAUCAACCCAAGGAAUGGAUUCUCGAGCACCUGUUAUAGAAUGAAGUAAUCUUACACCUCUUACAGCAGAUGUGGUUAGUGACUUAGUUCCAAGAGCCAGAGAAGAGGAGACCCUAGAUCGACUCCGAUAAGAAUAUAGAAAGAGAAGAGGGAUAGAUCGACUCCAAUAAGAAUAUAGAAAGAGAAGAGGGUCUAGCGCAUAUAGAAUAUCUGAAUUCUUCUGAAGCACUAACGGAGUGAAAAGAGCCAGAGGGAUGGAAGCCAGCUGCUUGCUUGUGUUGAGAUGAGCAAGAGCAGAGGUGUUACCAACCGACAAGAGCAACUCCCUUAAGUAGACAAAAGCAAGAGCCUAUCUUCUACUCUUAAAGCUAGAUCAUAAGCAGUUGACAGAUAAUAAACAGAUUCCUAUGAUUUCCAGUUGAUUGGCGAGUUCAAUCCGAGUUUGUUGACGUUGAAAUGCCCUAGAUCAGACAUAUCCCUACUCAUACCAGCCCUAGGGUUAGCAUACCGUUUUCUUACUUGAUGAUUUGAUUAUGCCUUUCCUGGACCCACAUCUUAGUUUAGAGAAAAGUCCUAUGCCCUAUGCCUUAUGCCGAGUCCUAUUAAUGAUACUAGUAAUUCUUUAUUCUGAGUUCGGAUUCUUACUUAUUUAGUUUGAUUCCCUUGAUUGCGCUUAUGGCUCUUGCUUUCCCUAUAAAGAUGCUUUCCCAAGAAAUAUGCUUUCCUAAUAAAUAGAUUAGUCCAAAUGUCACUCUAACAUAACUGUAGGGGUUUGGAUAGCUAUUAGGAUACUCAAACUAUCAAUGCAGAAUAAAAGCUAGAGUCAAAGAAUUGAUAGCAAGCAAUAGGCAUAGGUAGAAUCAAAACCACUUAGUUGCAGAAGAAUCGAAGUGGAAACAAAGGCGCCUAUAAGGCUCUAACUACUGCUUCUAGGGCUAUACUUUACUUAGAAUCAAAACAGUGCCUACAAGGACUGAACCAAAUAGCAAUAAACUCCUCCGCGCUUUAACUCGCUGACGCCAAGCUCAUCAGCCGAAUACAACAGAGAGAAAAACAAAUACAUAAAUACCGAACUUCUCACUUAUUAAUAAAUAUACAUAUUCUAAUAGGAUAAUAAGAAGAAAGAUAAGAAUAAGGAAUGAAAAGAAUAAGCAAAAGAAAGGGACGAUAUGCUAUAGCGCGCAUAGAGAGAUAGAACCAAUCUCAUAAUAAUAAAAGAGUGCAAACAGUGCUUCCAAUACUAGUUCCUAUAACAAGGAAGUCACUGGCCGGGAGAAAAGAAUGGAACGAACCGGUGCUUCUCAGACCGGAGCUACUGCUAACAAGAGAACUGCUAAUACUUUGUAGAAUUAAGCUCAGACCUAUAAGAAUGAUAACACUACCUAUUAGAAUGGAACCGGGGCUUCUCAGACUGAAGUUGGGAGACCCUUUAAUGAAACUUGCAACUAUCAGAAUCGAGCUACUGACAAACAGGCUUACUUUGAUGGUUUUGAUUCCCGUAUCUAGGGGAGAGCUUGAACUCUUCCGCUACUAUAUGCGAGAUACUUUCACUUUACAUCUAGAUCCUUGCUUUGCUGUCUCUAGGCCUGGCACUGCUUACUCGCAUUCUUCCUUCCUACUUUCAUUAUUGAGGUUGCCCAUACCAUUCAUUUCUCUUAUGUUAUUAUCCAAAACUCAAAUCUGUAUUUCACUAUCAGGUUUCCUGUCUUCCAUUCUUGUCGAGGGUAACAAGGUAGACUGCCCCUCGUUAGUGGUAUUCCCUUAGUAGUAUUCCCAUUCUCGUGUUUAAACCUAGAACACUCCCUAAGAAAUAACAAACUCACAAUACUUGCUUAAAGCCCGCCACUACUAACUAUAGGUCUGUUGCUCAUUAGCUUCAAACCACCACUUCCUCGAUCUCGUUCUCAUACUAAUUACCUCAAUACUUUCAUCCUAUAAUAGGGAAGAAAACUCAUAAGUAAGUAUAUCGGUCUACACUACAAAGACCUAUAAGACCAAUAAGAAGGAGGUGAACCACUGCUUCCUAGUAAGCUCUUCCUUUAUCAUAGCCCACCCUACCGGAUCUAAAAUAUCUGUGAACUUUUUAGACUGUCUGUCCUUGAUUGAAACCUAUAACUACUUACUUCGAACCUCGCCCCUAGGCUUGACUUUCCUUUUAUUGGAUUAGAGGCUCACUUUAUCCGCUUUAAACCUAGCGCUACCGCCUACUAGUCUACCUCUCCUUCCUCUUAUUCUUAUUUCAAUGGGGGAUUCUCUCUAUUGAUGAGAUAUAGCGUAUACGGGAGAGAAUCAAACAAGUAAGGCAAUUACGGGAAUGAAAUCACUGCUAACAAGAUAGGAGCAAGCAAUAGGGAAUUACACCGCUGACUAAAAGACUGCUUUUCCUACCACUAAGGCUGCCAGCUAUUACUAUGAUAAAAGCCCUACAGCUAAUAAGGGGCGAGCACGGAAUACAGACUGACUCAUAGAAUACCGAGUUAAUCUCAAUACUACCGAUAAAACUUACUCAACUAACUGGGAAAUAAACUACCUACCUUGAAGCUAUACUGAUUCAUUGACUUCUGUUUCGACUAAAACUCCCUUUUCUUAGUAUAUGCUUGGCGAAGUCGUUUAUCAUCUUUGUUUCUCAAUUCCUUAAGUUUGAAGUCAACUCGAUUCUUUAGUUCACUACCGGUAUUCAACUCUAUCACAAGGAGCUAGAGCACCAACCCGAUACUUUAUAUCUUUAGGUUGAUACCUUCCCUUCCUUAGUAGCGGCGGUGAACUUGUCUGCUUGCCUGCUCUAAUUACUAGAAUCAAACUACAGGAAUUACAAUAAUCAAACAAAUAGCAAAUAUCAUAUGAAAACACACAUAUCAGUAUAAUCAAUAUCAAUAAACAGAAUAAGAAAUAUACGUCAAAAGAAUCCCCCUUGGUACGAUUGAAAAGAAUAGCGCAAGUCAUACUCCAACUAACAAAUAUGGCCCGUACCCAACAAGCAAUCAGGCUUUAUCCACCUUGGAAAGCGACCUUUGAACUCAAUCUGGAUUCUGCUUGUCGGACUUGUUCUGUGUCUUUACAUCAUUUUCUACUCAACGAGCAUUAACCAUAAGUGGCAAACGAGAAUGGACUGAUUGAGUAGUGGUCGACCUCUGGAACAACAUUCUCACACGUCACUGAUUGUUCCGCUCUAGCACCAAGCAACGGAGCAAGAAAUAAGAGGUAAAUAAGCCAGGGUAUAAAGUCAAAGUGGCCUUAGCCAGCUCCAGACUCGUUUGUGAGUUCCAGACAAGCCGUUACGCAUUCAUUAGUUUACCUUACAGGAUUUUAGCGUUGAGUAAGCUUUGUUUACUUACUUAUUGAAUGAAAGUCAGCGGGUUAGAAAGGACACUAGAAAUCUGGGUAUAAAGCUGGUUCCGGAAAUCUCUCUAGGUAGAAAGCCCGGAGUAGUGGUAGGUUCAGGAAAGAAUAAGGGCCAAGCAUACAACUCACUACUUAGGAAUGGGAUUUUCAGACAAUAACCCAUGUGUUCAGCAAGUAGUCAAAGGUAAGGUAUAGUUCGGUGCUCUAGUUUCAUCCCGCCGAGCAACCACAUAUUAGCUAAGAAUGGAGUGGAAGGGUUUCCGUUUUCCAGUUUUCAUUUCUGAAUGGAGUUUCCGGUAUGUUAAAUAAGAAUACCAGAAUAGAGCUUUCAACCGACAAAGUCUGAAUUUCAACCUCAACAUGAAAGCUAGCCAGAGUCGAGAUAGGUUCGGGAAGCAAUUCCAGUUAUUACCGAGUCUUGCUUUCGGCGUCAGUAGAAAUAAUAGAAUAGCAGCUCUGCAGGGCGCUGAAGACAUAAGGCCACUACUAGGAAAGCAUACAAAGGGAAAGCAAGCCAAUAAAGCUUAGACAAUACAAGCGCUGCCACUGAAACGUAACUCUCUGAAUCGAUUGCUGCUAAUGGACUUUAUACAACACCACCUAGGUUAGCUUACUCUUUCAUUGUUUCUUCUCGAGUAGCAAAGACAUCUUACUUGAGAACAGAACAAGCUAGGGCUUCUUGACUUCAUAACUUCAUACGUAAAGCAAACAUGCCACAAACUCCACCUUUUCGCUUUGAGCGUGAAGGCAGGCCAAUCAGAUAAGACCUUUUGCUAACUCGGGUAAACUCAAAUGAUAGGGAAUCACUUAAACGUAUUCCAAAAUAGAUUCUUCCCGAACUCAAUCCACUGUUGGCGACGAGUAAGCUGCUAUAAGGUAUGGAUAAACAAGGUAAGGGUCAUAUUACAACCUAUAUUACUAUUCUGAUUUCCUUACUCUUACUACUUCGCUUGCAGUUGCCUUUCGCCUUCCUUUCUUCUUAAAGGAGCUGUUUCCUCUCUCGCAGACUAAGCUCGAGUUCCGCUCUGCUCUUGACUUCGCCUUUGCUCUGCUCUAAAACAUAUGAUUGCUGUAUAUACCUAACAAAACUGUGAAACUCCAUUUAUGGGCUCUAAUCAAGUUCUUGCAACAGAGCUAGUGGUAUAGAUACAGGUCUGAUUACUCCUUUAUAUACUAGCUAGGGCAAGAAAGAAAGAACCGAUAGUAAGACUAGUAAAGCAUCCAUUCUGAUUCAAAGUCAUUUCACUAAUAGGCUCAAAGUAUAGAACUUAUAUAAGGAGCUACUUCAAAGCAGCGCAGCUACGCAGUUUUUUCCCUACUCAAACACGCUCUAACCCUAUCGCUUUGUAAACUCCGCUCCCUAUCUUAACUAAGAGAGUCUAUUCGAACCCAAGGAUUCGCAGCAACGACACUUUCCUUUGUUUUAUAGGCGCGAGUCACUUACUUAGCUUUUUGCUAGAUUUGGUUAUUCAUAAAUUCUUUCAAAAAACACAAAGAAGAUCGAACUGCAUGCUUAUGCUUCCUUAUGUAUCUAGUUUUGCUAGGAAGUGAAAACAUACUUAUUUGGCUAAGAAGCGCCAUGAGUCAAAUCAUUAUGCAGAGUAGGGAAGUGUUUCCGCGAGGAAGAAAGCCGGAAUAGUGCGCGGAUCCUUCUUUCUGUCUAUAGUUGGAAGACAAGAGAGCAAGGGAAUCACUAGUUCCAUGGGUCACCCGAAUCCGAGUAUACCUAGCAAACAGCCAACAGAUCCUUCUACUUCGGUAACAGAGGCAAAAUGGUUAUGGAACGCAUAAAGCUUCUUUUUUCUUUUCAUGGCUUUUCUUUAUAACCCACUUUUUGUGCCUCCCGUCAUAAGACAGCCGGCCGAUACGAAAGAUUGACUUAGGGGCCAUAGCCUGUUUGAAUAGAAUCGGAAACUACACCGCUCUAUCGCUACACCCGUCUUUGCCCGCUACACCUGAUCAGUUUACUUACUUAAGGACUCUUACUUAGCUAACGUGCCCCUUUGUCAAACAGGAAACAAACUUCCUAUCUACUUCUGCCGGGUUGGUUGCUAGGUUUCCGAUCUACUUCUGCCGGGUUGGUUGCUAGGUGGCGGAGAUGGCAAUUCUUUGUUCGUGCAUGUGGUCUGACACAGCCCCGUGCCGGGGUAGGAGUCGUUUUCCAUGACUAUGACUCCUAAAUAACAGUCCAUCAUAAGACUAUUCCGGGACUACUUUCAACGAGAUCUAGUGGAAUUUAGGAUAGGGUCAGUAAACUCAUCAUUUCUAUACCCCCAGGGCCAAGCAACGUAGACAAAAUGGAGUAGUUGUGCGGCAGGCGUGAAACUGUGUCCGGGAGCUCACUUACCCUACUUUCUCCUAACUCGUCAAUACUUCCGCGCUGAGUCUUUCUCCAAAGUCCAUUUCUUUGAUUUCACUGAUGCCCUAUAACCAUAGGAAUUCAUUGAAUCUUUCUUGUCUUGUGCCGCUCCGUUUGCUUGUUCACUUGCUGGAAUUGAAACUAAGUAAGCGAUUUACCCCAAGAAGAAGUAAGCUUAUGUGUAACGAACGGCGAGGAAAACAUCAAUCUCAAUUUCAAUUCGACAGAUGUUCUAUAUAUGAGGAAUAGAGGAGCUCCUUGCUUAACUUAAUUGUCAGCUCCGUAAGUGCCUUUCAAGCAGGAAUCUAUCUUGCACCUAGUAAAACAGUCCAAAAUGAAUAUGAUUUUCUCUAAUGUAGUAGGAAUUGACCAGUGGGGCACUUAUUGAGUCUUUCGAGCUUCGAGCUCCCUUGCUUGUUGAAUGAUAUUUCACUUAUUUUAUAUCUCUUGCGCACAUACCCUAUAUGAAUGAGAGGAAUGUAACAGCUCUAAACUACAUCCGUUAGCACUUUCUUUGAUCAACGAGCUUAACAUCAACUGGGUAUUCAUGGCGGCAGGAGUGAGAACUGGGAGUACUGCUCCUGUUCUGGAAACAAGGAUACAGGUUCGGUGCUUGUGUGAAGCUAUGAGGGUAAUGUCCAUUUGAUAGUUCAUUAAGUACGGAGUUGUGCCUAGUAGGGGUUGGGUUCUCUACUCCAUGUGUUCAGCAAGUAGUCAAUUAUGUCUUGUGGUAAAGUCGACAGUUGUAGCUUGGCGUGUUUCAGUUUCCGAAUGAUUUGUCUUUGUUGACCACUCGAAAGAAGAAAUCAAAGGUUUACAAGGCGUAAGAAAGAUUCCCGCGUGAGUUGGGCACUUCAGCGCAAACAAGUGAAAGAGAUCUGUAUUUGUUGCUCUUAUAUUAUAGCCACUAACUUAAUAAUAUGGAGCAGAAAGAAUAAGGAGCUGUGGGAGGAAAGUCUACUUUAUAAUAACUAGGAAGCCGAAGAUGGAGCAAGUAAAGAAGCAGCCUCAGGAGCUGGGAUCGAGAUCAGAAUAAGGAGAAAGAUCUGCAUCAGAGGCAGUACGGUAGGGUUCACUCGCUAAUGAAAAAGAGCAAGCAGUAAGGUCACUUUCUUCUAUAUCAGGUGCUCUCGACAGUGAGAAUUUUAUGGAACAGACAAACAUACGAAAACAGGACUUGCGCAAGUUUCAAAUCAUUGAAUGGAUGCGCCCCGAUAAAACAAUAUUAAUAAUCUUGAUUCUUAUUCUCAUUAUUGCUCCGUUGCUCGUGGAUACUCUAUUUCAGGUAUAUACUCUAUUUCAGCGCUCUAAGUCGUCGGUUCAGUUCAGUGAAGGUGCAGGCGCUUAUUUACUUGUGUGAAACGAAGAAACUCUGUUAGCGCAAUAAUCAACGUGUUCUCUUGCUUGUUUAUUUGUUCCUAAUACUUUAUCUAAUUCUUUACGCUUAAGCUUAUUUGCUUUAAUAAGACCCCACCUAUGCUUCUCGCCCUGGAUCCUAUUGCUAAUGCAGAUCUUGUGUCUAGUCUAAGGCUUAAAACCAGACUUGCUCCUUACUCACAGCUUUGCUUAGACUGCUUCCCUUUCUUAUGAAUCAGCCUGAACUUUAAUGCUUGGACACUGUUUCCCUCUCUUUGGAAUCUGAUCCGGAUCCUAGCUUAUGAAACUGCUUAUACUGACUUACUUUCGCCAAACACCAGUCAUUGAACUUGCUUGCUAUGAGGAGUCUCUCAGAUUGCCCGAACUCCCAUACAAUAAGCAAUGCUCGAACUACUUCUUCUAGAGUCUACUUUCCAUCUUCAGAUCCGGACUCUGUUUGGGUGGGCCUCUGAUCUAUAUCUUUCUUUUUCUUCUUGACCAUACUCUAUAUGAUACUCAACGAGCUUGGGAAUUCAAUAAUUUCAUAAUGGUCAAUGUAACUGACCUUACUUUCUUUCUGCUUAACCGCUCUGUUACGUGGGCAGAGAGCUUCAUUGGGUGACACGGAUUUCUCUCCCGCUGUGCUGACUUUCGCCUCUUCUUAUCUAUCGUGGACAACAACACUGGAACCCGAAACUUUGGAUCUUAUCUUAGAGACUUGACAAGCACCGUUCCGGCAUAGAUAGUAAGGAACUCAAUUCAAAAGAGAAAGGUUCGGUGCUUUAGUGGUGGAGGCUCAUCUACCUUUUCAUAACUAUUGAUUGCCCCUAGAUUGAAGUUGAACUAGACAGUAGUGAGUGACUGAAAACUGGAAAGAUAGCUAAAGUCAACGCUGCUGUUUUCCAAUAAGGGCUUUCCCACUAAUAAACUACUCAAUUCAGUAUUUCUCUUAUUAGAAGAUAUAGGUUCCACAAGAACAGGAGCUGUACUGCAUGAAACAAGGGAUUCGGCUCGAACAGAAAGAUACUCUAAGCCAAUAACUAUAUCAUUGCUUAACCGACAACUAAGGGAAAGCCAAUCACGGAUCUUGCAACUUCAACCAGAAUUCCGGACUCUAAUUACUCUGCUAUUUAUUCCCUGGCUUCUGAACUUACUGAUGCGGACUGACUCUGUGGAUGUGGAUGCUAACUCUACAGAUGCUGACGUAACAAGUUUCAGUGCUAAGGCGAUCUUUAUUCCGAUCCGUAUUCUGUGCCUGUACUCUCUCAUUCCCAACAACCCGCGUAGCCAAUGGAUUCUUUACCAGAACUUUACCCGCUCAGCUCACUCCUAUACAGGUCCUGGUCCUGUACUUUAUAACCUACUGCUUUUGUACUUGACCUCUUCUCCCACAAACUAUCCUUGAACUACACUUUCCUCUUACUCUGAUCCUGAACAAGCAGUAAUUGAAACGGAGUAAGGUGAGCGCAUAUCCAGUCAAUACUGAAUUGAAACAAGCCCCUCUCUGACAUGAAUUGUCUGUGCGCCUCUCCUCUCUUGUGGACUUAGGGCAUCAAAACCAUGAAAACAGGUGCAUUAAUUAAAGGCACUAGACCAGAGUGCUGAGCUAGGUCCGCUAGUGCUAGAAUAAUAGCAUAUAUAAGAAGAUACCAGCCUAACCUAAGGGGAAUGCCACUCAUAAGUCAGAAUAUACCUCCCUCGCCUCUCCUCGACUUCUACUUAUGCUCUUUUGACUCAAACUAACUAUACUUGAUUGAAACAAGCCCAGCAUGAGACCCCGCUCCGUAGUCAACUACUACAGUUAGGGCUCUGGACUACUACUUAAAGGGGCAAGAAUGACAUUUGAAUAACAGACCUCUGAAAGGAGAAGAAACAGACUCAAUUUGGACUCCGGGCCAAGCUUAGUAGCUAUAGCACAGGUUUGAUUCCGAUACUGCUUAGUUCUAUUCUGACUCUGUGCCAAACUAUCCAUUAUAGGACUUACUUGUUCCAUUCUGCAAAUUACCAGUUUGAUUCUUUAACUACUUAGUUGCAUCCCCUUACUUGCUGGUUCAAUUCUGACUUGCUUCGGUAUCAAAGCCAGGCUCCUAGUUUGUAGUUCAAUUAUAAGUAAUCCCCAGUAGUUUAGAGUUGAUAGUUGCAUUCUUAGUCGAGCUAGUAGAGUCUCCUUUUUCACUCACUACUACUGUUGCUCACCUGUGUUCAAGAAUAAGGGACCGGUCUUCUCCCUUAGUUACAGGAUGAUGACUCUAUGAGCUAGUAUAGUUAUCGGGCCAAGUAACGGAUAGACAAGUAGGCAAGUCGAACAGGGAUUGAUUAACGAAAUAGGAUCGCACAGACAUUGAUUGAAGUCUAUAAGCUUGCCUGACCUCGACUCAGGCUCCGUACCCAUACUAGCUACCCUUGCUUGCAUUCUGUGAUUGACCGGUUUGGUUCUGUAACUCACUAGCUACACUCUCGUACAUACUGGUUCAAGCCAACAAGACACUACUAAUGACCAAGCCUCGUUAGACGCGGUAGAGUUCAUUUCUUCCUAACUUACCCUCUUGCUCUGUAACUCAGGUAGGGAAAUCUACUUUCCAUUAUUGAAAGCUUUUGCAUCUCUUAUAACAGAACAGAAUGAGGCUCGGCUCCUAUUAACUUCUUGAAACAAGCUGCGUGUCUGCUAACUCUGGCUAAUUGUUCUCCGGCUUCUUUUGAACUCAUAUUCUAAAGGAAAGAAAGAAAGAACUCACUUGAAUUCAAUACAGGCACCAGGCAAAGCUACUACUUCAUAAUUUCAUUGAAAAGAAAGUAGGCCAGGAGCUCCAAGUAGGCUAGUUCCAGUUCAUAAGUCAGAAUUGCACUCAUAAGUCAAACCUAAGAGAAAGAGGAAUCAGUGUCCGAACCUGUACUUCCCGCUUCUUAUACCAUAUAAUUAGUAUAAGUCAGAUCCUACACUCCCCGCUUCGUCACCAAGAACAGGCCAUUCUUCUCUAGUAAACUAAUACAGAUGACACUCGGGAUUACAACUCCAACAGGCAAUUGAGUGUCCAACAAAGCCCUAAAUAAUAAGUUCCACUGAUUGACACCUCGCUGCAACUAGAAUGCAAGGAGGAGGAGCACCCCCAAGAUAUUUCUUUGCAAGGCAAGGAGAAAAGUCGUUCUGUUAUCUUAAGUAAUAAUACCAGAGCCAAGUUGCCAGAGCUAUAGGACAGAGAAAAGAUCUUCAUUCACGAAACCCCGGAAAAAGCAUAGCAAACAGUUCCCUUGACACUCAUCUUAUCUACCUAGUUCUCCUCUCCCGCCUUUAAGAAUAGAGGCCCAGCAACGUAGCCGCAACUCUAGUAUUUGAUUUGAAGCGAGGUCUACUUCUGUCUCGUCUUCCAGUCUUGUUCCAGAAGCAUAAGCAUCAGAUCUUAUCUAAAACUCUCCGGAAUACAGAAUUCAACUUCAAGUAAAGAAACUGACACCAGUAGUAGAGUGAGUUGGGGAAAUCAUCUAGUAGUUUCAUCCCGGUCUGAAGCAGUUACGUAUCAGUGCAAGCCAGAGUUUGGGUCGCCAUCCCUUGUCGAAUCUGUUAUUCUUAAUAAUAAUAUAAGUUUGUAGGUAGGAGCCAGAGGUCUACGGAUAAUAAUGAUACCUAUGUGGCCUCUGGAAAUGCCCCUAUAGUGCUUUUGAGUCUAGAAAGAUGGCCCUCCCGCUCGUCGUCAACAAAGAAACAGAAAACUCAUUCACAAAGAUGCUAGCACCCAACAUAUGAAGUAGACCUAGACCUCGCAACAAAGGCUUCUACUUACUGAUUCUAUUCUGAUAUUGACUACUGACUACGAGUAACUGACUCCCUUCUUCUCUAGUAACUAACUUAGGGCUUACUCAACACUCUAGCCUCUCCUUAAGACUUUACUGCUUCCCUUGGAAACCCUUAACCUAUAAUAAGCCCCGAGCUCCACUCCGUUAGUGCUUCCUUGCCAUCUGCCCCGACCUCUCUAGCCCGAACUAAACUUUCAAAACCGAUUGCAGCUGACCUGACACUUUAUACUCAACGAGCUUCUUUAGCACUGCUUCUAUUCCCGAAUGAUAUAUUAGGCCUUCUCUAGCUCCUGCGGAUUCUUUUUCUUCCCUUAAGCGCGUAGCUCCGUAGGCAUGAGAUUCGAUAUUGGAUUCGGCUUCUUUUCUUGAUACUCUACUUGCGCCUCUCUCUCUCUAUAUUCCACUCCUUUAUCUCAUUCUUAGAUACUGACACCAUAAGACUUGUUGGGGUAGUAUUUGUAAGAGGCUCGCACAUCUAGUAAUAGACUCAUAUUUGUAGUGGAAUGAGUUAAAGCAUCAAGUAGAAGACCUAAGCUGACAAACGGAAGAACUAAACCCUGUAGUAAGAGCCUGAAUACCUCCUCGAACAUUGCAUACUUAUUGCCUUGCCUUGUAGUCUUCCACUCAUUGAUUUAGUGCUUCCGCUCCUUACCCCAAAUCUUGAUACCUAACGAUAUAAGUCUCACUUUCCUUACUCCUACUUUCUGGUUUUUAGUAUUCCUUUCCUUGCUUUUAGUCUUACAACCUAUAACUUCAUUCUGACUAUCUUUGCUUUUAGUCUUAGAUGGCUAAGCUAGGCUUAGAGUUGUUGUAAGUAGUAGUCAGGAUUGCACUAAUAAGUCAAAAACUAUGCCUCGAAAUACAGAAUGAAGGGGGGAAGGGCGUAGGUUGGAGUCUAGGUGAGAGUUGAAGUAGCACUCAUUAGUAUAAGAAUGAAGAAGCUCCCCCGCCUGCCAGCGCUCUAAAGUAGUAAAUACAGAAUUCAACAAAGUCGUAAAAGAGUGCGUAGUGAAAAGAACGGAUCAGAACAGGACUCAGUAGUAUCGGAAUGACUAGCAAGUGGGUAAGUAGGUAAGUUCGAAUUAAAGAAAGAAGUCGGAAUGAAACUCUAAAGUAGGCGCACGGGCAAGUCAGAAUGAAAGUAAUAAGUAAUGGAAUAUAAGUAAAUGGAUAAAGAGUUAGACUAGUACUAGUCAGAAUGUAAGGAAGGAGUACCAGACUGAUGAGUUUGAACCCUAUUUGGAGUUUUCUUCUAUUAUGGGGCCGCCAGUGAGAUUAUCUAUUGCUAUUUUCGUUCUUGCCUGGAGUAUCGAUCCUUAUUAGUAGUGAUGUAAGUUUGGAAGCGAGCAAAGUCAGACUAAUAGAAAGGAAUGCUUGUUUAAAAGAAUGAAAUAGAAUACUGAUUGAUAUAGGGAUGGGCGCCUUAAAGGCAUUAGUUGUAGAAUGAGAUAAAGCAAAAGGAGGUUUAGGUUGAAAAGCAGUAAAGCAGUAAAGCAGGACUCAAAGCAAGCAGAGGUAGACUCGAGCUAGUAAGUAAGGAUCCAAACCCAUAGUCAAAGAAUCCAAGUCAGCAGUAAAAGAAUCCAAAUAAGGAGUUGUGGAAUAAAAUACUGGAAAGGCAGGCUUAAACAGCAGCUACAGUAUUAGAAGCGAUAGCUCCAUUCUUACUAGCAGAGGAAUCAGACUCGGAUGUAACGUACCCAACUUUCAUCUAAUAAAGGACAUAUAGGUCAGAGGUGGAAGAGAAGCUAGAGAAGUCUCUGUUUAGGAAGCAAGAUCCGAUCCGGGCUGGGGUUGGUUUAUUUACUUACUUAUGUGCUAGGCGAGAUAGAUUCCAAUUCCGUAGUUGUUGACAAGGCGCUUGAAAGGAAAGAAUCAAUUGGGUAAGCCUCAAACAGGACUUGGCGGACACAGGACUUGAGUAGAGAGAUCAGUUUCUAAGGACUAAGUGAGCUAACGGGAGCAAGAUCGGUCUACUUUGAAAUGCAUUAUUUAUCAUCGCCAAGAUGUUUUUCGAAGGUUUGUUUGAUUGACCAUUCAACUAAGAAACGGCCCUUAUAAUUAAUUGAUUCCUAACAUAUUUCUGGUUCCUUCCCUGAACUAAUUGAACAAGUUUACUUACCUCUCCUCUUGACACUAGCUGCCAGAAGAUCAACUUAUUUCCGUAUCUAUCCUGGGAAAGAAAAUGAGACAUUAAACAAAUUGAAGCAUAUUUAUAGCCCCUUCAUCGCCGAUGUCCCUGGACUCCACGUACUCCUGUAAACGCCGCUGGUUCACUCUAUGGCGAUUUAGACAAGAUCGCACUUGAGACAUCCCGGAGAUCAAAGAAUUCGGCUAGGUUACCGUGGCUAGCAAAGUUCAAUGACGGAAGGAUCGGUUCAUCAUCGGGACUAGCAGCAACACCUGCGUUCAAUUCCUCGUAAAGCGGGCAACCCUAAACAUUGCCAAACCAAAAGACGUGGUGGCGCUUUGGAUUCGAGUUUUCCCUCUCUGGAAUCUUAUGAGUAUGGGUUUUGCUAGUGUAGUAACUCCUUAAAUGUGGGCGAGGAACUCUCUUCUCGAGUCGUAAGCCACUUAUUCAUGUGGUAGUGUUACCCAAGGUGUUCUUUAAGGGCUCAUAAGAGUUUUCCUCGUCACGUCGUUCAUUAACGGCUAAGGCCUGGUAACAUGAAUGAACCUGGUAACAUGAAUGAACCCGGCGGCUGGUUAUGGAGGGGCAGCGCUUUCCAGUCGACGGAUACUGAUACAGAAAAGCGAUAUAACUCAAGAUCGGCAAUAGGCGACUCAUAGUUUGUUAAGUGACAGUUCAAAGUAAGGAUAGAAAGGUAAAAAACACAUAUGAAAGGAACGAGAGCAAGAGAGAAAUAGGCCAGCUCAUGUAGACCCGGACCAUGCAACGAGCAACUACUCUUACUAAUGUACCAAAGAAGAUCGUGGAGGAAACAAAGACAUGAGGAGCAUGAUACAAAUGGGACAUAGGAGGAAUCGAAGUGGUUUCGAAUCCAAGGUACUUACUUCACUUGUUAUGGUUCUCCUGAGGUUAAAGGAAGGGCUUAGUUCUGCGGGAUAGUUUCAGAGCAGCAAAUCUCUCUUACUAACUAGCUCCCUAAUCUAGCCCAGUUACCCUUACUAAUAGGUAUUUUGCCUAUAAUGAUGUCCUAUCCACCCUGUAGUUUUCUAUAUUCCAUUUGUCUUGCUUGUGUCUAAGUGUCUCCAAGUGAAGGAGAGGCCUAUAUAAGAAGUUGAGGCAAGGUCAGCAGUGUAUUUCUUUAGUUCUAUACCAAGUGUCAAAUCUUUUCCUGCACAAUCUGGAUCUUCUAGACUCGAAAGAAAGCAAUAAAGUUCUAGUUGAUGCGCUUGAAAGAUCUGUAUUUGUGUCCUCUGCGCAACAAGACUCAGUAUCAGUCAGCUACGAAAUUCCUAUCUCCGAAUGCUUGUGAAAGACAUUCUUCUUGAGGAGGCUUGCUCACUCGUCCGUUCUAACCCAUUGUGGAUUCACACUUAGCAAUGUAACCCUAUAACCCGAAAAAGCAGAAUGAGGCCUUUCUUACACACGCUUCAUUGAUUACACGGACUCAGGAACUUAAAGAGGCUUGAAAUAAGAGGCAACACAAAGUCAAGCAGAAAUCAUUACUGCAACUCAGAGAACUCUAGCAGAAACUUCCACCGGCGGGAAUGCUUAACGCGGGGAUCCAAAUAAAGCUGCCAAUGAUUUGGCUCAGAUGGCAUCAGGAUACAGAUUUGCUGUUUGCCUCUAUGAUCAGAUCUGAAGCGGAAAUGCCAUUAACAUUAAUAGAAUUGCGGGUAGGCCAAAAAAAACACACCGGUUAUUCUCUCAGCAGUUGGAAGAUUCAGAGGGGCUGGGCUGAGAAUGUCCAACCUGUUUAUUGCGCCUAUUCUUCUAUCCCAAUAGUUUGACAAGGCAAAAAGGCAAGCUGGAAAGUCAGAAGGCGUCGAGCCUAUUCUUGCAACAGACGUGGCAUAAUUGCUAAAGAAAUUCCUUCCAUACCUCUAAAAACGAAGUCUCCUCGUGGUCAUGGAAAGCCCCUUUGUCUUUGAUUUGGAGUUGCGAAUAGAUUACCCUAAAGCGAUCGCUAAGGGAUGUGGUUAGCUAGCUAGUUCCCCCACUACUUUAUUGAGUCUCAUUCUUUUCCUAAGUAACUUAGUGCAAUAAUUCCUAGUAAGAGCAAGGAAAAGCUAAUCUUUACUUACUAAAAAGCCUACUAAUUGAAAGAAUGUAGGAUCACUAGGAAAUUACCUUUCCAUUCUAUACUCAACACACCUUCAUUCUUCUUAUCUUGUUACUACUCCUUCACUAGCUUAUUGACCGGCUGAUUAUAUUUCUGCUUUUCCUAUUCCUACUGCUGAUUCUCUGGAAACGGAGUCUGGGCCUGAUCUUGUUCCAGCUUCAGAACAGAUAGAGUCACCUCGAACAGAACCUUUCUACCAUGGGCUUCACCUUGAUACUCUUCCUUUAUACUCCUCCGCCUAAUCACUACUUGGGAUGGGACUGUCAAUCCUUUGAGUUCGAGUCAUCUCGGCUUGGCUUCUUAAUACGAUUCAAGUCCACUUUCUCUUCCACCCUUCGCUUAGUCUUGGGCGCUGGCCAUAAGAAUACUUUGUGCGAUGAAGAAGGACUAAAAGAGAGACCUGAGAGUUAGUCAUACAUCGAUUCUUUCACGCCUUACUGAAAUUCCAUAGGACUUACAUAAGUAGAGCAGUACAUUAAUGAAUUCAUGAAAACCUCGAAAAACCAAUGGUAGAGGCAGAAGAACAACCAACGCCCGGCAGAAGAACAAACGGAACCUGCGGGCGGAUCGGAUCUUGCAACGGUAUCAAGUCAGCGGGAAGGAAAUAAGACAGACAGGAAUCGAUAAUAAGCUCUUUUCUAAACAGCUGGGGUGGUGUCUCCAGGAAAGGGAAAUUCAUGAGUUGUGUGUUGGGGAAGGACAUUCCUAUCUUAUUUAGAAUAUAUCAGUAAUAGAGAAAUUAAGCGCAUCAGUCAAAUGAACUGUUCUGUUUACGAGAUCUCAAUUCCUAGAUUCAAUUAAUUGCCCUCGAAAGAUUCCAUUCCUGUAGUUGCUGCAAGAGAUUCCCAAAAACAGGACUUGCUCAUGGCAACAUACUAACUAACAAGUCGUGGCUUGGCUCUUCUCUGUAUAUAGGAUCAAACAAGAACAGGAAAUUGAAGAGAGAGAAUAGGGCGGCGCUCUCCACUACAAAUACAGAAUGAAACAGUAAAUAGAGAAUUAGUGCGGAGGGUGCUCCCUGAAGAAAAGACGGAAGAAAAGAAUAGGGCCAAUACACUACUAAUGUUACGCGGCAGGGAGUUCUCGGAAAAGUUGAGGAUCCAUAAGGUCACUCAGGAGGGAAACCAGAGUCGCUGUCAAAAAUCCCGGUAAAACGCAAAAGUUGAUGACUUGAGGACCUCGUUAGGAGGGAAACCAUGAUUGCUACCAAAAAACACGGGGUUUCUUAAAAUAAUCUGUCUUUUGGACCUCGCUAGUAAGGAAAAUCAGGGUGCUAUGUUUUUUCCCGGGAAAACGCAAAGAUCAAGAUUUCCAAAACUCGUAUACUCGGGAUUAAACUCAUUCAAGUCCACCAGGCAAGCAUCUACUAAGUCUUUUGUUAGAGGCUUUGAAGCAGGGUUGCUAGUAGUAGGCUUGCUAGUAGUAGGGUGGAUUCUGUCGGUUGAUACCUUCUCCUGUGCCUGUUCGAGUUAGAGUGGAAGUGAGCCUACCUUUAAGGAUUGAUUGCUAGUAUCGGUUUUUAUUAGGGUUAGGGUUUCAAAUGAGCUAGAACUAGAAUACCUUAGGUAGGAAGGAACUGGCACCGAGAAAACCCUCUAUGGCUGGGUAAGAGACGGAGUUAACCUUUCAUAGUCAAAGGGCAAGCUAACCUUAGCAAGAACGGGAAGCUGUGUUCGGGAGCAAGAGUGAAAGCAAGCAGGGUGCAGUUCCGGGAAGAAGAAACAUUUUGUUCAAAGGAGUCAUCUGCCUCAAUUUGUAAAGCUGGGGUUUAUGGAAACAGGGCUUAUUAAGGCAAUAAUAUCAGUGUUGGACUCGGGUCUCUGUUAGUUAGCCCUAGCAUAGAAGGAAGCAAGUGAAAAGGCCAACAAGCAACAUAGUCAGUUGCGCGGUAGCGAGUUAACCUCCUUAGGGACAUUCUUUGACUCAAUAGCUCCAUUCUCAGUUGAUAGCACUGGUUCUGGUAGUUACUAUAUGAAGACUGGUUGGUAGUUAGUUGCAUUCUGAUCUAGUCUGAUAGGGUUCAAUUCUGUAACUCCUACUUUCCUACUAGUGAGUGUCAUUCUGAUUAUUAGCGGUUUCAUAUUAUAGGUGUGUGUUAUCGACCCCAACGCAACUCCUCUCUCCGUUACUUAUAGCUUUAUGACCGAAAUCAGUCACAGCUAAAAUGAAGCUCUUCGUUCUCAAGUAAGGUUAUGACCAAUCUUCUGCAUCUGUUAUGACCAAUCUUCUGCAUCUAGGCUAGUUUCACUCACUUACCCCUAUUUACAGCAAUUCCGCAUCUAUACCUCUGGCAACCUUACCUCUUAUUCUUAUCUUACUUACAGCAAUUCUUAUUUCUGAACUUCAAGUCCUUUGUUUGCCCCAGCGAAAUGGGAUUCCUCCCUUUGUACUAGAGCAAGAAACCCUGAGCGAGGUCUCGAUUCUCAGCCGGGUAAUGGGUACUUUAAAUACUGUAUUGGAGCCAAGCCAGAGAGGGGCAAAUACAGAUGUUGGAUCGGGUCGGGAGCUACAGAAUGAAAAGCAUGAGCAGGCUUAGAAGCACCAGUGAAAGUAUGAGUCCCGAGGUGUAGUCUCUUAGUACAAUAGUGGAUUCCUGCUAUCAGUGGUUCGACUCUUUACAGUAGUACCUAUUCUUAUAGUUUGUAGUGGUAGGCCAAUACACUGGGCAAUAAGGCUGGUCUGGUUCCAUUCUACCUCUAAUAAGUAGUGGUUUGAUUCUCUAUUUUAAGUGAAAGUCUUAGCUGUAGACAAAGGCCGAGUUCCCGUCCCGGACCAACACUUAGAAGUUGCAGUUUGUUUCCUAUGCCCCCACAUAUCGAUUCUUUGACUUGGCAGUUUGAUUCCCAGUUUCUAGCUCAAGCCUUGUUGUCGGUGGGAGCAAGUCUGACUUCUUAGUUAAAGCAUUGUAAGCAAGUAGUCCAAGCCUAGGGUUCCGUGUUUUUAUUCCUUAGGCGCCAUUCUGAUUUAUGGUAUUGAAAGUCUCGGUUUUGCUAGUGCUCUGUAGUUAACAGUAUAGUUUGACUCUUACUUUGGAGUUGAUAUUGCUAUUAUAACCUAUGUGUGUAGCAUAGAAAUCUAGUAGACUUAUAGAGUCAAUAAAUUCCCUCAAUUACGCUAAGGCAAACCACUAUUAAAUAGAAUCUAAAUUAACAUAUCAUAUGACAAUUGAAUACUCACAUUUGAGAAUGAAAAGCUGUAAAGGUAGCUUCGAUCAGUAGGGUUAUUACAUAACAGGAUUAGGAGUAGAGUCGUCGGAUUCUUAUGUAGUAGAGGCAAGUCCUGAGUUCCGAAUUGAGUGCUUUUUCAUAGUAGGAGUAGUCGCGUUCUUGUUAACGGUAAUUCACUUCCUUAUUAGAAGGUCAAAUAAAAGGAUGAGCUAGUUCAACUCUGACUUGUAAAGAUGGUGUUCCAUCCUAUUCUAUUAGCGCAGCAGUCGAUUCUUAUGACUUGUAGUUGGAGAGCGAAACCAAGGAGAGGUGUCGUUAGGGUUGACAUUGGUAGCACUCUUUCUAUUAGUAGUUCGAUUUGGUAGUAGGUUUGAUUCCCGCUAUUGGUCUUAUCAGCCUUGUAAGCACGAGACCAGUAUCCUCAAUUAUGUGUUUCACUCUUUCCAGUAGUAGGCGCACCUUGUUUGUAUUAGUAUAAUAAGUCAAUAGCUGGCAAUGAGUAAUGAAAGAAAGAGGUCAGAUAGAGGAAAUAGUCAAUAGAGAAUGAAAGGCAGGCUCACAAUUUCACUAUAUACCUUACUUAAAUACCUUACUUAAGUCAAAAGUCUAAGUCACAGUGGCAGAGGAAUACAAGAUUUGGAUGCCGGGUAGUCAGAAUAGCAGUUAGAUGCCUAUACUAGGUUUGGAUGCUCAGAAUAACGGGUAUAGUUCCGGAAGGUAAGUUUAGAGAGGGUAGAUCAGGGUUAAGAGUCAAAGUAAGUCAGUGAAGUCGUACAAAACCAAUUGUUAAUAUAAUGAUAAUUCAUUCGAACAAUAAGAAUAAGAGUUUACUCAACAAUAAGAAAUAAGAGGUGUAGUUCGGGGAAGAGUGGAAUCUGUCUUUGUUGCGCUAACAGGAAGGGAAUAGAGUGAAUCCGGGGAGUUUACGAAUGAAGCAAGUAAGAAAUGAGCCAGCAGCUUGUUGAAAUAAGAAUAGUGAGAAGGCCAUAAUACAUAGGCUAGCGAGGUGAGUCUAAGUCUUAGAAGCAGGCCCUAAUACAUAAUUGGUAGCGCAUUCCUUUCAUUACCAUUCCUUUCAUUACUAAGAAACCUUAGGGAUAGAUCUACUUAAACUUACAAUAGAGGCCUACCCUUGAGGAAUCACCGGGCCAGCUCUCUUGCGGUUAAGUCAGAUUCAAAAGUAUACUUAUUUGCGUCUAGUAAAGUAGCUAUGGUUAGUUACCGGUAUCCAUCAUACCUGGCUAAUGGCAUAAAAGCCUUUACCUGCUCCUACUUAUGAUCCAGCUUAUGAUACUGCUCCUUUCCUUUCCUAAGGUAUGAUCUAGACCCGAUACAGCACAGCAGAUGAUCUUUCAACAACAAACUUCACUGCCGCGUCCCCUUAUAUAUCAGUUCAUAGGACUUGCUCAAAGGUAUUAAAUAAAGGAGUCCUGAGUUUUUGCUUGGUUGCUCUUAAUUCUUCCAUUCUCCAUUCUUAUUGUCUGCCGAUUACUGCUGAGUUCAUUUCUUCCUAACAUCUUGCUGGCCUAAACUAUCAUAUCUUCACCUCUUCUUCUUGAAUUACCUGAAUUACCAAGCUAGAUCUAUACAAGAUACUACUUCGAGAGAAGAAAGGCCUGUUCGAGCGGAAGCUGGGUCAGAUGGAAUUAGGUCUAGAAAGAAGUCUGAUUAUACACCUAUAGCAGAUCUCGGGGGUUUACAAUUCAGAAAGAGUCUUGUUCCUGUUCAAGAAUCUGCUUGUUAAUUGGCAGUUCCGGCGGUAGUAUAGAAUAGCCUGUUCGAAAGUAAUUUUAUCGAAAAGAAGCAGGUAAUUCAAUUAGAUAAGAAGCUAAGCUGUUCGAGUGAAAUCAACGAGUCCUGAGUUCACCUGUUUUUGAGUUCGCCAGACAAGCCGACAAAUGUUCAUGGCGUUAGUCCGAUCUACUCUUGAAUAAUCAAAAGAGGGGCUCUAGAAUCAGCUGGAUAAGCAGCUACAGAUGAAGCAGCAUCCUUACUCAAUCCUUGGAGUUAAGGAUUCGUCUGCCUCCGAUAAGUCUAAGAAGAAUCCGGAAUAGUAAGUGCAUUUUCUCUUUCUCUUUAUAACCCCUGAAACUCCAAUGAAAUGGUAUGUCUCGCUUAGGCAGGAACAAAUGGUAUAUAUCGUUUAGGCAGGAACAAAUGGUAUGUCUCGUUUAGGCAGGCUAGGAAAGCUUAUAUGUAAUCAUAUCAAUAAUAAAGAAUGCUUAGCUUAUAGCUAAGAUUAGACUAGACUGAUUUGCCCGCCCCGCUUACUUCUUUUUCACUCCAUCUUAUUUCUACGACUUUCUGAGUGGAUCUCCUUUUUACACAAGAACAUCAAUUUCUUAACCGGGUCCUGGACAGCUACGCCUUUACUUGAUUCUUCCUCUCUUAAAACUCCUAAUUCCUGACCGACUCCUAGAACAAGCAUCUUCUCUUAUUACUACCCCGGAAACCACAAACAACUGAUUUAUCUCCGACUCCAUAUACUGAUACAUUAAGGCGAUUUGACAGUGAGAGAAAGAAUUAAUAUGUUGUGAAGCUGUCCGCUCUCAGUACUUAAGUAUCGUCUCUUUGGAUGCGCAAGUAAGCUAGGAGUUCUCAGUUCGAAUUUCAUUGUUAGCGAGAGAAUAAGCAAUGUAGCGGUGAAGAAGAGGUGUUGCCCAGGAAAGGUAUAUAUAAAACAGAGGAUAAGAAUUCCGCAAGUCAGAAUGAAGUGAUAGGAGCCGAAUUCCGUUAAUAGUUUUAAGUGGCCAUAGGUAUUGUAGCCAGCUGCUGGGCUUAUGUAAUUACUUGUUUACUGACUUAGUUGACUUACUUGUUAGGCAAGUUUACAUACUGAGUUUACUUACUUGGUUGGGUCGGGUGCUUGUGUGACGCUAUGAGGAAAUAGAGAAACUUAGUAGGCAUGGCCCCCUACUAAAUUCUAUAUUCUCUUUAUAUAGGUGAAUUGGCUUUUCCCCCGCAUCUACAUCUAGUCAUUGAACUCAGUAGUAACAGUAUCGGUGUGCUUAGUUGGAGGCUUUGAAGCUGGGUUGAUUCUUUUGUUUUCUACCUUCCCUUGCCCAACCAGUGGAGUAGUCGGAGUAGUGUAGUCCAGAGCAACAACUUUAUGAGUUGACAGAGGCUCGGGUAGUUUACUUACUUGGAAGAAAAAACAAUCAAUGAUCAAUCACAAAAAACACGAAAUAAAAGUGCUCAUUUUUGACUACCUUUUCUGUACUAGUUAGGAAGGGAAAAAUAGUAGAUAAUGGAAUAUAAGAAAACAUAAGUGACUUGGCCCGAUAACUAUACUAGCUCAUAGCAGCUGAAGAUACUGGUGAAGUUUCUGAUCUAUGGUUUACAGCACCAACUAGUAGUAGUCCUGUUUACAGGUAAGGGAGUCGAGGUCGGCAAGAGAAUAAGUCUCGUCUCUUUCUUUGGCUUUGAAGUUAGGUGGGGAGCUAGUAAGUGGUCAAGAGCAAGUCCUUUUGGGGGAGCUGAGCUAGCAAGUGAAGUUGAUUCAGAAAGUGCAAGUGGUAUUCGAGUUCUUGUUUCAGCAGUUGUCCUAUAUAAGAGAGAAAUGAGAUCCAUUGAGCUGGUCUACUUGUCCGUGAAUUCCCAGUUGCAUCUGUAUUAGUUGACAGAGGAGUAAGAGAAGAGGCAAGAUCCGAGGCAAGAUCAGAGGAGAGGUCCGGCCAGUCAGAUAGAGUUAGUUCGGGCAAGAGAACUAGAGUUGUUAGUUGAAAGAGCAAGAUCAGAGGGAGAUGAGAAAGCAGCAGGGCGUGUUGAAAGAAGUAUUGGUUGCCCAAGUCCUGUGUUCGGGUGCUCCUACUAGGCCAGUAAUACUUUAGCCUUAAGCGCUAGGUGGGAAUUCGAAAAGAGAUCAUCCUCCUUAAAGGAUUUAACUAGAACUGGCAAUGAUUAUAAAGACUUUAGCGCAUCAGAAGCACAAGGUGCUGAAAGCCUGAAGAACCUACACACCGAGAUAUCGCACCGUUGAUUCAUUUUCGUCGACAACACACGCGAAACGGCACUAGAAUAAGCCCUGACCUUAACAGCUACGCCUGGGCAAGCAAGUUCAAGUAUUGUUUCUUUGGGUGCUCGUGUAAAGCAUAUAAGCACUGUUAUGGAACUGCCUACUAAAUGAGAUAAUCUGUCUCUUUGAUUCCUAAUUCCCUACUACACUGGAUCGGUGCUCUCUGAAAGGGGUGAGUAAUCCGUUUGGGUGAGUCAUCCGUAGAGUAAGCUGAUUGGUUACCGCUAGUUGGGUAAUAGCAGUAAGAUGUGUUUUUAGUGAAUUCUAUAUGUGGAUAGCUAUAUGAAUUGAAUGGAGUGCAAAUCCUCUAUAAGUAAAGUAACAAAACACUCAACUUAUGAGAAAAGAAGAAAUAUAAGUGUGCACAUAUGAGUGAAUUGAAUAAUCUUACCAUUCAGAUAUACAAUACUAUACGGAAUCAAAUCAUAUAAUUGCACAUAUUUGCUUAUCCUCCUGGAAAAAGAGACUGCUACCGAGGCUAGGGUCCUCCUUCUUGUAAAAGAGACUGCUACGAAGGUAUUCCUGUAAAAGAGACUGCUACCGAGGCUAGGGUAUUCCUGUAAAAGAGACUGCUACGAAGGUAUUCUUGUAAAAGAGACUGCUACAAAAAGGUGUAAUUGAGUUGAAUGAAGAGUUUCUUGGAUGACAUUUGCUUGCUCCUUGAAUUACACUUGCUUGCUCAUUGCUAAUCAUCUAUGUGGGAAGUGGCCUGGCCUCCUUAUUUCAUUUUUCUUAUUCAUUGGCGUGCACACACAUAUUCUAUAUUUAUGUAACUUCACUGCUUACCCUGUUUAUGAUCCUAUUUUCUUAUCUCUUAUACAUAGCAUCUCUAUCACUCUUACAGUAGACUCCUUUACUCUUACAGUAGACUCCUUUACUUUUAAGAGAACUUUGAUUUGUGUGACGAAGAGUCCAGGAAAGAGCAGCACAGCAGGCGAUGUUACUAUAAGGUGGAUAACUCUGGAACUCCUCUAACUCAGGUGCCGGUAUUGAAUAUGGGCCAGAAUACAACACUUGCUAGUGCAUUCAAGUAAGUAAUAGAGUUCUAAUAAGACAAGUCAGAAUAUAAGUUCAGUAUAAGGCCAGAAUACAACACUUGCCUUGCCAUCGGAUUAGAAUAAGACAAGAGGGUAAGUAUAAGAGCCCAUCAACUACUGUCGACUUCGGUGUUAUGAGUGAGUUUUUAAGCAUAGGUGUUAUGAGUGAGUUUUUAAGCAUAGGUCAAAGCUACCUUAUUUCUCUAAGUCUGCAAGGAGAGUUAGAGUUUGUUGAGUUAGAAUCGGGUCGGGGUGAACUCCACUAUUGCUCUGUACUCUGGACUACUCCACUGGUGAAACCGGACUACUCUACUGGUUGGGGAAAGGAAGUAGCACAUACUACUGUCUGUAACUAAGGGACCGAUCGCCCGAAAGAUUGAGUUAUGAGCAAGUCAAGCCUGUUAAUAGAUGAAUUCCUUUCUGUAAUAGGUAAAACAUCCACCCCCCCUUGCGAAGGAAGGAAAAAAAGGAUGAUUUGGAAAAUGCUUCUUAUUAGUAUUGAUAGCAAUUGAAAUAGAUAACUGAAUAGGCAGAAUUCAGAAGUUAUGAAUUAAGGAGCAGACGAGGAGGAGUCCAAGAAUGGCUGUUUGUUGUAUUGCGGACAAAGUAUGCUAUUUUCAGAGGAGAGAAGAGAAGGAGUCCAAGAGUGGCUGUUGUAUUGCGGACAAAGUAUGCUAUUUCAGAGGAUAGAAGGAGCAGCGGAAAAAAGUGCCUCAUCGCGGACGACUCACCAAAGCACUACAGGAUCUUUCAUCUGCGCAAUCCCCACUUCAGAACUUCCGCUGCUUUCGAAAAACGGAAGAAAUUCUCAAUUGGAUUAGAAGAAGAUAUUGAUUCGAAAUGAUAUUCUAAGGAAUAAGAUAUUGUUUAUUUGACUUAUAUAUUCUAUGUGGAAUCUUAUAUCUUCUAUAUUUCUUAUUUAUUGCAAACCCGACACCUCUCCUCUUUUAUCUGAGCUUGAUUCUGUUGAUUACAAAAUCCAUCCGGAAACUGUGGAGAAGGAAAACCCUAGAAAAGCGCUUUGCCCUAGACCUUGACCUCUAAUCCUAUAAAAUGAAUUGAGCUUCCUCAAUAACUAAUAUGCCUCGGAGAACAACACCAAUCCGUUGCAUUUGAAGAUGGGUCUUGUCAUCGCACGGACCAUGACAAGAGAAAGGGCUGUUGCUAGGCUAGUGGAAAAUACCUGUUCCAAUCUAGGAUCGGUUGAGACUCAACACUCGGGGAUAUAUAUAUCAAAAGAAAGAUCUCGGCAUCCUAUAGUAGAAAAAGAAAGAUCUCGGCAUCCUAUAGCCAGGAAAUCCCCAAAUCGCUAGGGCAUAUACAUCUUGAUUCUUUAUCCCCCAAGAGAAUCCGACAAUAAUUCCAUUCCAUAUCUCAAAUAUAGGCAAGAUCCAUAUUCCAUUGAAAAUCCAUUGAUAAUAGAAUGCCAUCCGUAGAAAAGCGCAAAGGAGGAUUGAUAUGGCAUGAACCGGUCUGCUCCAUCUGCUGAUCCUCUCCGGAGGCGGGCGGGCAGGUUCUUUUUGUGUGAUUGGACGGACGUACUUUUGGGUCAUUCUCUAUUGGAAAAGAUGGGUAAAAAGCCCCCUCGGUAGUAUCCAUAGGGAAUCAGGUAUAUUCGACCCUUGAUCUCUUCCUAAUAGUUAGUUAGGCGACCCUUGAUCUCUUCCUAAUAGUUAGUUAGGGUGGUAGUCAAUCACUAGCCCUUCCCAUUUCCAUAUCAUAAAUAAGUAUCAACGGACACUUUAAGGUAAGGAGAAAGAAGUGAACCCGUGGGAAGGAAAAAGGAAUAGAAUAACACAAUCGAAAAAGCAAUCAAGUAAUGCCUUCUGUUGUCGGAAUGGGAGCAGCUAUGGAAUUCGCAUCUGGCUAUACUGCUGGACUGGAAAACAUUCUUUCCCCUCGCAUAGAAUCAAAAAGGGAAACGCAAUAAGUCGUUACUAAGUAAGCACGCCCACGGGCUAGCGAAGUCACUUACCAACUUCAAUUCUCUUAUAAAAGGAAACGAUCUUUAAACAUAACCAAUAGCGUCGACUCUUUUUCUUUUGCCCAGGAGUAAGUAAUUGAUACCGAGAAGAAGCUCCUCUUUCUUUAGUUCGGGUUCCCCUGUGGAAUGUAUAAGGUGGUAUGGGCCUUAUCCUAUAUGAGAAUAAGAAUAUCAAAGGUCAAAUGCUUGCUUUAGGGGAAAGAGAAAUAAUCCUCUAAAAGCAAUGUGCCAAGUAAUCUUCUUUGGAUUUUCGACUCAUUAAUUCCUCUUCGGGAGCAGCUAUUGAUUGAAUCCGCAUCUCUUGCAGGACUAUGGCUGUCGUCAAAACCUUGACCUUCCUUCUCUAACUAAUUGAUAGAUUGUGGGCGUAAGACCCUUCUCUUUGCCGAUCUAGGUGACAUAGAGGUUUAUAGCUCGUAAAAAAACAUGGCAAAUAUCUAUAUAAAUAUAGAAAUAGGAUAGGAUAGGACUUAUGUUCGGCCCUUUACUUAUUAAGGCAGCUUUCCCCUCUCAGUUAGGAGGAAUGAACUACAUAGAGGAAAUCGCUCUGUAUGAUAGAAAGAAGUCACCAAAACCCUACUCGUUACUUGCAGAAUGGAAUUCCAUCUUUCGAGCACCUACACCUAGUCUAGAUUGAUGUAAAACACUAUACCUUUUGCCUCUGGUCGCCUUGAAUAGAGACUUAUGUCAACUCACCACCGCCUGACUUAGUAGUUAACCUCUUCCUCUCUCUACAUUUAGUAGUUAACCUCUUCUUCUCUAUACAUUGAGUGCAAAAUAGGAUAGAUGUCCAGUCCACCCCACCAAGUCAGUAAACAAAACAACCCUAAUCAACUGAAGCAAACUAGGGAAUAAAAGAACCAAACUCUGAACUAAGACUUGAGAACAACUGUCUGAAUUCUUAAAACACAUAGCAAGUAGGCAAGCAUAUACUAGAGCCAGAAAUCAGAGAAGGUAGGGUAGAAAACGACCGAGACAAGCCCUCGCCCUCCUUAAAGUAGUAGUCCAAUCGAGACCGGCACCCCUCGUAGUAGUUGUUACUUGUAUGCUUGUUCUCUAUAGCUAUAGCCUUGGUAAGGCAGAAUAGAGGAAGCGGCUUACUCACUAUUCUUAUAUCAUGAUGGGUGCAUAUAUCGAUUGGAUUCAAUUCAGAAAGACAUAUUCGAUUCCGCUGUUUCUUUACUCAACAUGAGAGUAAGCUGUUUCUUUACUCAUUUCUAUGAAAUUUGAUAAGAUUAGUAGCUUUAGAGUUACUGAGUUAGACUUUAAGCCAUUACUGAAUGAAGCUAUCGGCACUCCUAGCUCGCUAUAGGAAUUCAUAAGCAAAGCACAAACAAGGUUUAGUCAAUAAGUAAAGUACUUGAGUGGAGUGAGGUGACCCCUUGACUAUUGAGGACAGAGGCCCCGUUAGAUAAGUUAACCGUAAUAACUUCUUCUACUUCGCCUUUCCUUUCCUUUCGGCCAUCCUUUGAUACUAUCUGUAUUGAGCUUGCCUUUCCUUUCGCUUGAAUAAUAGCCUUCUUCAGCGAACCUUGAAUAAUUGGACGAGAUUCUGGUCUUCUGUAAGCGCCCCGAAAACUCACAUUCGAACUAUCUUUGGCUUCUGGAUCUGUAACUCCACGAAAGGACGGACAAGGAGUGUAAGCUGGACAUUGACGACUUGGACCACUAUCUAUGAUAUGCCACUUGAACCAAAACAGUAGGGGGCGGCUUCUUUUGAGUGGUUUUCACCUAUAUUAACCAGAGCUCAUAGCAAAUCUACUUAUUUAAACAAUGUUUCUGUUCCUUGAAAUGCUUUUUGCCUAGAAAGAGAGUAGCUCGGCUCUUCACUGUACCGAACCUGUACCGUUUACACUUACUGGCAUUAACUCGCUAAGCCGGCAUUAACUCGCUAAGGCUUACUCUUUGAGCGCGCAUUGUUGAGUUCCGAGCAAAGAAGUCUUUGUUUAUUGUUGCAGGAUCGGGUGCUUACGUGAAAGAAUCUGAUGGGACGCAAGAACUAGUAACGGUGUUCUGCUAAUGUGAAGAUAGACGAAAGUCAUAACUGAGUCCAGAAGCUUUUGGAAAGCCGCAAGACUAAACAAGCUGACUUUAUUGCGCUAAGCACCUCUGAUUCUCGAGUUCACUUUCCUGUUUAAGAUCCUGUUCCUACUUGCUUCUACUUGAUCUGUUGAAACUGUUUCCUCACCAGAUCCCGGGUUAUCUACCUAUUGCUUGUUCCGAGUCAACUCAUGAAUUUGCAUUUCACUCUCCUACAUCGCAGAAUUCUAUUGAAAUUGUUAACUCCGUAGGGUAGGCGCAAGUCCAAGCCUUUAUUGAAUCUAUCGCAGUCAGGUCCACUUUUCACUCCCUUAGCGCAACAGUCUCUGCUGAUAAAGCAUCUAAUCAAGGAGACUUAGCGCUUGCUGCUGAGAUUGAUUUCUGAAUUGAAGAAUAUCAUUGAGUGCACUGAUCAUAAGUAACACCUGACUCUGAUUCUUAUGCUCCCGCUGGAACUACACUUGCAGACUGAAACACAAGAAAGACUAUCAUUGCUUAACACAAGCACUUUACUCUGGAAAGCCAAGUUGGAUAGCGAUGUACGAAAGAAUGGGUAAGGAAAGGCGAAGUCAAGUGUUUUAGGAAAGUCUCUAGUUUCAAGUGCUGUUUUCUAGGGCUUAAUAGGUUUUCAUCUGGCUUAAUCGGUUUUCAUCUUAUUAUUAAGAAAGAAGAGGAUAUCAACUAGCCCUACCCUAAGGAUACAGAUGGACCUACCCUAAGUAAAGUACCUAGCGCUGGUAGAUUAGCCAGAGCCUACAGUAGCUAUCAAGUAAGCUGAUGCGGAUAGGGGAUGCUUCACCGAACAAGUGAAUAAGCCGUAUAAAGUCCAGUUAACCAUAGGGGUAUAAUAGAUGUUAUGUUGGUAGCAAAUCCACCCAGUGCCCCCUCUCGCCAACCGAUAACUCUUAUACUCUAUUCUGAUCCUCAGGUACGUCAUCUAGUGCUAAGAAGGUACUUCGGAGAAAAAUGAAUUCCAAGACUCAGUGAAAAGAUCUUAAGCCGGAAGCUGGCUCUUAGCACCUUAUUUGUUUAGUUUACUUUUACUUAGGAUAGUUGUUAAGUAUUGCCAGGUCCCUAUCGUUCAAGAAAAUAAGUGGAGUAUUGUAAAGAAUUUCGUAAAGAGGAAGGAUCUUUAUAAGGAUCAGAAGUGUGCAGCAAUAUAUGAGUCUCCUCUUUCAGUUCUUGGCUACUUUCAUCCUAUAGAGGUCGGGGCAGAAUCCAGUCCUGCUUUAGCUGAAGCGCUAACGGGAGCUUGCUCGAGAUAGUCUCAAAAACGUUACUUGUUAAUAACUCGUAGGAGGUGAAGAAAGGACUACGUUGCCUGGUUGUUGGACUCGGCGCUUAGGAGAAAGUUUGCAUUGUGUCGAGAUUCACUAGUUAUAGAGCACCAGACCAUUAAAGAAAUUGAUGUUUGAGUUGAGCUUUUGAGUUGACUCUAAGCAAGAGAGAGAAAUUGAUUCAAUGUUGCAAGCAGGUCCGCAAGUGAAGGAGAGUUCGCCUAAGCUGCUUGUCCCGCCUCCAAGUCUUAGAGAUAAGAUGAAAUAGAAAGUAAGUCAGCUGCCCUAAGAAAGGAAAUAAGCUUAGGAACAAAAGAGAAGGAUGUUGUUAUAGAUAUAGAUAAUCAAUAGGUCCGAGUGAAGCAAGGUGUCAUGGAGAAUGGCCUGUUCGAAAGGAAAGUGUAGUUAUCAGGGAAGAAUAAGAUAGUAAUGGCCGGUAUUGGGCAGCAAACGGGUAAUCUUCAAGUUUGGUUCAGGGAAGAUAAUAGGAUCUUACGCGUUAGGUCGUGUAGAGAGGUUUCCAGUUUGCUUACGUAAAGAAUAUCUAUGAUAUAAAGAAGCGCACUACAUGAUUAAGUCUCAAGUAAGGAGAGAUAGACUUCAAUCUCAGAGGCCAGUAUACGAGCAAGCGGUGUCAGUUUCAAAGCUCGUAUGCCGCUGCUUGCCGAGUCAUGAUCCACUGUUUCAUAUGUUUUUCAUAAGAAUUGGAACCGCCAGCACCUUCUUAUAUGUAUAUGUAUGUAUGCCCUAAGCUAGAAAAUGAUUCCUGAAAUGGCUGUAUAGGCUAGAUCUUCUUAGCAACCGGGGAAUACAAGACAAGACUGCUGGGUGGUGCGUGAGAGAGGACGUGCUCGUACCUUGACUAGUGCUUAUGGUAGUUUCUGGUAGCUUGCUUAUUGCUUUCCCUUUCUUCAAAAAGGUGUGAGGGAUGCGGAGUUGUCAACGAUAAGUCACGAGUAUAGAGGACUAGAUCUGGCUUGCAUAAGACCUAAAUAGAGCCCCAUAUGACUAUGUUUUCUUUCCCUUACCUAUGUGGUUUUCCACUAGUUGGCUUAUUUUAUUAGAAGAAGGAGUCGUUAGCACUCCCUCCCAGGCGAGCACCCUGAUGGUUAUCGAUUCCUAGGCUCUUAGCACCUUUAUCUAAAUGAGGUAUCUGUCCCGUAGUGAGUUGAGUGUGAGACAGAGAAAGACAGAAGGAAGGAUUCGCUUAUUCACUUAUUCAAUCAGGAGGAGCGUAACGAUCAGCUUUUUUCAAUACUUUAGUUGUCAACCUAAUAGCCCCUUUCUUUUCCUAUGUUCUUUACGAAUGGGGAGUCAAGUCAUUCUUAUACCACUAUUGAGGUGCACAUAUUAGAAGCUUCAAUCCACUUUCCAGGUAAGCGUAAGCAAUUGUAGGGUUAGGGAAGGGGGAAGCUCCAGUCAACUGAUUGUCUCGCCUCAUUGUCUGCGAAAGAGGUUAUUGACGGAGCGGUGAAAUCGUCAGCAUAAGCAGGAGAAGCAUCAGGUUCAUUAGCCGUUCUAGUUUGGAGUGCAGGAGAUUCCCAGUAAGGAAAGGAAGCCCAAUCUCAAGAUGGAAAUUCAGCAUUCCAGAUCUGAGGCCCCUUUCUCAUUUCAUUCGAUAGAAUUCUUAUCAAUUUGAUCGACCCUCACUCACUAGGGGAAGCGCGGACGAGUGGAAGACUUGGGUGUAAUGUCCGGUAGUUCAGAAGACUUACAGCUUUCAAAACGACUCUUCCUCUUUCACUUCUUCUUGUUUAGUUAGUUCAGUAGCUCUUGAAGUUAGAACUUGCCGUUCCGAGUUGCUUCUCUCAGUUUCUGGCGUUAUGAAGUUGUAGAUCAGUUCUUCAUUCUUUCUUGAGUUAUAGUUUUGAGUGUGACUAGCUUCCAUGAGCGUAUAGGAUCCUCUUCUAGGGCUCGUUUCGGAGUGAAACGAACUAUGUUAUGAAUUGAUUUAUUCCCCCCGCCCCCGAGUUAGACUUUGGAAGAGAUGGGUGAAUAGAAACCUGUGGAAUACCUUAUAAGAGAGCCGAAGGAAGGAAGAGCACUAUAGAGCCGGAGGUAGGGAAGGUGCUAAGAGCCUCGAUUCCAGACAGUAUAAGAUCCCAGAGUGUUUUUCGAAUGCCCCUUAAUUUCACUGAGAUCACCAAUGAAGAUUUCGAUUAUGGUAAAGGUUGCUAAGCUAAAGCCUCUAUACUAUGAGGGAAAGCCAAAGAAGCUGGCCUUACUAGAGAAGGGGGCAGUCCAAAAAGGGAGAUUCUUUUAGUUAUACCAGUAGAAAGAAGGGCAGCAGCUAAGAUCCCCAAUCGGCUAGAUGCGAGUAGCUCAUGCCCGGCUCGGGAAAUGAUGUUUGAUAAGAUGGAUUCGUUCGUGAAAGAAAGAAAAUGCAAUGGUGGGAAAUGAAUGGAAAGAAGAGUUGGAGUCUUUCCCCUAAUGAGGUGCCGACAUCUGUGUGAGUUCCUAGGAGUUAUGUUACAACAUCCUUUCUAGUAAGAGCAUCUUUGUUAGUUCCUAGGAGUUAUGUUACAACAUCCUUUAGUAAGAGCAUCCGAGAUAGCCAAAGAUCUGAAGGCGAAGCAAGAACAAAGGUAGUAAUUAGAAUAAGAAGAAUGCUAAUCAAAUCCAGCUUAAAGCGCUAAAGGAACCCUAUAGAAUUUCGAGAUCCCUACCCAAAAGAUUGAUACCGAGUUUCCAGUUCCAUUUUGAUCAUUUUAUUAUAAACCAGCAUCAGUGACUAUCUAAGCACCACCAUAAAAUGACGGAACAACCUGUGGGGCAGUGACUUUUUUGAUAUCCAUAGUCUUUCUUUGGUUCGAAAGCGAGAUAUCCAUCUAGAUUUUCUAGAAACCUCUGACGGAACGGAAUGCUACUAACUUAUUCCUAUUGAUCCAGUUGACAUUAACUCAGUCAGUAGUUUGCCGUUGAUUUCAUUUAGUUGACCGAGAAUCCGGAGCUGCACCAUAAGGGGGAGGCCGCAUCAGAGCUAGUUGCAUCUGUCGAUUGAGUUGAAUCAGCAACAGAGCCGGUAGCCUCGCCAAUCUAGAUAGUUCUUUCGAAACCAUCCGUCUUUGUAGAUUGAUUGAAGAUUACCACUUAUAUACACACAACUCCCUAUUGAUUGAAGAUUGACCACUUAUAUACACACAACUCCCUUCUUAUUGCUUGCUUGUAGGCUUCUAUUCUAUAAACUCGCGUUAUAACUUCAUCUUGUUCCCUUGUUUGUAGAAUAUUCUAUGUUGUGCACUUCUUCAACUUCAUUAUGUAAAUGGGUAAGAAAACAGCUGAUAAAUAAAUAUAUGGCAAUUCUUUUCAAAGCAGUGGGGGUAGCUCAACUCUUUUCAAAACAUACUAUAACACCCCUAAACUCGCUUGUGUCAUUUCAUUUAAGAACUCCGCUAGGCAGCCCGCCAACCAAUAAUACAAUUUGGAUUCCUUCAGCUUGUUCCUAUUCUCUCUGUCUAACUAAAUAAUGCGCGCCCGGAGCUGCUAUUCCUUGUUCUCGGCGACCUUAUGAGUAGUGGUCCAGCAUCAAAUAAGUAAGGGGCAUUAAGGUUAAGGUAAGGCGCCCCCGCUCAUAAAGGCUGUAGAACAUUCAUUGAAGCCUAAACUUCCUGUCUUUGACUUUUACUUGUUUAUUGCAUUAUGAAAUUGCUUAUGAAGUUGACUUAUGUUAUAUUAAUUAGUAUUUGAUUAGCAAAACCAGAUCCCAAAGAAAGGGUUUAUUGCUUUUCUGUUGAACGAAGGGGCUAUGGUGCCAGUGUUUAGUAUACAUUAUUCUGACUAGUAUUGGUGCUAAGCUCUACUCUAUUGGAAGCGAACUCGGCAGUAAGAGAAUUAAGUACAUUCAUGGAAUAAUAUAACUCAGUAAUAGGAAAAGAGCGACUACUAUUGGGAUCCAGCCUAAGAAAUGCACUAUUCUGACUCGGUAGCUACUUACGUUGAUUCUCUCACUGCGGAUUCGGAUACUGACUUCUUAGAUAAGAGUCUACCUCUCUUGACUUUCAUUCUCUGUGUUGCUCCUUUGAUCCCUUAAUUCAAGUUAGAUGCUUCCUUUCUUUGAUUUCCGCCUGUCGUUCAUUAUCUGGUUUGUUCAUUAUCUGGUUUACCGUACUGGUUCCCUGGUUUACCGUACUGGUUCCCUGGCUUACUUUACUACAACUAAGUCUACCAUUACUCGAUCCAAGGAUUGAGAAGGAUCUCCUUUCACUAAUAUCAAUAAGGGAACUGAGCUAUAUCAAUAAGAGAACUGAGCUAGUAUAUAUCAUACUAAGACUAGAGUAUUUAGUAGACUAUUCAUGUUAGUAAACUAUUCUGAGUAUCAGGACAGUGACUAUAGUGAUAGUAGUAUAAUAAAAAGCAGAAGAAGAAUAGGUAAAAUACGGAUAUGAUAUCAGUAGUGGCAGGCUCAAAAGAAGGAAUGUAAGACUAAAAGACGGGAGCACCAGACUCGGGCUUAUCCAUAAUAGAAGACAGUAGUUGGUAAUUAAGCCUUAAAACGGGAGCAGUAGAAGGAUGGAAUAAGGCAUUUAAGAGCUAGCUACGAGAGCGAGAGACUGUAUAGUCAGAACGGAAGACAGGGGUAGUCAAGUCAAGCCUUAGAAGCGGGAGAGUCGAGCUGGUAGUGCUAAUUUCUACUUCAAGUAAUAGCUGGGAGAGCUAGUUGGUGGGGGCAGAGAUACAGCUUAGGUGCCCGCAGAGCAAGGUAAGGCUCGAGAUAUGGUAAAAGUCAGUCUAAAAGACAGUAAGCAAGGUGCUCUAGCUAAUAAACCAGAUUCGGGAUCAGGAAUAGCAGUUUUCAAGUAAUGAGUAGGGCCUGUUCCCGUAUAUGAGCAGUAAGGCUCGGCAAUGAGCAUAGGAGACAAGAGUAAUAGGGCAAGGAAUCAUAAUCCAACUUCUUAUUAUAAUCAUAAAGACGUAGCGGGCCUGUGCAUUAGUUAGUUAGGAUACCGGGCUAAGUAGUCAAAGAAUGGCUAAGCUGAGUGAAAAAGACAGAACAACUGCCCAGUAGAAAAGAAUGGCUAAGCAUUGGAGGGAGUAAUUAGAAUAAGUGGUUUCGGUUUGAUAUCAAGUAAGGAUAUAUGGAGGCAGGCCGAUAGAGGAGAGUACUCAACAUGGGCAUUGUAGGUCCAGUCCCGGUAUAAGAAUAAGAGAAAUAAGUAGUUGACUUAGAGGCCGUUUCAAAGCAAGACAUACGAGAGUUGAACCGAGGCAAGUAAUAUUUGGUUUCUGUGUUGGGUGAAUAAGGCUUGAACAGCUUCGUUCUAUUCUACGAAGACAUAAGCAGCAAUACCAAAUACAAAAGUGCAAAUACUAAUAAACCACUAAUAAAAGACUAUCUAAUAUUGUAUAUGAAAACCCAUUCUACUAUAGGUGAUUUAAUGUUCUAUUAGAUUAUUAUUUAGUGAACCGAGCUGUAAGAAUGAAAAGGAGUAGUACAAUACUAAAGCUACCAAAACAAGUAAGGGCUUUGCUCCCAGUGAAUAAGGCAAGGCUGGGUUUACUAAGUGCAACUCUUAUCGAUAUUGGUUCGAGUCUGUUAGCAUUGUUGUUGGAUUAAUGGACAGUAGCGGCAGUCUUUCUAUCCGUAGCUCAAUUACAUCGAACCUGAGUUUCUUGUUCAAUCCUUAUUUCUAGUGGUUUCAACCUUUCCAGUGCUAGUUUAGUUUACCUAGUCCUGACCGACAGGGUAUUAAGAAUAUGAGUUAGGCGCCUUGUCAGCAGCAGUUAAGGAAUCGGUUUGGCUAGGGGUAGGUCUAUUCUUUUACUUAUGGAUUGAGUUCUUUAUUUACUACUUUCAGAAAUAGGGGUGACAAUUUCAGAGUCAAUAAGUCAACUGGGAAUUAAGAAACCGUGCAUAGAGCUAUGAAAAUCCAAUAAGUAACUAAAUAAAGUCAGCCUAAAAGCAAGUAGAGGACCCAUUCUUGUGUAGUCCAUACAGAGGGAUAGUAAGGAUUUGGAGAAUUCAAGCAAAUAGUGUUAGGUUGAGUUACGAGUUAAAGUGUCUUACUUACGCCCUUGCUUCUUAGAUAAAGUAUCUCGCUCUUGUACUUUUCACCUGUCUUUAUUUGUUUUGAUUCUGACUACCUUUUCUCCUUUUAUGAGAGCUAUGGUUUUAAGAGUGACUUUUUGUAGGCGAGUGCAGACACUAGUGCAGGAGAGCCUGGUUUAAUAGUAGCAGGCCGGGUGCUCAGUAGGAACCGGGGCUUACUUUACUACAGCCAAGGAUGCCCUUACGACUAGACUAACAAGGGGCAAACCCAUAUCAAAACCAGACUUUCCCCCCGAGAACAGAGAAUCUCACUACUAUCAAUAAGACCUGAACAACCAAUGGAAAGAAUUGGACUUAGCACUAACAGGGUGAAACACUACCUAAUAGAUUGCACUAAGUGCCUCUCUAAGCUCAAAAGAUGAAUUGAACCGGUACUAACAAGCCCCGAGUCUUUACCACUCAUACUUAUGCUCUAAACACACUCUUCCCCUACUGAUAUAAACCGCGUAUCUUAGCCUAUAUCUCUUUUCUUUCAAACAAACACGCAUACCCUUGACUCUGAUUUUCAUAGGGCUUACGGACAAACAGACUUGAAACCAGUGCUUCUCAUCCUUUAUCUUAUGCUAAGGUGCGGAAAGCCUACUGGAAAACAGACUUUAGUCAGUGCUUCUCAUCCUUUAUCUGACAAUAAGGAAUCGAACCAGGGCGCCUAAGCCUACCUUUUCCUUUAUCUAAUUCCUCAAAUCUAUACCUUCAUUCCUUAACUACCGAUUUGGAGUCUGCUUUCCUUUAUAGGUAUUACUUUACAGCCUAGCUUCGCCGCCCCUAGCUUUGAUUCUCUCUUUUCUUAUUAUUAAAUUCAUAUGUGUUUUAUUGUAUAAUAUGUUCUAGCAUUUUCCUAGUAGUUGAUUAUAGAAACUAAGUCCCAUAAGUACAAUGGCUAUUCUCUUUUGGAAGGCAAAAACGGCUCUUGUUUUCUCUUAUUUAGUAGGUUUGUUUUGCUAUGACACCUGCGCUACCUCACCCAUGUGUCUGCGAUCCCUUGGGCUGAUGCCCUGACCUACUCGACCAGGUGCCCGGCCUCUACAUUGAUACGAACUCUGCUUUCUACCUUAUACGAACUCUGCUUUCUACUUAACGAGCACCGACACAAACACCGACACAAACACCGACACACACCUAGAUCGGACAUGCACAUAGUCGUGGAGUUGCACCUAUCAGCCUACGAGCGACCAUGGACUAACUCUUUCAAGUGGCUAAGCGCAUUCAAUUCACUGGUCGAAACAACGGCACGGGGGGCAUAUGAAAAAGCUGGUUUUUUGGAUCAAAACCGAGAUAAAUAACUUGUGGUUUUUGGACUGGUUUCGCUAAGCAACAUAGAAAGAAGUUUUCUUAUACAAUCAAAGAAUAAUCGGAUAAAGAGAUAGGGCCAAGCAUAUACUAGAUGCGAGCCAAGUCCUAGAACACAACUGUCAUAAUAAAAGGCCAAGCAAGCCGACAAGUCACCACUAAUAUCAAGAAAAGGUAUAAAUUCUCUCCGAUAACUACUAAUACACUAGUCAAGGUAUCAAUUCUCUGCAUCUAGUAUAAGAGGGUAACUUCGCUCUCCACUCUAAAGUCUUAAUUGAACUCCGUAGUCACAGUAGGAUAAGAGGUAUACCUCAUUCAGUUCAUCGUUUUAGUUGCCAGCGUGAAAAGAGACGAGGUCAACUCUUUUCAUUCAGUAAAGGGAUACUCAGAAGCAGUCUUCAACUCUAUAGUAUAAGAAGUCAGGCAGCUAGCGCAUCUUUUCCCUUAUUCUUAUACAUCUACUUACCACCCUUAACCAACUAGUGGUGCUCUUAACUAAACCACCGGCGUGCUCUUCAAAGUAUGGAUUGAAACCUAAAGUCAGAAUGAAACUCGAAGUUAAUAAAUAGAGUAAUUCGCCGAUGGGGUCUAGUCUAAUAGAAAGAAGUAACCAAAGAGCCAUAGGUACAGGAGCAAUCAAUGAAUAAGGUCUUAUACUCUUGAUAUCCCGACUAAUGGUCUUAUACUCUUAUAAUGACUUGGACGCGGUCCAGGGCUCCUUUAGCUAUUAAUUAGGACUUGGGCCAAGCAACCUUUCUUUCCUUCCCUAUACACCCCUUUAGCCAACAAACACAGAUGAUACUGGGGAUCCACUCGGAGAAUAGCGACCUUUGAAACUACUAUACUACACCUCUGGCUCUGUCAACUAAUUAAGUUAGGGCUCUGUACUCUUUACUACUCCCAGGUCUGGUCCUUGUAUACUCUGAUUCCGGAUUCUUUUUCCGACUUCCCCGACCAACUCCAUAUUCUUGUUCGUACUUCUUUUCUAGUCUACUCGCACUACUUAUUAUUGAGUUCCUACUAAAGAGAAAGAUAUUGAGACUUCUCCUACUCCGGAUAUUGAUACAAACGACUUCCUUACCUUAUCUUGCCUCCGCCUCCGUUCUUAUAGUUCAUAAUAAAGGGAACAAGUGAGCAGCUCCAUUCCCGUUUUGGCCUCUUCUUGCUUUUGUAUAAGUUGCUUUUUGGGGUAUCCAAUUUCAUAUAUUAGCUAUUAACAGAGUAACACAUAGGUUCCACUUGUAUAAAUAAGAGGGCUUGAAUGCCUUUCCCUCAAACACGGAACUCCCCCGAACCCUUCCUUGAUACUUAAAGCGCUUAACCUCACUGAUACCAAAGACUGGACUAGUAGACAACAAAAGUCAAGCGCCAAGAACAGAAAGAGUAUCUACUGAAGUCGACCUAGACCUCGCUUCAAACCCAGUAAUUGCGGAUGAUGAUCCUGUUGAAGAUCCUUAUUCUGAUCCUAGAACUAUAACAGGCAAUUCUUCUGCCGGAGCGAGGUUAAGUGGAGUACGGUGGAAAGUUUACAGUAGUCCGCUCACUAACGCGUAGCAGAAGCCAAAUCCAGUAUUGGCUCGGUGUCGUGGACAGUGGAGAAUUUCCAGUUCCAGAAGAAUAAGGAAGGAUAAGAAGCCGAGACGAAGCAAUGCGGUAGAAAGGAACAGGCGCAAGGGAACAACCAUCAAGAAGGGCACCCUACUGAUUAUAGGAAUAAAUGCACUCUAACAGCCAAGACACUACUAAUGUGUCGACCAAACAACUAAGUAAGACGUUGCGCGGUAGCAACAAUAAUAGGCCAAGCAACUACUAACGACCAAGCUUAGGCGUAAGACUAAGUGCGGUAGCCCCAAUAACAGAUAUUACAAGUUAUUACAAUAGAUGUUUUUGGGGCCGCUCCACUCUUUCUAUUACAAUAGAUGCUUUUUGGGCCGCUCAUCUGUGCCCAUUUUAUGGCAAAUGACCCAGGAAGAGAUCAAACCUGCUUCAAAUGUAAUUCAAAGAGGGUUUCCUCCGUUUCCGACUCCCCGGAUUCUGUUCCCAAGUCCUGUCUUUGUUCGUCUAGCACAUCCAGUAGUUUACUAGUAAGCUCUAGUACCGGAUAAGUAGAUAGUUCUGAAUUCCAUUCCAAGAUAAGAAACGGAAUUGGAAGCAGUGCCAAAGUAAGCUGCUGUUCGAGUUAAGUCUAUAGGAAAGUUCUACUCGCCCUCAAAGAGACUAAGGAGAUUUCACUGCAGAGUUUCGUUCUUAAGUAGUCACUUGUCUAGUAGCUUGGCCCCGGCAUUUUGGAAAGCAAAUAGCUUGAUACAACAAACACUUUCACUGCGGAUUCUGUUAGGGAACAUCAACUGGAGCUUAAAAGCCUGUAAUUGGUGAUGAUCCUACAGACCUAUUUUAUAGAUGGAAUUUCCUGCUACACCAAUCUGCUACACCAAUUCCGCUACUACUAAGUGAAGUAAUUCCUCUGGGUUCCGUUUUUGUCUUAUAGUGCACUGCAACCAAGAGUUGUUUGGUCUGUUACUGAUGAAGUUCAUUCUGUAUUUACUACCACUAUAACAUUGGUAUAUUCCCCCACUAUGCAAUAAAUGAAUAACUAAUUGAAUAAUCAAAUACUCAAGUCAGAAUAAUAGUCAUUAGGGCCACUAAGAACGGUAUGGGGUAGUUUAAGAAUAAGAGACCGGACAGUCAGAGUGAAAGAAGCAAGUAUCCGACCAAGAGGUAUACUAGUACUACUGGGGUCAUUUACGUAUGGAUGGGUUCACAAAAAAGGAGUAUAAGAAUUAGCGGAGUGUGAGCGCACUUAAUCAGGAAUGUUCCUCUCAAGUCAGGAUCAAACAAGGGUCAUUAUCAUAAUGGUAGGUGGCGAUACAGAAUUUCAAAUAAGUAUUAGGUCGGGUCCCUCUCCCUCUCAGAUAAGAAUUGGACUAGUGCUCUAUAAGAUCGAAAUAAGCAACAGUGGAUUCCACUGCUAAGGCGAGUGCUGACAAGACUCAUCUAUUCACUAGGAGAUCCGCUACCAAUAACAAGAAUCAAAGGUACUUCUCACUCUUUAGCUCCUGAUAUCUCAAGGCUACCUUUGCUGUAACUAAGUCUUUGGCUCUUCGAUCUUACUCUUUGACUGCCGAUCCAGAUCUUUGCUUUUAGUAUUACUUGGCAGAGCGACCCAGGCAAGUCCAGACUAAAGGUAAAGGUAUAAAGUGUAAUAGUGGUGAGUUUCAGAAUAAGGGUAAGUAGCGGCAGUCCUGUUAUCAAUGGCCCUUUCCGAGGUGGGUUAGGAGAAGCGCUAGUUCUAUUCUUCCCAGUAGUGGUAACAUCCUUUCUAUUAGCGGUUCCGUCCUUUCUAGAUUAGCAGCUCCCGAACACAGCACUUGCUCUCAUCUAAUCCAACUCUGGCUACAAUUCAUUGAACCCUGAUGUCCGCUCCUAUAAAGGAAUUCUGAUUGGCUGUGGAAUCUGUUCUUAUUAAGGAUUGAGUUUCGAAAGAGAGAAGCCCUUUCUUUUUGGAUGCAACUCAACAUUACGAAUGGAGGAUGUGCUCGAGAUUAUCAAAUUGGCUACUACCUUCCAGAAGGAAGCUAUUAUUUGACUUUACCGAGGUUAGCUGGUGAAGAUCCUUAUUGCUUGAUAUCAAAUAGAAGGUAGUUUCGUCUGGUCUGUAGAUCAUGUUGAAUAAGUAGAGCUAGUAAAUUACACUAUCAGAUUACUUACGUGAGAGUUGGAAUUUCUUUCCCAAUCCUUUCCUUCCCUUAAGAAUAGAGUUGACCUCCUAAGCUUCCCUACGCCCAUACUGGAUUAAGCCUCUGAACCUGGCAUACCUGGCAUACCUCUCUUAUCUUGCCAACAACAAUCACCAGAACAGGAGCAGUACUAAAGGGAUUGCACUAACUACUACUUAUGAAACAGGACCACUACUAAUAGUUCUUGAAACAAGCCCUGCUGCUGGCUCUUCAUUCUGACUUGAAACUUUCCUUUACUCGCUUCAUCGCUUGCUGCUGACCUCCGCUCUGACCUUACUUGCGCCUUAACAGCUUUACCGACACUGUAGUAGCUUGUCUGAGGGAAAGAGUACUCGGUGGGUUAGCAAACUUUAGAGCGCCUGAUGGGUUAGUGACUUAUUCUAUUCUAUUAGAUUGAGUAUCGUUCUUCCUUUUUAGAGCCCGCCGGUUAGUUACUUCUUCUAUUAGGGUUAGUGACUUAUUCUAUUAGACCCCUAGCUCAGCUCCACCCUCAUAUUCCGUUUCUUAUUUUUCGACUUACUUUCGAACUACACUUUAUGAAUAGACUACUUUAGCACCCGAACUAUACUAUAAGGUUAAGCCAAGCACCUUUCCGAUACACCUAACUUCAAAAAGUCAACUCCACUAUAUUACCUUUUGAGCUACAGCGCGACAAGAAGAGAAGGCCUAUUUUCGUCCUUGUUCCUAUGUGUUACUCUGCUAAUGGCAAUUCCAUUCACAACUAAUUAAAGAUCCCUUGCCACUGUAUAAAUGCAUUUGAGCCUACUAAUCUAAUCCACUAUAGCAUUUGUUUCUUGGGCCGAAGAUCAGAGAAGAGAAGAGAAGAUUGUAAGAAUGGGGUUAAGCGCAUAAGCUAAAGCAGAAGAUCGGAUUGCCCCAACUCGGUAUUGAAGCGGGAAGUUCUGCGCUAAGGGAGUUUACAACUAAAGAAUGAGUUUUGGUUUGGACUCCGCUCUCAAUUACUGUGACUCUGCCCUCCAUGCGUAGGCCUUGGCGCACUCAAAACCAUACUGCUAAAUGGGAUCCUUGCUUAUACGCUUGAGGCUUCCACUCCUUUAUCCUAUUCUGACUAUCCCGACCCCAAACCUAACUAAGUUCUCCCCCCCUAUCUUAUUGUCUGGGGCUUACUUGUUAAAGGCUUAUUGCAUAACAUAACAUUGUCUAAUCUAAUCUAGUAACUAAGGGACCGAUUGCCAACCCAGUAACUCACCGGCAAGCUACUAAGAGACCCCAAACUCGACUCUCAGUUAAGAACCACUUCUAGACUAGCCUGUUGUUGGCAAGAGAGAGGUGCGAGUGUCUUUCUCAACUUUCUCCUUACUAAGAGAAGAUAGAAUUGAUUUGGUUUUCCUCUACGGUGUCUGUACUUAGUCGGUAUAUGAGAAAGAGAACCCGUAUAUCACCUGAAGACAUAUACGAGGACAGGAUUGUUCGUCCGCCUGUAUUCGCCCUUCUUUUCUUCUUCCCAACCAUUAGACCGGGAAGCUAGCUUAACCUCAUCCUCAGGUAUCGUUCCUGAACUGACUGUUGCCGCGUCAUCGAGCCUCUCCUUCGAUCAUCUCUUUUUGCCAAUGAGCCAGCCCCGUCUUUUCUGUUGACAUCUUCAGUAGUUUCACCGGGUAAAGUCACCCACCAAAUCUUUUCCAGGCCUAGAUGCCCAAUUGAAUCAAGAUCAUUGUCAUGUUUGUUCUAGUCUUUAAAAGGACCAAAGAGUCCAGUCCAACACCUUUUUCUUCUUCUUUUGUAAGUAAAUCAGAUGCUCCUCUCAUAUCGUUUAUGGUAUGCUCCUUUUUAAGCCCGAGAAGGAGACAGCCCGAGAUGGUAUCCGUUGAUUGUCAUCCGAGAUAUAAAGCUAUGAGAUGAAUGCCCCCUAUUUGAUUAAUUACCCACCGACCGCCCUUGCUAUUUGAGAUCUACUUUAGACUCUUAUACGAACGAAAUAAACAAGUAGGCAUAACUCGUGAAUGUAGGCAUAGAAAGCAUAUGCUAAGACAGACCUAAAAGACCUGAGCAAGAAGGAAGCGUCAAAGAGCUUUAAUGUGUUAACUGAUGGAACUAGACAAGCAAACGGUUACUAGUUAUGGGUCGAAGACUCUUAGUUUGUCUCAUAAGUUAUAUUCUCGAAAUCGACUUCCUUACAUAGAAUUGAUAAUAAAAGAAUCGACAAAAAGAGGGGAUUCUAAUCUAAGAAGAAAAAGAAAGAGAUGAAGUGACUAGUAUUCUAGGCUUGAAUCAUAAAUGGCUUGUCUCCUCUUUCACAACAAGAUGGGGUACUGCUACAAAGAGCUAUAUGAUUGAGAUAGAUAUAUGCUUCUCUUUUCUAUGAUACAGAGUGGUGAGAAUCUCCCUAGUAUUUCAUAACCGACCUUGAAAGCUAAGCUUGCUUGUUUCACAGACCCUUUUACCUAACGCCCUUUCACCUAACGGCCGUUGCUCCGUCAGCGAGUUUACCCGAGCUUGCUUAUACCGCUAGCAAGAAGCAAUCCUUACCUUACAUACAGUGAAAGAAGGCUACACAGUAGGCUAAGCGAAGCAACUAGUUUACUUGCUUUAAAAGGUGCGGCUAGUAAGGAGUCGAACAGAAGCAUGAGUUUAGUGGUGAGCUAAAGAGCUGGGUAGGGAAACACGGAACGGAGACGAAUCCAAGCCCAGUAAUAGCGUAGAAUAGAUCCGCCCUUUACAUUCCCUCAUAUCGGAUAGCCCACGUCUGACCCCAUUUCUCGUGAGAAAACCAGUUUCUUAUUAGGUUUGCCUCGUUUAAAUUGACAGUGAGGAAGAGGUCGGGUUCGGUCUCUCAGUCGCCCCUGGAGUAAAGGAAUCAUGGUUUGGUUCUGGUAGCCUCAUAUCUCCGGAAGGUGGGUCAAUGGGUGAUAACGUUUGUGCUUUCGGUGAAUCGCCUGCACUCUCUUUCUUUCUAUGAGAAGUUUCUCCUUCCGCCGGUCAGCCUUUCACUCUUUUUUCCAAAAGGGAGGAAAAAACACUCCUCUUCGGAUUCAGCUCCUUCCUCUUAAAGCUAGGGCAUCCCACCGAUCAAAAAGAAAAGAGUGAGCCCUUCUUGCUCUGUUGUUCACUGAGCCAUUCCCUUAAGAAAUGACUAGCCCCUUGAAUUCUUGUGAGUUAUUUGAUUCAUCAAUAGGUGGCCCUCCCAUACAAUCCCUUUUCGCAUUUCAUCUCCCUUCCUUUCUCCUUAGCUUCCCUUACUUGUCUUAACACUUCAUUCCAGUCAUAACCAGUAGUGGAUUCCAUUCUGCAGAAGGCAUUUCUUCUUUCAUGGCCGAGUCACUCCUAUUCUUCUUUAGAUUAGGGUUACUCCUGCUAAGAUUAUAUGGAAAUUGGAACCUUCCCAUAGUAUUCAAGAAAGCCUGAACUUCAGAGGAAGGAUAAAGGUGCUUGUAGUAAGUAGAGUGUCAAAAAAGACCUUGACUAGGGCCUUGCACGCCCUCAGACACCUACUCCUUUCGGACUAAGAAGAAGCUAUCAGAGGAUCUCCUUAACCUUCCAUUCUUAUCUCCUACAAAACAAUACCUUGACUAGGGUACUGAAGUAGACUAGGUAAAGAAGCUAUCAGGAUCUCCUGCCCCAUUCUUAUCUCCUGCAAAACAAUACCUUGACUAGGGUACUGAACUAUAGAGAACAAGUGGCACUCUACAAGCAAGGGAACAAUCAAAGAAUGUUGCGGCACAGAUAAGAUAUUCACAACUAACACAGAGCAUUACUUCAAUACUAACGUUAGCAGCUAUAGUAUUGAACUCGCGUGCAUUAGCACCCGCUACAGAAUUCAAGGCAGUAGUGAAAGCUUAAUUAAGUAAGUAUUGUUUGCUUGUUGUUCAAUCAUAAUGUGUGUUUGCUCUUUCCUUGUUCAUUCUCUAUCGCCGGGUUAGAGCUAAUUCGCUGCUAUUCAUUCGAGUUCUGUCGCUGGGAGCUGGUAGGUAAGAAUAAGAAGAAUAACGGCGAGGCAUAGAUGGGAUAGACUUCAAAGAUGAGGAAGACGUCAGCCCUUGCGAAAGAUAUCUUAUCUAACCUCUAAAUCAUCCCCUUGCGAAAGAUAUCUCACCUCUACUCUUAAUCCUCAGACCUUGACGGAAAAGCUUCCAAUUAGACCAGUAGCUGGCCGAGUAGCAGAUAGACCAAAUAAGCACAGUAGGCUCUCUGGGAUUCUAUUCGAGUAGCAGAUAUAGACCAAAUAAGCAUAGUAGGUCUAUGGGAUUCCAUUAUUAUUGAUUUAUAGAUUCUAUAGCCUACGCACUAGCCUUUAGGGGAUCGAGUUGGCCAGUGCUUCCUUCCAUCGUCCCAUCGAUCUACGUACUUCUUAACACCGAUCCCGCUCAGAACCAUAGAAUGACAUAUCGGUACAAAACUCCUACCUAAUACUAUAACAAACACAAGCAGCGAACCCAUACAAUGAAAUAAGUGAGUAGAGUCUAGUAUAUUAUUUGGAAGUAAGUAAGUAAAUAAGUCUAGUAUGUAAGUAAGAUGAAGUAUUAGAAGUAUAUUUCUUUGAAGUAAGUAAGAUAAUGCUCUCUUAUAUUAUAUGUUUCAAGUAAGUAAGAUAAUGCUCUCUUAUAUUAUAUGUGGUGUCAAUCAGUUGAAUUGGAAAUUGGGAUAGCGGUGCCUCCGCCUCUCUGUCCUAAUGUGCAUAGGGAACAAGCAAACAUUAUAUAAGCUUUAACGACUUCCUUUCCGUAAGCGCUUAUACGUUGUUGGCUCGCUAACGCUUAUUGUUGUUCGUUGUGCUAACGGGAACGGAGUGAUUUAAAUUGACAGAAGUAUUUGUUGACUUUCGAAUUCUAUAUUAGGGGGUAGCUCUCUUCAGUAGAUAAUGAGUGGUGAUCCUCUUACUUAAGAACAGGUAAAGGAAAGGCUAAGUAGAAACAGUUCUAAUAGUUCCUCUUCCUCUGUCCUGCAAGUGUAUAGGGUUCGAAGCAAGUAUAAGCUGGUGCCUCACAUUCUUCCUCUAUUUUCUCUUUCUAGUAAGCAAUGCUGGUUGUUUACUUCUGUCUUUCUAUACUAUCUAUGGAACAAUGAAAAAGCAGCGAGUUUUUGGUUAUUCUCUCAUGUUUAUCCAAUUCUAUAUUUAAUGAUAAGAUACGAGAUUAUUUACUUCAAGCAAUAAGUGAGCAGGGCAUUAUAUCAUGUGCACUUUUGUUAUCUUUCUUUCUCUAUUAUAUGUGACUAGUGAAUCAUAACGAAGCCCUCGUUCGGCCUCAAACUAGUGAACAUCCAGGAGUAUAAAGCAAGUGCUAGCCGAGAACAGUUUACUAGAAAGAGAGUGCUCAGCGGGAAUUGUGAUAGUUGAAGUUCCCUGGGUCCUAAGGAAUGCCACAGCCAGAGAGAAGAAAGAAGUCAGACACACUCAGAUGCAGAGAAUCUCAUUCCGUCAUGCUUACAUAUUGGAAUUAGUGAUCAAAUGUCAUAUCCAGUUUACCGGGUCGAACUAUCAGCAGUGGAGAAGGCAAGCACCAAUAAUAGGGCGGAGAUAUCACCAGCGGCGGAGGGAUGGGAAGUCGAUUGCUCGAUAGCUUCUCGGUAGGAUAGGAUGGAUUUGAUUCUCAUUGGAUUGGUCGGCCACCAUAGCACUAAGACGGAAAGCCUAGUUUGCAGUCUACACAGAUGGGAAGUAACCAAACGUAGGAAAGAAUACCUAUGACUCGAAGGAACCGCCACCAUUAGAUUUCAGACAAGGAUGCCUUUUUACCCGCUAAGGCUCUUACUCGCUAAAAUCAAUCAUGGAAUUACAGAGUGCCUUCCAUCCAUCAUAUAGAAUGAUGCUCUUAUAGGCCGGGAUUGAUAAAAGGAAGCGUGGGCUCUUUUCUCAGGUGCGCUAUAUCUUCUUGAGUAAGGCGAGUAUGCACAAGUCCUUAUCUUACCAAGGAAAGGCUUGAUUACCUACCAAUGAUGCCCCAAGCAAGGAAGCAUACAAGAUUCUGGUACCGGAAGGAAAGACGUUAAUGACUGUGGUAACUUCGGCUACCAACGCAAUUCCUUUCUUUGACUUUGUUUGGAAGCAGAUGGAGAAAUUCGCUACGUGAAAGCUGCUAUUCGAACUAGAGCGGGAAGGAUUGCAGUUAGACUAAGACCGCUUCUUCCUAAUUCGUAAAGAUGUGGUAUCCAGUUCGUUCUGUGCUGCUAGUGAAACUAAUGAUUUGAGUUCUAUCGUUGAAGUGAGUUGAGCUUAGCUGUGCUGCUAGUAAAACUAAUGAUUUGAGUUUUUAAGCAAAGGAGGAGUGAGCUUUAUCUUCAGCUGGAUAAGGUAAGGAAGUGGAAAUAAGAUCAGUAGAAGUAACUCGCUAACUAAGCUUAUUAUGUUUGUUCAGUUCUAGUGUAAUCAUGCGGUUCAGAAAAGAGAGUUUGUUUGAGCAUUGGCAACGAGGAGCAACAUUAUUCUAAUAUAAGAGGAUCAAACUCCAAUUGCCUUCCAGCCUUUUCAUCUUAACCCCGGAGUAGAAAGCAAAUAAAUUCAAGCAGCCUUUUAGAAACUCGAAAGAUAGAUUUCCAGCCCCAACUUCUUAUUAUUUAGGCCUAUGGUUGGUAAAGUCACUAAACGGAUUGAUUGUCCUAUCUUCUUGAGCGCUAAGUACUCUGAUGGCCUUCUUCAGUGCAUCUGUCCUUCAGUAGAGUUCCAUUGCAGUUAAGUGUUUGCGCAGUCAAUAUUAGAGAUUGGUCAGCUUCACACUUCAAGGAGAAUUCGGGGAAGGGGCAUAAUAUAGUGGUACUUGCUUUUAUUUUAUGCCAUAAGUCAAGAAUACGAAUAUCUUUCUGCUCGGGGAAAGUAUAUGAGAGAAGAAGAAAAGUAUCUGAAUUCAAAAGGAUGAGGAAACAAAAUCCAAAGAAGAAUCCGCGCGCGCAAGCUGCCACUGGUCCCGAAGAGUAAUCCCCAAUAGCUCCUUUUGUCCCCAAUGGAGCUCCUUUUGUACUUCUUACUCAGAUCUUUGUGUGUGAAAGAAAGUCUCCCGGGAUAAAGUCAGCAGCAAGCAGAGGUGUUACCGUUAAGUCUGAGUUUUUGUAGCAGCCCAAUAACUCCCCAAAACAUAUGGAUUCAGAAUCAGAGGGAGAAAUGCACUGGAGUACCGAUGUCCACCAUGCACCUACCUUAAUCUACUUAUUCCAAUAGUGAAUAUGUUCAUUAUUAUCCGAUGAAUUUAUUGAUAUUAGCGGGAGGUCCGUGCGGAUAUAGUAGUGAGUUAGUUUUUCGCUCUACAAGGAUCAAGAUCCAAUGAAUGUUCACUCUUUUUCUGUCAAAGAAAGAUAUAUCUCUGACCUAUCAAUGACUAAUGGUCGAAUAAGACAUAAAUUGUUGGAUACUUCUGGUAAUAAGGAGAAGCAAAUUAAUGACUAUUCAAUAAGACCAAACGAUAUCUAAUGGUCAUUGGAAUUUCUUAUAUACCUUAUCUAUUAUCCUAAGGGAAUUUGGAUUUCUUGGUUCUAAAGCGAAGAAGACGAAAGAGAGUCUGAAUCCCAUUACUAUAUGAUCAAGAACGAGACAAAGAACUAAUACCCUGUUUUGCACAAAGGUAUUUGACGUAGAUAUUGUCUUCUUGAAUGGAGAAAAUGGGAUCUAUGUCCUAACGCCAAGAAAGAGUACAAAGUGCGGUUCGACCCGUAGUAACACAUGAAAUAGCUGAUGACAUCAAAUUAGCAACACUUUUUCCUCAGGAUCUCUUACAGCGCGGGGAUCUUAUUCAGGAUCUCUUACAUGGGGGGGAAGAAGUCUCUAUGGCAGAUUGCUACGUAGAACAAUAGGCAUGAAUGGCGGAAAUAAGAGAAGAGCCUAUUCCUCUCUAUCAAACAUGGGGGCAAUGGAAUCCUACUUGCUUAUGGAAUUGAGUUGAGUGCUCCCUUACUUGCUUAUGGAAUUGAGUGCUCUCCCAUAAUAGAAAGAAGUCACCCAACAUCACUCCACUCCUUGUUUAAACCUCACUGCUUGUUCGUUUUGUUACUUGUUCUUGCAAUGGAAUCUAGUUAGCUGUAGUCAAAACACUGGAAACUAACUCAACUCCAAAGCUCACUCACUAUCCCCGAUUACCAUUAAAUAGAGGCAUUAGAAUUCCCCGAAACUCUCUAUCUCUAAACAAACAAAAGCACAAGGGUUCAAUUCAGGAAAGAGUAUAUCUUCGCAUAUGAAUGAUAUAAGAGCAUAACAAAACGGAGCAGAGCUUCGAAACUCACUAAGGAACUUGGACUUGAAGAACGAAACUCGCGCUAGCACAAGGGCGAAGCUGGCAAACACUAAUUAGCACUCUUUCGAAAUCAUAGAAUCUGCACCUAAACUAUCCAAAAAUAUCCAAAAGGAAUCUCACUAAUAUCAAAAAGGAACUAAACACCUAUGACUCUCGGGUUGGGGCAACUAGAAACUAACGCCUUGAAUUCCAUCUAGCUAGCGGAGUAUAGAAGUUAUUAAUGAAUCUAGCUUUGUAUAGAAUAGCUUGUUCUCUCGAGCAUAGCAUAUAAGAUAUUCUGAUUUUCUAUUGCAUCGCAUAUAAGAUAUUCUGAUUACCUAUUUAUAUACUUGGGCUCCCUUAUCUUAUUGUAUAGCUUGCUAAUACUCCCUUAUGUUAUUAUUGCUUGCAAAUACUCCCUUCCUUUAUCUUAUGGCUUGUUCCUCCUUACUCCUGACUUCAGUAUUCAUUAUUCCAGGAACGGUUUGUUUCCUUUCAUCACUCAUAUCGGCAUUCAUUCGUAAUAAUGCAUGUGUAUAUAUAUGUGGAUAUAGCUGGUUUCAAAAAGGAUUAGUUCAUAUUGAAAGUGUCAAUGUAUCUAACCUACUACUCCUAAUGUUUCACAUCAUUAUAGUGCUAGUUGAUUCAUUAUAGUGCUAGUUGAUGAAAGUGACUUUCGGGGUCAAGAAAGGUAAAGUGCCACGGCGCUCAAUUCCAAUUGAAUGCAACUGGAUCCAGAUCUAGUAUAGUAUUCAUUGGCGAUCAGAGCAUAUAUAUAGAUAACACUUCUACCGGGAUGGUGUCUUGCUUUAAAAACUAGUCAUUUCUGCUGGGGGGCCUUUCUCCUUUUUUUAGGUUAACUAGGAUUCUUAGUGGUUGGAACAUCCAGUUCUCUUGGUAGGAAUUGAAUAUCCAUAUUUCUUUCUAUCUCAGCAAAUCCAUUUUCUUCCACAAACAAUGGAUCGGUGAUGUCUUUCUACGGCGGGUCUGUCUAUUCAUUAGCUCGUAUUUCCACAAUUUCCUGGAAUGUAGGUAGCAGACCGAUUCGAUAGACAAAAAGGAAUUGUUUGUGUUUCUUUGUUGAUAGCUCUGCGCUCGCAAGUCCUUUUGGGGGGGGAUAUGGAUCACCAUCAGUUCCAUUUAGAGUGCUUUUUUCCUCUUCGAUAAAAGGAAGGGGCCAAGUAGACAAGCUACUACAACUAACAUAAGGUACUCGAAAUACAAUAUAUCUUUACUAACAGAAUGAGGCUAAUCUACCUCUGUAAACUCAUACAGAUGAAACAGCUUCCCGACCUCUACUCUUUAUUUAAGAUGAGACCUUGCCGACCUCCACUAAGACUUCUUUGCAACUAGCCCCCAGUAGUAGUAGAAUUCUUUGUGUACUUAAGAUCCACUGGUGCCAAGUCCUGUAUCCGCCCUUCCACUAGUAUAAUAGUAGUCCUGUGGGAGUGGGCCCGCUUCUUCUCUUACUGCUUCCUUUAAUUCAAUAAGUGUUCGAGCAAAAGGUGAACAAUACCUGCUGUUAUGAGUGACAGAUGACCUCUGACUUGCUUGUUAAACAUUGAAUGAAUUUUCUCUAUCUUUAGUAAGGAUUCCAGAUUCUACUCGGUCUUCAACAAGUGGCUACUUAACCGACACAAGAACGGAAAGAGUACACGCAACUGGAUCGGAUACAGAUGAACUUCCAGCUUCAAAGCCUUCUACUUACAACUCGAAACUCCCCUUCCUGCUUCAAAGCCUUCUACUGAUACUAGAUGCGGGCAAUUAAUACCUUUCCGACUAGCUCACCUCCACCUCUUACCUAUGGCUCCGAUACCUCUGGCUACAAUAGCUAUAUCCCUUUCCAUUGAAUCUAACUCUGGCUCUGCCAAGCUACAACUACUGAUGCGGAUUCUCUUUCUUCCCUUGCUUUUUCUUUCCAUUAAUUAAUCAAUCGUUUCUUUUGCACUAGGCAUAGAAAUAACAUCCAGUAAAGAAAGAUGCUGCUGCCCAAUAGAAUUUGGAACCUAAGUAUGGGAUUAGAGAGUAUUGGAUUAGAUGCGGGAACAGUAUAAUAGGUAGGAACUCGAUAAGAUGCCGAAGCGGGAGUGGGAACAAGAGAAGUGAUUCGUUAUAAGUAAGGAGCUGUAGUAAAGUAAGGCUUAGCUCUGGUCGGUUAAGAAAGAAAGGUAGUUAGCCCUUGGUGGCUUGGCUACCAAUAUGGAUAAGUAAGAUCUACUACUAGGUGGGUCAGGCUCGUAAGCUAUGAAGUAAGGCAAUAGUGGGCUCGUAAGCUAUGAAGUAAGGCAAUAACUUAUUAUACAGAAUUAGCACCUAGGUCCUCUGUGUUAGAAUAUGAAGUAAGGUAAGCCUAACAAUAGAGAUAAAGAAUACAAGUAUGGAGUUUCAGAAUAAGAUAAAGGAGAGGCAGACCAAUAGUAAUGAUAGUAAUAAUACGAUAGUGUGGCAGUUCAGCCUGAAAGCGUUGGAUAGUUAUAAUCAAAACCAAGGAAAGGUAAGAGAAGAUCUGAAUUAGAUUAAUGGGGGGCCAAGCAACGACUUUUCGAUUUCCUCAUUGCUUCACACAAGUCACACUUUACUAUACAAUUAAGUACAACUUUCCACUACACUUUCUGAAUCGACAACGAAUGAACUAGAACAGUACUGGCAUCCGACCUAAACUAUGGCUCCCGACCUAAACAAAUACAGAAUUCCACAACUCCAGUUAGCGCACUGAGUCUUGUUACCGAUGGGCACUCCGCCCUUGUUUCUGUCUAAACUAACUACUAAUAGUGGAAUGAAGAUAAGAAUGAGACCUAUAUCGCCUCGCAUCAAAGGCAAUACUUUACCGAGCCUCAAAGCAAGUGGACUACCCCUAACUGCUGCCCUUGCAGACCCGAACUAACUCUAUCUGAAGGAACUUACAAUAAGGGCCCUACCUCUUCUACUGGUUACAAUUCUCUACUCCCCGCUUCAAAGCAAGUACCAGACCCAAUGGAUUCUCUCUCUCAUCUGGCUACCGAACCUACCCUCGUAUAGGAAUGACACAACUACCUUAGUCUCAAAGCAAGUACUCUCUGGAACCACCCAACCAAGUAAGUAAACACAAAGUCAGGAAACCACCCGACCUAGUAACAGAGGAAUGAAACCACUACACCUAGUUAAAGGAAUGACCCAAGCCUACCCGAGUCACUGAAGUCCACCACCCUAGCUGAGUUCCCAGACAGGCAAGAUAGGGGCAUAAAAGGAAUGAUGUCGCAUCGCCAAGAUGUUUUAUGGGAAAUUACCUAUCAUCUUCUCUUACCCGUGCAAGAAAUGAAUUUAGUGCCUAUAUCUUUAGGGUUCGACUAUAUGUCAUUAUAUAUAAAGAGAGUCAAAGUGAGACUAUGCUUUUUGUUACUGUUUGUGUAGUGAGUAGGUACAUGAGAAAUCAGAGUGUCUUUUCUGUGAGACAAGCUAUUCUUACGCUGUUAAGUAAACUAACUACUACUGACCAAGGCCUACCACCUUAACUGGUUCUCUUACCGACCCGACCUAUCUACCACUACCAGCAAGAAUAAAGCUAGCAACUAGCAACUACUGGCUCUGCUCUGUCAACAAUACCUUAAUUCUUAUCCUCUGUUUGAUACCUGGCCACAACUACUGAUGCAACUGAAUCCGGCUACUAUACCUCUGCUAUGGCUCUCAUCUAAUCUAACUCAGGCUUAAACUGUCUCUUUUCACUCUGUCUUCUAUCUAUACCUAUGGCAACUUCCAACUAUUAACUUCAUUCGGCUAAUCUAACUCUGUUGCUUGGCCUUUAACGACCUUGUUUCAGGCUUAGAUGCAUCGGUUGGAGGUCUUAGAUGCACUUGUUUAAGGCUUGCUGGCAAUGGUUGAUUCACUGGUCUGAAACUCUUAUAUUCCUACUUAUGGACUACUUUGUUGGAUUCUUUACUUCAAUACUUAUAGCUUAGCUUCCCUUACCGACCGCUACCUCUAUUACAAGGGGAAAGCCCGGUUGAUAUAACACUAGCACCUGAACCGAACUCUUCUCACCAUACUUUAUCACAGGAACUAGCCCAGGACUCUUAUCUAACCCACUUGCAACAGGCUCGGAUCCAGUUUACUUAAUUGGUAACUCACUUCUACUUUCUACUCUCAUUCUUUAACCACUUAGUUCUCUUACUUUGACUACUUAGUUGCCUUAGAGCUUUGGCUUGACCCAUUAACAUCAGGGCAGUAACAGGAUCGGUAUGACACUCUAACAAGAACAGGAUCUUUUCCCUCUGGCUCAUCCACCUCUUUUUCUUUGAACUCUAUCUCCCCGGGCUCCUUAGCGCAACUAACUACAAAGCUGGGCCCUUCCCACGCCAACACACCCUACCUGGCUUUCUCACCAGGGCAGCUAGGGUCUCUAACCAGUGCUUCCGAGCCUGAUGCCUGGUAGUUAAUAGCUUGAUUCUUCCUUUCCUACUUUCUUGUUGAAGACCUAGUUGACUCCGGUUUCCCAUAUAAAGAUAGAGAAAAUGAACCG